AAAAAUAUUGGAUCCCUUCCAGCGGAGUAAAAAUUCCCCAUGUCUUCAAAUUAGGUUGCGUGUUAUCUCCGGUCCAUAAAUGAACCGGACCAUGUGGGGUCGUUUCGAUUGAACCGCCCCCUGGAUCUGGUUCAGUGCCAGCCCUGUAGGGCGAACCAAAGAACAACAGCGGUUUCUUGGAGUUGGAAACCAUCUGCCUAUACAUAAUUUUGAGGUUGGCUUCGAUUUGAGCAUCGUUGGACAUUGUUUCAUCCGUGCCGUUGAAGUCAAGAUCGAUGAGAGUCGGCGGCUGAUGGCUGGCAGCGCGAAGCUCGUCGUAAAGCGGAGAGUCCGGGUUAGCGAACAAGGCAGGGAGUUGCAUGCCAGCUGGCGCGUCCCAGUUCCAAAACGGCAACGCGAACGUCGGAUCGUCUAUGAGUUUGGCCAAGAUUCUUUCGUGGAAGUAUAGGUAGUAACGAUGGAAGGGGAAGAAAAGCCAGCAUUGAUGGAUUUGGAGCUCGAGGUUGGGGAAGCCGACUUGGUCGUACGCGCCGUCGCAAUAGGCACAGUGGAGAUCGGCUUGCUGGGUGAAGCUACGCGGAUCGUCGUCCGGGAGGGCUUUCAUGAGCUCGAUGGCUUUUGAAUAUUUUUCGAUGUAGGCUUUAUCCACGGUGUGAGCUGCCGGCCUGACGCGGAGUUUGGUAGGGGAGGGGAAUUUGAAGUCUACGAUUUUUUGGGACGUUGGCGGGCAACAGUUGGUCGGGACUGCUCCACUUGGAAAGUCCGCAGCUCCGCAUUUGGCUAGGUCAGGCGGCGACACUGGCUUUGCAACAGCGAAGGGGUCGCUGCCAAGACCAGCCACUCCACCGUAUAGGCUUCCGAGACCUAUAAGUACAUUUCUUCUGUCUAGGUUUACUGGAGAAGGGUUUUCAUGGUCGUGAUCGUUGGAGCUAGUGGAAGGGUUUUUGUUUUGGUCACUACUAUUAUUUGUGGCUUUGCAUGAGACAGCUUGUAAAUUGGAAUGCCUAGGGUUUCCAAAUGAGGAUAUUCGGUGAUACUUUUGGGAGAAAGGGGAGAGGAAAGUUGUGGGGAUGAUACUUGUGGCGGAGGUGACGAGUGGAGCUGACAUAGAAGCCAUGGUUACUUUUGACUCUGAAUAAUACGUUGUAUUGGCUUUGCUUUUAUAAUGUGUUCUAGGUUGUACUUUUCUUUGCACAGGUGGCAGGCCGUACACACGUGGUCGGUCCUUAAGGGUUUGACGAGGAAUACUACGUAGUCAUUUAGUACAGGACAACCAUACACUAUAGCAAGUGGCAUGUAUUUAGAGAUCGAGAGAGAAUUGGGUAAGGUUCACGAGGGAUUUGUAGUUUCAGAAGGUGAAUUGGUUUUGGUCUUCUUGUGUACCAAUAAUAUUUACUUAGUCAUUUAGUGCAGGACAACCAUGCACUAUAGCAAGUGGCAUGUAUUUAGAGAUCGAGAGAGAAUUGGGUAAGGUUCACGAGGGAUUGUAGUUUCAGAAGGUGAAUUGGUUUUGGUCUUCUUGUGUACCAAUAAUAUUUACUUAGUCAUUUAGUGCAGGACAACCAUGCACUAUAGCAAGUGGCAUGUAUUUAGAGAUCGAGAGAGAAUUGGGUAAGGUUCACGAGGGAUUGUAGUUUCAGAAGGUGAAUUGGUUUUGGUCUUCUUGUGUACGGCUGUGGGUCUGCUGUCCCGGACUCUCUGUCUCAUUUGUGUCUUAUUUUUUAUUUUUUCACACGUGUCUUUUACUUAACGUCAAAUCAUGAUAGCAAUGUUAUGCAAUUGGGAGCUAAACGACCGAUGCUUUUAUUUUUUAGUUUGCUUUUUUUCCAGAUCUGAUCAAAUCAUGAUAGCAAUGUUAUGCAAUUUUCAAGAGGGAAAGAUGCACCUGGGAGAGAAACGGUACGGUGACUUCUAAAUCACCGUCCAACAGAACAAUUCUCAGUAGAGACUACUAGAGAGAGAUGCACCUCACCAAUGAAAAAUUUAACUGCAAAAAUUCUGGGUAUUGGGUAAGGAAAUUCGGUGAUACUUUUGGGAGAAAGGGAAGAGAGAAGUUGUGGGGAUGAUACUUCUCGUGGAGGUGACGAGUGGAGCUGACAUAGAAGCCAUGGUUACUUGACUCUGAAUACUACGUUGUAUUGGGUUUGCAUAUAUAUAUAAUUAGGAUUGAAGGAUGUAGAGCUUAUUUUGUUAUGUAUUUUAACGAUUUAAGUGCUUAUCUUUUAGGUUUUCUCUUAAACAUCAUGUCUAUAAAAAAUCACCAAAAUUCAAACCAUAUGACCAUUAGAUCCAUAGUCAUUUUAGUGUUUAUUUGUAAAAUGUAUUCAUUCAUUUUCUUCACUACAAAUGAGUGAAUUAAUGAUUUUAGAAUUUGUCUAAUUUUUUACAUUGAUUAUUUAUGAAUGUUGAAUUGAAAUUUAGACGAUUCAAAAAUAGUUGAUAUGCAUUACAAAAUGAACUCCACAAAAUAAGUGUCAAAAUAUGUAUAAAAAAUGGACAGCGUGAAUGGCUUGGAAAUUGGAAUAGGUUUGAAAAUUGUGCUUUUUGUAGCAAAUUUUAGCAAAGUUUGCUUGGACUUUCACAACCGUAUAAAUUAAAGGGAAACUUGAUAUAACUCCAAUUUUUUGAGCCAAUAGUAGGAAUAGUCCAGUUUAUUAAAAUAAGUUCAAUUCUUUAAAUUUAAUUAUUUAGUUAUCAAUAAUUAUCUCUUAAAAGAAAAAACUUAUUGUAAAAAUCAAAUUUCUUCCUAAUUAUCUCUUUGAUUAUUUCUUUUUAUUUAUUUAUUUGUUAUUUCUUGUUCUUCCUCCUGCUUUAACCCAUUUAUAGAUUUUUUUUUUAAUUUUAUAAUCAACCUAUGUCACAGGUUAAUUGUAUUUAUCUACCUAUAUGACAUAUUCUUUUUCAUAGUCAACAUUUCACAGAUUAAUGUGUCUUGCUUGUAGAUAUAUUAUGUUUUUUUCUACCUUUUAGUUAGGUUUCAUAUCUCACUUAUAGGUAUAAUAUACAUUCAUAUAUUUGCUACUUGAGUUAGGGUAGAAUGUUUUGCAGAUAGAUUUAUGUUAGUAUAUUAAUUUUUUUUUGUUUAUAAGAUAUUAAUUAGAUAUUUUGGAGUUGAAAAAUGCAUAAUAUUAAAAGCUUUUAAUUGAUUUUUAAUAUUUUUAGAAAAUAUAAAAGGAGUAUAAAAGAAAUCAAAACAUAUAAUUAGAUAACGGGAGUCACUCCUAAAAACACUCUAUGUUUUUUGACCUGGAUCUUAAAGCCCCUAAAUUAAACUGUUCGCUUUGUUGGGAAAAAGAAGUGGCCCUAGUUUCCCUUUGAUUUUUCAAGCACGGUGGGAGACUGGUCAUAGUUUCUAGAUUGAUGCUCUAAUUCUAAUGUUAUACAACGCGUACGCUAUAAUAUUUUUAUCAAAAUAUUAGUUUUAGUGUUAUCAAAACAAUAUGUUAUUCUUACCAUGUUUUUGUAUCACAAUUAUAUACCACCUUAGAUGGUAUCUGAUGUGGACAGCCACAUCAUUUAAAUUAAUAAGCAUUUAAUUUCAAAAUGUUAAUCAAUAAUUAAUAAAAAGAUUGUUAAUUAAAUGAUGAUUGUGGUAUACAAGGAGUCUCCUUCUUCCUUCCUCUUUCCAUUCUGCUUUUUCUUCUUACCUCUUUUUUUUUUUUAAUGCCAGUUUUGUAUUGAUUUCUGUUGAUUUCCAUGAUUAUGGUCAAUCUUUAUAGAAUUUACUAGUAUGCCACAAUCACCAUUGAUUUCUAUCUCCAGACUCAUGCCCCGUAGCCCUAAUCCUCAUUCCCCUUCAAGUAUUUCUGUCUCCAAUCUUCUUUGGUACUCCAUGAUUGUUCAUCUCGUGAUAUUUUUUUUUUUGAUUAUUUCAUUAAGUAACGCUUAUUAGCUUUCAUGCGAAUUAGGAGUCAAAAUCAAAUUUGUCUAUCGGAUUAGGGUUCAUACCCAAUUAAGUUACUAACGCCAGAGGGAUUUUGAAGUAUGCAAUUUUCCUUAUUUAAGUGUUUUAAUUAAUAAGAAAAUUGAAAUUAAACAAUUUAGCUUGUCCAACUCAUCUGCCACCUAAGAUGGUAAAUAAAUGUGGUAUAAAAUUGUGGUAAGAAUAUCAUUACUCUUAUCGAAAUUACAAAAAAAAAAAAAAAAGCUGAUUCAAUAUUUAGUUAUUAAAAAAAAAAUGAUCAAGUAACUAUCCAAUACCCAUGUAUUGGGUGCUUUGUUUGAAAAUUUUCAAAAUGAUAUUGGGCUCGUUUGGAUAUGUUUUUAAAAUGACUGAAAGCAUUUUUAGAGAAAAUAUUUUUUUGAUUCCAAAAGCACUUAAAGUGCUUUCUGCAAGAAGCACCCGUUAUGUGCUUCUUCCUGGAAGCACUUUAAGUGUUUUUCCAGCAUUUACUUGCUUUUUUACUAAGGACUGGUUCCAAAAACAUUUUCACAAAAAGUGUUUUCAGUCAUUUUAAAAGCACAUUCAAACGAGCUCAUUGUUUUUCCUAUUUUAAUCGAGUGCGUCGUCCUCUGUUGAGAAUGAAUCUCAUAUUAUGGGAGGAGGGAUCUUGCAUGAAUGGGAGGAGGGACCUUGCAUGAGCUUAUAAGUAAGUUGGGUUACUCUCCAUAUUGCCAAAAGAAAUUUUAUUUGGACCCAGUUUUCCUCUCUCUAAACCCAACUUUAAUAUUUUGUUACCUAUAAACUCUCUAGUUUACCCUCAUAAAUUAUAAACAUAAAUAAACUAGAAAAAGAAAAACUCAUCAAACCCAUUUCCCAACUGUUCUGGCGUCUCUUCCCUGUAUUUGUUGGGUCUGUCUCCCUCCCGACUGUUUUUUUUUUUCUGAUAUCUCUGUGUGUUCCCCCACCUCUCCCACACCCACCAAUUCUUUGUGGUGGCUAUUCCACCAAACGUCCAGUGAAUCUUUCCAUUUUUCUUCUAUUGCGCGUGAUAGGGCCUUGCUAUUAAUAGGCAAAACUAAGCGGCAUCGUCGACUCCGUAAGCGACUUGUUGCAUAAGUCCAAAAUGGAGUCAAAUGGAUUUUGUAUUGGGUCGGGUUGUUGAAGGCGAUGGCUGAUUUAGCAAUCCCGCCUAACUAUUUCUAUAUGUAGGAGAAGGAAGAGGGAGGGAGGUCUGAAGUGGUGGUUGAGUGGUGGCGAUGUAUGUGGGUUCUCUCUCGGUUGAAUGGGUGUAGAAAGAUAUUUAAUUUUCAAUAUCUUAUUUUAUUUUGUAUAAGGGAUAAUAUAGGAAUUACAUAAAAAGUUUUUUUUAUAGCUAGGUGUAGAAAUAGUAUUGUUGGGUCUAAAUAAAAUUACCCUAUUGCCAAUUAGUUUUAUGGUGAAAUCUUAACUUUGUUCAUGCUUUCAUAGUAGGUUGUUCCACGUGUGAAGUCAAACAUCCACACGCGCUGCACGUCACCCCGUUGUGUUGUUCACGUGUUAAGCUUGAAAAUUCAUCACACAUGAGGGAGCGUGUUGAGAAUAAAUUCCACAGUUUAUAAGUAAGUUGUACUACUCCGUAUAUUACCAAUUAAUUUUGUGGAAUUCCGUCAAAGCUGAAUUUGACGGAAAAAAAUAACUUCAUGUUUGUUCUUAACUAUAAAGUCAGUGAUACACUAAUUCUGGUUUGUUUGUUUUUUCCUUCCUUCUUAAGGAAAUUCCCAAUCCAACCAAAAAAAUGAAAUUCCCAAGAGAAUAGUAGCACGAACAAUCGUAGCUUUCUUCUUCGAUAAGCCUUGGGGAAACAGAAAAGGGAAAACCGGACUUUAACCCUAAUUUCUCCCAAUGCCGCAGCACUCUCUAUUUUCUCUCUCGCUCUAUAUCGCGGUCCCUCUCUCUCGCCGUCCUCUAUUGCUCAAACUCAAUGUCUCCAACUUCCUCUGUAUGGUUCCCGAGGAAGAUGGUAAAACAGUAAGGGCAAGAAAUUGUGACAAGGUUAGAUUUGGGUAUUAAUCUGGUGGGGCUACAAUUCUCCAAUCCACACCCCUUUCAUCUGUGCUAGUGUUUGAACCCAAUAUUAGAUAACCGGUCCAUGCAAUCGAUGCCGUUGAAUGAGAAAAAUUCUAGGCCGUGGGAUCAAAUAUAAUGAUGUGGAUUAAAUAAGGAAAAUUUAAAGAGUAAUGAUAUUCAUACCAUGUUUUUGUACCACAUUUUCAUACCACCUUAGGUGGCAUUUGAUGUGGAUAGCCACAUCAUUUGAAUUAAUCAGAUUUUAAAAUUUAGUUGAUUAUUUAAUAAACUAAUAAUUAAGAAAAACUAAUUAAUUAAAUGAUGAUUGUGAUAUACGAGGAGUCUUUCUCGUUCAUUUCUUUGGGUUUUGCAAAUUUUUCAAAUGAUGUGGCUGUCUACAUCGGAUGCCACCUAAGGUGGUAUAGAAAUAUGGUAUAAAAAUAUGGUAUGAAUAUCAUUACUCAAAUUUAAAUGUUUAUCUUGGUUAAAUUACCAUGAUAAUAUUGUGGAAUUAUCUUUUGCAUAACGGAAGAGCGAGAAAAGUCCAAGGGUGUAGGGAAGUUGUGUGGUUGACUACCGCUAUUUUGAUGGUAUAAUCUGUAGAGUAAUAUUACAUUUAACAUCUAUUUGUAUCAUAUUUCUAAUAAAGAUAAGGACCAUCAAUGCAUAAAUAAUUAAACAAAUAUAUAAUAAGAGUAUCAUUUUUGUAACUAGAAUAGGAGAAGAAAGACUUCAAGAUGGGAUCAGCCAAAUAAUUAGCGUUAAGAUAAAAAUAUUGAAAGGAAAACUAAUGAAAAUGGCUUGAAAACUUUGAGUUUUAACGAUAAGGACAAGAUAAAGGGUAAAGUGAAUAGUACCAGGAUUGACUUUUUAAUGUAAAAAUAUAGUUUUUCGUUAAAGUGAACAUUACCGGGAACUUUUCGUUAAAGUUUCCAAUGAGAUAAUAUUGCAACAGCUGGCAUGAGACAAUGAUGGUAUAAAGAUGGCUACUACGGCCAAACUACUACAUAGGAUUCCAUACAUGCGGUCAUUAUUUCGACAAAUCAAUGGCUGCCGCAAUCAUGUGCUCAUUAUUCCGACAAAUCAGUAGCUACUUGCAUUGGAUUAGGAUUGCAUGCGUGUGGUCAUUGAAUGAGGAUUGCGUGCACGUGAUCUUUAUUCAAACAAAUCACUAUUGACCAUAUAUUGCAAUUGGUUAAUGGUAGGCAAAUUGAAUUUUUACAUCAAAUAAUGUGAUUGCUGAUAAUUGAAUUAUUAUUUAAAUGUUGAUUAAUAUGCUUAUUUUUUAUUUGUGAUAUAUCAUUUAAUUUGUACAUUUAGUUUACCUAACAUUACCAACUGUAAUUUGUAUAAAUGGACUGGUACCUAACAUAACCAGUUGUAAUUUGUAUAAAUGGGACUGUAAUUUGUAUAAAUGGACUGGUGCCUAACAUUACCAGUUGUAAUUUGUAUAAAUUUACUGGUCCCAAGAGCACAUGCUACUGCUCAAGAAGCAAAGUUCUUAUUUGCCCAAAAAAAAUCAUGGUUUUUUAAUUGAUGCUCUCAUUUUAAUUUACUAGCCCCUUACUUGGCCUUUUUUAUUUAUCAUUUUAUACAUAUUAAUAUUUUUUUGUAAAAUAUAUUAGUUUGAGUUUUAUUAAAAUUAAAAAUAAAUAAAAAAACUUAGUUUUAGUUUUAUCAAAUUAAAAAAAAAUGACUUAAUAUUUAGUUAUUGAAAUUGUAAAAAAGUGAUCAAGUAUUGGGUGCUUUGUUUGAAAUUUUUCAAAAUGAUAUUGUUUUUACCAUUGAAACCCUGUUAUAUACAGUGAUGGCUAAUUUGUCAAGUUCUACGAAGUUGGGAUACCCAGCGUUUUAGCAUAUAACAUAGCUUAGUAUUACAAGCAUAAUUAAUUAAAAUAAAGGCAAAAUAAGAGGAUAGCUUAGUAUUACAAGCAUAAUUAAUUAAAAUAAAGGCAAAUUGUAACAGCCCGUCCCUAAAAAUGACGAUUUUAUAAUCUUAACACGUGAGUUUAUGAAGAUGCCCUUCGAGGCAAAGUGUUGACUACCGCGUCGUGUCAUGUGAGACUCAUCUUCUUGGCGUAUUCUCGUUUUACUCGUCGCUACGGAUGCGUGGGCGCAAACGACACGUGAUUUGGAGCUAUAACAAAAGAGUUAUUAACAUUUAAAGUUAAGGACAUUUUAGUAAAUUAAUUAAUUUCAGAUUUUGUUGAGGGGAAAAUCUGGAGUGCCAUGUGGGUGGCCCAGAUUAAAGGAAAUGAGGAAUGGAUGGUGGAGGUGUAAAGGAAAGAAGAUAAAAGAAAAAUGAGAGGAAAUGUGUGACUAAUAGGGAGAUGAGAGAGUUAGGAUGGCCCAAUUAGAAACAAACGAAAGGAGGAAAAAGGAGAGAAGAGGGGAGCAGGGGAUCCCUUCAACCCGGUUCCACUUUCCGACCCGACCCGAUCCUUUUCAUCUUUUCCGGUGGUUUUUCGUCAGUUUUUCCGGCGAACCACGUUAUCUAACCCCGUUGAAAAUGUUCCACGACCUUCCCUCUACCAUUACAACCCAAAAUUGUAGAAAUUUAGCCAUGAAAGUAUGAAAACCGCACCGGUGGGUGCGGGAAACCUUUGUCGUCGAUUCUCCCAUUAUUGAAACGAUUUUCACCAAUUAUCACCACCUACAGCAUCCUCUUGAGGUCUGGAAUAAAGCCCAAACAAGUUUUGGGGCGUUGGAGUUCGUUUAAGGUCGAAUUGAGCACACCCAAAUUCAAGGGUUCCGUACCGUUCAUGGUGAUUUGAGGUGUUUCUCGGCCAAAUUGGCCUUAGUCACAAGUAUGAAAGUUGCUCCACUCGUUGAGAUCUUCAUUUAUGUGAAAUUUGAGAAUUUUUUGAAAUAUUUGGAUUUUCCAGCGAGUCGGGGUGGCGGACCGCCACCGGCAGCAGCGCAUGGCCAGUGGUCCACCAAUGUCAUUUUACGUUAAAUUGAUAUCUUGAUUUUAGAUUUGAUGUCUAUAUGUUAUGACUUGAUUAUGUGAACCUAGUUUGAUUAAGGUGCGUUAAUUGGUAAAAAUAUGAAACGACGAUCCGACCGUGGGAUCGUCACCAAACUUUAAUAUGUUAUAGUACAUAAUAUUUGAGAAUCAUAGGGACUGACAGAUAGGAAAUCCGAGAUACAGAUCUUCCCGAAAUGGAAUUGUAAGUUUGAAGAAUAAACGUUAACCGCCACUUUGUUUUGACUAUUGGUGGAGAUCCAACCGUUGGAUCAUAAUGAAAUUUUAGGAUGAUGUUUUAGAAGCAUAAUGUGGAUCUUUGGAAGUUACUGAUCGGAAAUCCGAGGAGUGAAUCUUCCGAAUUGAAUUACGUAGGGUUGUGGACCUUACCGUCGAUCGUUGACCGAUGAUCGACUUUUGGUCAAUGGGGCUUAAAUCAAUCUAAAACGUUUUUAGGGAUGUGUUUUACGUAAAUUACAUGAUCUAUUGAUAAGAAUUAUGAGAUGUGGUUUGAUAAUUGUCCUAGGUGCCGAUCGUUAGGAACGCUUCGAUGGUUAUGCUAGGAAAUUGUAGCACAGACUCCUUGUGAGUGAAUCUUUUCCUUCUUAUCAUAUAUAUAUAUAUAUAUAUAUAUAUAUAUAUAUGAUUGACAAUUCCACAAACGUUUAUAAAUUGAUUAUUGCAUAUAACUACUGUGAAUACUUUGAAGUACUUAUGCGAACUACGAAUGGCUUGAUCCGUGUUUAGGGUACGUAGGCAGUCUAACAAGACGUUAGAUGUAGUCAUACAAUAAUUGAGAUUAAACAAUUGAGAUAAAGCCUUGUUUGGGGAACUGGGCAAGGUGAAGGAAUUUGGUAAAAAGGUGAGAUUUAACCUUAUGAAUUGGUGAUUAAAUGUUGGUCAUAAAUCAAUGUGUAAAGAAUCAAGAAUUUGAAGUAAGGAAACGUAAGUAAUGAUAAUUAAUUAAACUAGUGUCUAGUUGGGCUUGUCACCUAUAAUUAUCCCCGAAAAUGAAUAAUUCGGGAGUAGGGCGUUACAGCUUCUGCAUUUUUAUGCCACAUUAUAUAUAUAUAUAUAAUUGGAAAUGCUAUAACAUGGUUGAGUAUCAGAUUUCAUCAUGGUUUAUCUAUAUGUAUAUUACCUGCACACAAUUAUUAUGAACGCGUUGAAGUGCAAAGGUGAAUGCACGACACCCAGGUAAGUUCAGGUGAGUUUAUGGUAUUAGUUGAAAUGAUGGGGUUAUGGUAUGACUACAUGUAUGUUUAGGUUGCAAUGAUAGGCAACUCCAACACUGUCGUACAGGUUGCCCAUGAAUUGUACAUGUUACAAUAGAUACAGUUAGAGCUCAUAAACCUACACCCCGGUGUUAGUACUCCCGCUCGUGGCCAGGGCACAGUCCUUCACGUGAUGUUCACCUCCCGCACCUUACGCUCACCUUGGAUCCAAGGUAGGUGCACAAUCAUGUCGUACCACUAUAGGUGGUUCCGACUCGUAGAUGACCCGCGAUUAUUUGCACAGUCUUCACGUGAUUGUAGCACUUGAGCGUAUUUAUUUACACCCAGUUCUAUUGUACAGACCACUUUAGGUGGUUCCGACUCGUAUGCAGGUAUACUUAUUAAGCUAUGGAUAAGUCGUACAGGUCACUAGAAGUGACUCCGACUUAUGAGCUAGCAUAUGUGAUGAGCUAGCAUAUGUGAUGAGAUAAGUGAUGAGUUAGUAUAUGUAAUGAGAUAUGUGAUGAGCUAGCAUAUGUGAUGAGAUAUGUGAUGAGCUAGCAUAUGUGAUGAGAUAUGUGAUGAGCUAGCAUAUGUGAUGAGUUAGCAUAUGUGAUGAGCUAGCAUAUGUGAUGAGAUAUGGGUAAGUCGUACAUGUCACUAUAGGUGACUUCGACUUGCGUGCUAGUAUGGGUUAUUAAUCACAUGAUUAUUGAUAUUACUGAUGAGAUGCUGUGUUGUGGUAUAUUUAUGAUCUUUCUGGAAACUAUGCAAGUGUUGUAACGAGGGGUUAUAAUGAGGUGUUGUAACGAGGGGUUAUAAUGUUUUAUAUGGUUUCUGUUAAAAUUUUAUUUCUAGGGUCACUCACCCUUAUUUUGUUUUCACCCUCUAGGUUUUAUUAGCUGAGCUUUCUUAUCGUCGAAGAUUCGUGGCGAUUCUUAGUAUUGGAGAUUAUUUCGAGAGUACGAUUCUUAAUUCACUUUACUGUACUUGCUUAAGCUGUAACGUCACGUGUGAAGUGGGUUCAUUUCCGCUUACCAGCGCAUUCUGGUAUUUAGGCACUCUUAGGUUUAAAUUUAUUCACAUUUUUCCACAUCAUCAAACUUUAUGGCUUUGUCACUCUUUAGGUGUCGGCCAGCACAGCUCGAUUUGGAGUCCUAGUGGACAUUCCGGGUCGGGGUGUGUCACAAAUGAAGAGGAUGGUUGAACUUGUUAAGUUUCUUAAGUGUGUCUACUUGAAGUGUGUUGCUAAUAAAUAUUUUGUUGUAGGCAUAAUUUACUGAACAAUUAUGGAGGCAGAGAGAGAGAGAGGGAAUAUGCGGCAUAGAGAGAGAAGAGAGAGAUGUGUAAUUGUGAGGUGUGUUCUAUUCCACCCCAUUGUACCUUUAUUAUAUUAGUAGGGAAAGUUAAUUCCUUACCCUUUUAGGAUUACAACUCUAAUAGGAAAAUAUCUAGUCUAAGAGAUAUGAUAGAAUCUCAUAAGGAUAUCCUAGAUAUGUUAGGAUUUACACAAUCAUAUUCCUAUUCCAAUAAGACUGCAACACAUUUGUAUUUUUUUAGAAUUUUUUUGAUAAUUUGUUGGUAUUCUCAAUUUUUGUUAACAUUGAAAAUAUAACGGUUCAGAUGAAAAACCUUUGGAAAUCCAACAGCUUGCAAGACGUUGGGCUGUGCUGAAGGAAGCUGGGCUGUCACGUGGAUGGGGCCCUCCCUCUCCCUCUUGUUGAUUCAAAGGGCGCAGGCCCGUGCAACAAUUGGCGAGGCAGCCCAUAGAGAUCCUGCGAUUCACCCAUUCGCCAUUUUUUCCACCGCUGGAGCACCAAAAUUCGGUCAAAAGGCAGGGGUAUCAAUGGCAAGGGCAAUUUGGCUUCCGCUGGAGGUGCUCUUUGUCGACUUUGUUUUUUCUCUCAUUUUAGCUUUUGCAGUAAUAUUGAAGUAAUCACUCCAAUUUUAUCCAAACUUUUGUUGUCCGUCAAUUUUUAUCAAAACUAUUGGUUAAUUUACAUAUUCAGACUAACCUUCUCAUUAUUUUUAGUAUUUUUAUCAUAAAUAAUAUCUGAAAUAGUCACAUUUUAUUCAACAACCACUCAAUUAAAAAUUAAUUAGUGUUGUUUCUAAACCAUUACAUCAAGCUUUUGUAGAUACACAUCAAUAUUGCAGCGAUCCGAGGCAUUGUUUUAGUGACGGUAGUACUUUCUACUCCUUGGAUUUGGUGAAUCGGAAAAGAGAAGAGUUACGAGUAAAAGUCCCUCGCAUUGUUUUGGGGAGAUGAAGAUGAUGAUCUUUUGUUUUUGUUUUUUAAUGAUUAAUCCACGCAGCAACAUAUAAUUAAAUUGUUGGGAUCUACUCAAGUUCCAUAUCACACACUAACAUAAAAUUUGACAAACGAAACGAAAUAUGUGUGUAGACAUCGAAAUUUCGUAAAUAAAUGUUGACCGAUAAAUCAAAGUGUCAACGCUCAUGUAUUACAUAAAUUUUACACGUAGCGUGUGACUCAACGAAAAUUGAAAUGAGUUGGAAAAGUCAUCAAAUAGGACACGUGUCAACACCUGGCAGAAACGACUUAUUUCAUCUGGGAUAUUAUAUUCAAAAUUAGCCAUUGGAAAAUUCUAUAAAUACAAGCCCAUUUCAUUCAUUUAAGGAGAGGAAUUCAUAUUACACCUUGAAGCUCUGAAGCUCUGAAACUCCGAAGCUCUCAAGCAUCCAGGUUCCCGAAGAAUCAAGAAAGUGUUCUUCGUUCUUCGUUCAUCGUUCUUCCAAGAUCAAGCCUCGACGGCCCUUGGAUCAACAAUCAUCCACCUUCAAGAUCAAGCCCCGACGGCCCUUGAAGAAAGCGUUCUUCGUUCUUCGUUCAUCGUUCUUCCAAGAUCAAGCCCCGACGGCCCUCGGAUCAACAAUCAUCCACCUUCAAGAUCAAGCCCCAAAGGCCCUUGAAGAACUUCCACCAAUUCAAGAUCAAGCCCCGACGGCCCUUGAAGAAAGCACCAUCGUUCAUCAUCCGUUCAUCCAAGAUCAAGCCCCAACGGCCCUUUAGAUCAACAACGUCGACAAAUCCACACAUCCAACCGUUCUUCAAGAUCAAGCCCAAAAGCCCUUGAAGAUCCGUUCAUCACUGUUCUUCAAGAUCAAGCCCAAAAGCCCUUGGAGAUCCGUUCAUCACUAUUCUUCAAAGAUCAAGCCCAAAAGCCCCUUUGAAGAUCCGCUCAAAUCCACCUUCAAGAUCAAGUCCACGGCCCUUGAAGAACGUUCAUCCUUAGAUCAAGCCCAACGCCCCUUUGGAUCAAUCGCACAUCCACAAAUCAACACCUUACGGAGAUCGAAUCAGAGGAUCAAAAUAGAGAGAGAUUGUAACCCAAAAUCAUCAAAUACAAAUAUUUGUUUGUGCGCGUUGUUCUUGUCUCUUUCGUUUCAGGAAUUUUCCGUGUUCACAAUGUGCUCUUGAAAUCAAAAUGAGGGCACUGCUCCAAGAACAAGAAGGGCACCUUGUCGAGGUCGCCAUCCGCCGUGAGGGAAAACCGGAAGAAGUUGGACAACAAUGAUAACAUCAAUUUGCGGCACCCAUAUCGGGACAUCACACUGUGAAAUAAAUAUUGAAAUAAAUACUCAAAACUCCUGGAAAGUCCUCGAGACAACAAACUUUCAUCUCCUUCAAACAUUUCAUUUUACUAAGUUUUAUCUUUGAAGGGAGGGAAAAAAAGAGAAGAGAGAAUCCUACUCCUUAUUCCUGAAUAUAUUCAAGAAUAGCUAUUGAAUAAAGAGAGAAUGGAGGGUGAUCGAAAGAGGAGGGAAGAGAAUUCUAGUUCCAAACAUAAAAAGGACCACAACUUUUAAAUUAUCAGCACAAUCAUCACCUAAUUGAAGAGACCAUUCACUGUGAAACAUAUUGUCAAUCAGUCUAUCUAUAUCUAUUUAUAUACCAUAUUUUUAGAGUAAGAUUCUCUCACCUCCUAUUACCAUCCCCUUCCAUCCUUUCAUCUCAUACUCUUUUUUUGUUGUCUUAUUCUCUAUAUAAAAAAAUUCAAAACAAGAUGUAUACGUGACGUAAUCGUAACCGUUUAAAUAAGAGGGGAUAGAAGAGAAGAGAGAUUAGGAGAAGGGAGAAUCCUACUCCCACAUUUUUCUUCUUCAUAAACAAAAGAGAGGUUCUAGAUUACUUGACUCUAUGCCUCAUUUUUUUCAUCAAGUAUUUGUGAUAAGUGGGUUCAUUUUCAAGUAUUUUAGUUUUUUUGUCAAAAUUGAGAAAACUGAAAAUCAAACAUUAAUAUGAAAAAUUAAAAAAUCAACAUAUAAUUAUUUAGAAAUCGCAAUAGAAAAGAAAAAAAAUGGAGGUUUGUGAUGAAAAAUCUUUUAUACUAAGUAAUUUAGUAUCCUUAUGCAUGAAGAUAAAUCAAUUUGUUCGUUACGGUCAUACUCUUUUUUGAAUUUUUGAACACAUUCUCCAUAGGGCCUUCUUAUAUGUUCCUUCUCCAAGCUCGGGUUAUGGAAGAAGUAAAAGAAGGAAUCGAAAAGAAAGUAUUGGUAACAACCGAUUUCAUUACGAGACAACUCUUGAUAUUCAUAUCAAUCUAUUAUGUACCUUUGCAUCUAGCAUUAGACAAUAAUUGUCAUAGCUUUACCAUAUUUUUUUGUUUCAUUUCUUCUGAAACAAUCUCACACACUUUUUUAUUAUGUGUCUACUACUAGGAAUUCAAUACGUAAUCUUAGCAUUCAAUAGUUAUUCCUAAAUAAUUUCAAUUUUCAAAUGAUCAACCAUUUCAUUUUACCAAGUUCAAUCAAUGUUAGUCAGAUUAGUCAACAUUUAUAUAUUUUGAUGCAACAACAAGAUGUUAUUUGUAACAAGUGAUUUUGUUAGUUGGUUAAUUGGUCACAAGUUAAUGUUCGGUUCAGUUUAGUUUUUCUCUCGAUUUUUUGUGAUUCGGUUUUUUCAAUUCUCUUUAGGGUCGGUUCGGUUUUGUUUUUUUAUUUAUACUUGAAUUUUAUUUUAAUUUAUUUUAAUUUAUUUUAUUUUAAAUCUGGAAACACCAAGAACAACACAAGCACAUAGUCAAUCAAACAACUAUCCUUCUCCACAAAUCAUAGUAAUAAUUACAUUCAUUGAGCUGAAAUGCAAAUAACUAACAAACUCACAAAAAUCAAAUAAAAACUACAAAUUGCUUACUCUUUUUCUUUGGGUUUCACUCGAAAAGUGUCGGUAAAAUUUAGGGUUUGCAAGAACGCAACUGAAAUCUAAAACGGAGGCCUUGUGGCCUAUGGGUUGCUAUUGAGUUCCAGUACAGAGAACCUUGCUUAAUCUCGAUCACGGUACAAAGUAUCGAGUACCUUUAGCACUGUAUUUUGGUAUGAUUGGUAGAACCAAAUUAAAAGCUAACAUCAACAACAACUACCAGAGACAAAAGCUCUUAUCAAUGCUUUGGAAACAUUUAUGUAUCUCCAAGUGUAAUGAUAUAAUUGGUUGGAAACUUGUGAUUUCGUAUCAAAUCAAUAAAAAGUUACAAUAUUGACAAUAUAUUAGCAAUUUUUAUGUUAAUUAUGAACAAGUCAAUCAUGUAGAACCAAAUUAAAAGCUAACAUCAACAACAACUACCAUAGACAAAAGCUCUAAUCAAUGCUUAGGAAACACAGUCCUGUAUCUCUAGGUGUAUUGAUAUAAUUGGUUGGAAAUUUAAAAGAAAAAUGGUGAUUUUGUAUAAAAUUGAUAAAAAGUUACAAUAUUGACAAUAUAUUUGACACACCCCGACCAAGAUCAAGGCAUGCUGGCCGUCACAUGAGAGUGACGUAACCAUGUGCACAGUGCGGAAGCAAUAAUGAUAAGAAAUAUAUGAAUAAUUAAAAACCGAAUCUACUAGAGUGCACUACUAAACAGGAAGUAUUAGGAGUAAGAUACAAAAGUAAAUACUCCUAAUCAGAGCAUAGAAAGUCUAGGUGCAAUCCAGUAGGACAAGUACUAAUUAUACAGUAUAAAAUGUCUUACAAUUAUUUAGAUAGGUCAGAACCGCCGAAGUCCUCACACCCAACAACUGCAAACUUACUUAAAACCUGAAGGGGCGCAAAAUAGAAAACGUGAGUGGGAAAAAACAAAUGUUUUACAAAACCAUUUCAUUUAUCAAUAUAUCUAACCCCUCGCUGUAAACAUGUAUAAUUUUUCCCAGAAUCAAGAUAUAAGCAUAUACAUAAAUAUAUAUAUAAAUAUAUCAAUUCAAAUCAUGCUUCACAUAAUCAUAUUCAUAUGUAUGUCAUGCCAAGAUAUAACAGAGUAAGCAACUCAGGUAAGAGUAAUUUCAUAGAAAUAUAACAUGUUAGCCGGAACCCCUGUAGUAGUCUGUACGGCUGAAUUCAUAGCUCAAAAGUCAAUCUAGCCGAAGUCACUACAAUGACCUAUACGGCAAUAUACUGCACAAGAGUCGGAACCAAAUGAAAAGAUCUGUACGACAAUAAUGGGUGUUGUUGAUGCACAAAAUCAGUGAGGACUUUGGUACAACAGAAAGUGUUAAGUUUGUGACAUUCUCUAGAUUACUCCGAUCACUAGUGUGGAUAAGUAUGUAAAUGGAUAAAGACAGGGAAGCAAACACAAGAUGUACGUGGUUCACCCAGAUUGGCUACGUCCAUGGAGUAAAUGAGUUCUUAUUAAUUGUGAAGGGUUUACACAAGUAUAUAGGUUCAAGCUCUCCUUUAGUGAGUACUAGUGAAUGAUUUAGUACAAAUGACAUUAGGAAAUAUUGUGAGAGAAUGAUCUCUAUUUAUAGAAGAGAGUUUCUAGUUUCAUUCUGACAUUGACACGUGUCAUGUUGUGAUUGGCUUCUGAUGUUGACAUGUGUUGCACUAUGAUUGGCUUUAGAUGUCAACAUGUGUCGCGUUGUGAUUGGCCUCCUGGUUUGAGGGAAACUCUUCUGGCUCCUUGACGGUAUAACGUUGAUCGAUGCUCAGUAGUUUCGGGAUUGGUCAAGUAUGGUACAAACAGGUGUAAUAUAAUCAUACUCAAUACUACUCUCACAUAAUAGCUGGGUGAUAAAUCGCUAGUCACCUAUGAGUCAGAACGAUAAUAAAGGUCUGUACGAAGACUGUGCACCUAAAUUGGAUCCAAUAUGACCAUAUGGUGCGGGAUGUGACAUUAUAUACAGGCUUGUGCCAUCACUGGCGGAGCUACACCCACGGCUACAGUAGGCUGUAGCCUAGGGAGGAUUUUAACAAACUGCUGGUAUAAUAGUUUAUAUAUGAGUUUGUUGUUGCUUAUUGUAUGUAUAAUAGCCCACAUAAAUCCUGCCAAAAUUAUUAGUUAAUGUGUUUCUUAAUUUAUAAAUAAUACUUUUAUUACCUUUUAUUAUUUUAUUAUUUUUAGGCUAAAAGUAAAAAUGGUAAAUUAAUACAUAAUUAGGUUUCUCCUAUUCCCCAUGCUUUUUACCUAUUCGUUCAAAACAAAAAAAUUAAACCCUCUACCCUAAGAAAAGAAAAACUAUGAAUCACCAUCAAAUUAUUUUCUAAUGAAAUUCAACACUAGAUAUGCUCUUCAUGUCUUCAUUUAACCUAUUUCUUGAUUCAAUUGUUCAUUCCAUAUAUCUACAGCACGACUUGAAUUGGUAUCCCCUAACCUUUUUUCUUUUGGGUACUUGUUAUCAACAAAAGUGAUAAUAUUUGUUCUCUUUCUAUUGCUUUUUUGUAUGCAUGUUUUAUUUGUGUAAAAAUUAGUUGGAAAGUAAUUAAUAAACUUGUUUGGAUUAUUAGUACUUCAUGUUCCUACUUUUAUGUAGAUUACUAUAUAAUUUUAUGUAGGCAAAAAAAAAAUUCAUAAGAUUAUAUGCUAAUGAUUUUAGUUAGCCCACCCAAGAAAAAUUUUCUGGCUCCGCUAUUAUGUGCCAUAACUCUGGCAAAAUCACAAUCACCCUAAGUGCAGUUUUAUGAGUUCAACGUUAUUCUAUCACAUAUCACAUCAUCGAUAAUUCACAUAACCAAACAUAACUCACAUGAGCUUACCUGAGCGUCCACAGUACCAUAAUUAUAUAUAAUGCAUCAUAUACGAAAUAUAAAUUCAUAUGCAUGGCAUUUAAGGUAUACUUUCAUUUAAACACAUAUUUCUGGGAAAAUAUCAAGUAUAUAAAUAUAUACUGAAAACCAAAAGCCCACUCAUUGGUAUGUCGAAGGGUCGUAGCCCCCGAGUCGCCUUUGAAUACUCUCGUCCUCGUGAUAAGUCUCACCUAUAUGCGAAUUAACUAUAAAAACGUUAUUUUAGAGCACAUACAAAAAAUUAGCUAAUAACUCUCAUACAAUGCUCAAUUUUUGUAUUUGAAUAUAUCACAGUGACCUACACAACCUCAAGAUCAUCCCUAAAUUUUUACAAUAUUUUUCUGACCCCUCACGCGCUGCCACGCACCGGCAAGGGCAACGCCUUACUCGCCCCCACGCGCGGCCACGUGACAAGCAUACUGAUGGCGUCAAUCAACAUCAUCAGGAAUAUUCUAGGGAAUAUUCUGUUAAAACCCAAUGGUAACUGUUAAAGAUGACUGACGGCAUGAGCAUAUUCUGUCAACCUUGACGGAAUAUACUCCUUUCUUCUCCGAUGAGUCGUCGGUCGCCGGCGACUUCGCCGAUUUCUUGGUAAAACUUUAAAUCGCUUAUUCUUCUUCGUUUCUUCGCCAUUUUUCAUGAAAUUGGUACCAAAAUGAAGCUAAUAACAUGUAGAAUCACUUUGUAUAAGUUUCAAGGCUUAAAAUCUACUAGUUUUUCCCUGAGAAAGCUCGAUAGUUCGGCUUACCUAGAUAUGCGUCGAUCUCAGCCCUCCGACGUCCAAUUCCUUCCAACGAAGUACCCCAAGACUCGUGAGGACCUCCUUAAGCUUCCUAUAAGCUUCAAAUUCCCUGAAACACAAGAUUUUACGUAUGCAUGAACAAUGCACAAAGUCGGAGCUAGGGUUUCCACGUGAAAUCGAAGGUUUCCUUACCUGAAAAUGGUUCCUUUGAAUUCGUAUGGUUCUCACGAACACAAUGGUGAUCUUAAAACCUUCGAUCUACAAGGUUUAAGAGGGUUUCUGGGUUGGUCCGUACGAAGAAGGGAGAGAGAGAAUGAGAAUCUGCGAGAGAGAGGGCACGGGAAGGAAAGAGAAAUAAGAUAGGUGUGUGUAUGGUCCAAAAGCCACCAAUCAAAACUAAGAAAAGUCUUAGUUGUAAUUGGGUCACCAAUCUAAAACAAUUUAACCCAAUAAUAACUUACACACAUCAUUUAACAUCCGAGGGUAAUUCCGUCAUUCUACGUCAUCGAGAAUAAUCUUCCGGGACGGGCUGUGACAAUAUCAGCAAUAUUUAUGUUAAUUAUGAAUAGGUCAAUCAUGUAUUUAAUACUUAAAUGUAUUUAAAAUAAACACCUUAUCAAUGUUUUCUGAACUGUGCUCGAUUUUUCUCCUUCGCUUUGGUUCUGUCCCAUUGGAUUUUUCAAGCAAGAUUUUAUCAAGGCAACUAUCAUUAACUGUGAACAUAAUUUAUCAUUGAGACACGAACAUCCAAGGGGGAGUGUCGUGGAAAAAAAUGUAGAUAUCUUUAUACGUUGUAUGGUAGUAAACCAUCAUAAACACCAUAAAUAUGUAGAAACGCCCUUGCGGUACCUUUGAAUGAUAACUCAUGUAUUUGUUGCCCUAUGUAAAGAUGGCUAAUGAUAAUGGAAGACUAAUUUUCUCAUCCCAAUCUCUCCUGUCUCUCUUAUUCUCUUUUCUCUAUAUUUUAUUUCCAACAAGUUGUGUUUUUUUUUUAGUAUUGUUAAGCAACCCAAUAGAUUUUAAUCGUAGUCUUUGUUUUUUUUCUUUUAUAUUUUUAAUCAAUUUCAGUUGCUUAUCAGUUCUAGCUAAUUGAGCUCUUUUACAGCAAUUUUUUUCUUUAAAUAAAAUUAUUAUUAUUAAAAAGAGUGAGAAAAUUCGAAAUUGUUACAAUAAUUUAAAAAAAAUAGGAGUUUCAAAUCAUGAAGGUAGAGGGAGUUAACAACAUUUUAGGGGGGGGUGUAGUCAAACUAGGAUUUUGAAGGAUUUUAAAAGUGAUAGAUUUGAUAGGAUUUAAGAUGAUUAAAGACUCUUACAAAAUUCAUAUGGAUUUUAAAGAAUAUGAAUGGAUUGCGGUGGAUUGUGGGGGAAGGAUUUGAAAUCCUAGGGGGUGAGGUUUGAUUCUUUUUAGUUUUGGUUAUAUAUGGUAUGCUUUCAAAUCCCAGAAAAUCCACAACUUUUUAAAAUCCUUUAAAAUCUUAAUUUUUUUAAUACACUUAGAUUUGGAUGGAUUCUAAAAUCCUUUAAAAUCUUUUAAUUGACUACACCUAGAUUUGAAUGGAUUCUAAAAUCUUUUAAUUGACUACACCUAGAUUUUAAUGGAUUCUAAAAUCCUUUAAAAUCUUUUAAUUGACUACACUAUGAUUUUAAAGUCUUUAAAAUCCUCUCAAAUCCAAGUUUGACUACACCCCCUAAAGAUUUUAAGGAAAACUAAUGAAAAUGGCUUGAAAACUUUGAGUUUUAACUAGGGGUGGGCAAACGGGUACAGGAACCGCGGGUAGGGGUGGGUAAUUCAAGUUCGGGGCAGGUAUGGGACAUGUCCAAUAUUUCUAAACACAAAACGGGGCGAGGCUGUUCGGGUAUAUGAAAUUAUCGGGGCGGGGCGGGUCUUAAAAUAGAAGGGAACGGGCCCCCAGCCUGACCCGUUUCUUUUCCUCAUCCCUAGUCUUCUCUAUCUCUCUUCCCCGACACUUUUCAUUUCACUCAAACCCGGCCCAUUUCUUUUCCUCAUCAGUCAUCCCUAGUCUUUUCAAUCUCUCUUCCCUAACUCCUUUCAUUUCACUCGUACCUCGAGACCUCCUCUUAACUCGCUCCCAGCCUCCCACCGUCCUAGCUCCGUACCUCGCCAUCAUCAUCGUCAGACCUCCAUCUCUCCUGAUUUACUCAUGUCUUCCUCGCUGCGUCCGCCGCCAUGUCUCUCUUUCUGUGACGAACUUAAAGGGACGGACGAAGUUGAACAACUCGAAACGACGCCUCUUCUGUCUGAAUUAGACCCAUAUUUGCAGCGCACGACUCUGCUCAUAGUCCUCUUCGGUUUUAAGGUAUUACGUUUUAGAGAUUUAGGAUUGAAAAUUAAAUUAGGGUUUUCUAGAUUUAGGGAUUUUGUUGGGUUCUUGAACCUUGACCUCUGUUAUGUUCCAAUUUCAAAUAUAUAUUGAAUUGAAUUUGAAUCGACUGUGUUUGAAACUUCUGUUGAAUUAAAUUGAAUUUGAGCAGGAGAAGAGGCAGAUGUGGGUUGGGCAAUGUCGAAUCUCAUUGUGGGUGGUGAGGUGGGCAUGGCGGGCGACAAUAUUGACUGGCAAUGGUACGGGCGGUGCUAUUAAGUUGCAGAAGAAUACGAAGGAGGGGGUGUGGGCAUGGGUGGAUAUCGCAAGCUCAAUUGAAUUUUUUCUGGUUUUGUUUGUGAUUAAUUGCUUGUAUAUGAUAGUUAUUGAUGGAUCUUGACAUGCCCAUUUAAUUGUUAUUGGCAAUGCUAGUUUGAUUGUAACAAAUUCAAACCGAUUGAAUUGUAUCCCAGAAAAAAAAAUCAAUAAAGGAACUGAGGACCCGGCCCGAACCAGCCCAUUUCAACCGGGCCAGGUUAGGUUCGGUUCUUAUAUUAGAAAAUGUUGUUCCCGGCCCGUUUCUCUUAAGCCCGGAUCCAGUCCGAUCACUUCGAAAUUGGCCCCAACCCGGCCCGGGCCCACCUCUAGUUUUAACGAUAAGGACAAAAUAAAGGGUAAAGUGAAUAGUACCAAGUUUGACUUUUUAGUGUAAAAAUGUAAUUUUUCGUUAAAAUAAGAUUUUAAUGGAUUCUAAAAUCCUUAAUUAAGAAAUUAGGCUUCAACCCAACUCAUCUUUGCAACGCCGGUUCCACUUCACAUCAACAGGCAAUGUUUUCUCCUCAACAAAUAGUAUUCUUUUAUGAGACAAAGACUAAUGAGGGUGAUAUAUAUAAUUAAUAAUAAUACUUGUGUUCCCUUUGUGAGUGAAUGCACUUAUUUUACCAUUCUCUAAUAAUGUAUCUUUAUUAUAUAAAUUUAUAUCAUGUGGAUAUCUUCCUAUAAAAAAGUUAUUCAAAUUGGAAAUCCUUACGUCAUCAAAAUAUAUAAAAAAAUGGACGAUCUCAUCGUAAAUAUGUUAGUUACUCACACUAUAACUUUGUAUAUUCCCUCACGUAGGAAACGCAAUAAUUAUCCUCUAAUUAAUUCUUCUUGAGAGUAGAAUUUUUAUUGUUGGUUUUUCGCAACCUUCAGACCUAAAGCUGAUAUGGACCUCUCAUUGUUUUUUGGGUUGCCGUUCUUAUUUUGCUUGGUCCUUUUACCUUUUCUAUAGUUGUUUAUCUAGUUCUUUUGAGCCUCGUACUAAUUUUUAAUGUAAUGAAAAUUAUCUUCGUGAUAAAAAAAAAAAUCAUUAGUCCUCGUAUGAACAUGCGAUGUAACACACUUUCAUGGAACAACAGAUGAUAAAGACGAUAUCCAAAUUUUCUCUGUGUUAUGUGGACUUUCCCAACCAAAUAAAUAAUAACCAAUAAACAAAUAAAUAAGAGUUUAACUUCAAACAUUGAGAAGCGAAAUUCCAACACUACGAGCCUAACUUUUGUCUUCAUCAUCAUCAUAGACUAGUCUCCUAUCCAUCAACUCCUACAUCAAUUUUUUUUUUUACUAGAUUGUAGCUCACUUUCAAAAGAGUUACGUAAAGUAUUUAAGCACCAUAAAAGAAAAUUAAACGACAACGAUUGACAUAAUAUUAGUAGUAUCAUGGUCUAAAAUAUUCAUAAUAUCUUGAUAUUUUUAUUGAAAUUUUCGUGUUUUUAGACUACCUAUAUUUUCAAUAUCAUCGAUAUUUUAAACCUUGCUAAGUCACUCAUGUAUCUUACCAUGCAAUGUAUAAAGUGUAAAAUAUUGUACUAAUUCAUUAUAUAUAAAUGAUUAUAGUGUGUUUAAACUUCUUUCAUUAAUUACUACAUAUUUUCUACACUCACAAUGUUUGCCAGCUCGCUAUAUAAUCAACUUAAAUCAAUUAUAUCUAUCAUGUAAUGCAUUUCCUUCCAAUUUUUUGUGAUAAACUAAUAGAUAAUUGACUAAAUAAACAUCCUGCAAAGUUUCAAUAAAAAUUUCCAAGUUUUUCUUACAAUUUCCGUAGUUUUUAUUCAAUUUUUAUCGAUAUCGAUAAUAUCCCGAUAUUUCCAUCGAAAUUUCCGUAUUUUUAGACUACUGAUAUUUCCGAUAUCAUCGAUAUUUUAUACCUUGGUAGUUAUACAUUUUAUCGGCCUCAUUUUUAUGCAACUUAUACAUUAAAUUAUUGUCAAAAUGUACAUAUAAAGUAGCUGAUCAACGAUGAGAUUUUAGGCAACCAUUUUCUUCUACGACGUCAAAGGUUGUAGAGGUGGCCAUGUGCACUACAUGCGUAAAUCAACUAGGGACUUGGAUCCUCUCUUAAGCCCAAGGAGAGGAUCCUCCUAACCAAAUGACUUGGAUUGUUGGAUGAAAAUCUAACGAUUACAAACAGAUGAUCUCUUUAAAGUUAUAAUAUUUAUUACCGUUGAAUUUUCAUCAAACGGUCAAAUAUCAUUGGUCAAAAGGGUCCUCUCAUUGGGCUCAGAGAGGACCCAAGUGCAUCAACCAGAACUAUUGCUAUUAUAACAAUUCAUGAAAUCAAUUAAACAAUAAUUUUCCUUCUGGCAGGCAUGUUAGUUAUUUCUUAUUUGGCCAAUUGCCUAGUGGAUUUGGUAGAUUUAACCUCUCCACCACAAACACAUUUAAAAAUUUCCAGAAAUCCGUAACGUAAAAUUUAAAAAUAAAUAUUAAUAACAGCAAGUUCUUUUCACCGACCGUGACCGAGAUCUGUCACAUAUCCAAAAUGUCACCUCCUUAUCGCAAAAACCAAAUUUGACUUGGGAUAAAUACCGUGUACAAAUUAAACGCGUUUCUCUAGCUUUUGCGUAAAGAGGCAACCCAACACUAAACUAGGAAAACGUUGGGUUGACAAAGAUACCAUGAAGAAUAAAGGGGUUAUGCAAUCCACUUUGCAAGAUAAUCAAAGUUUCCCGUUGUAGACUUGUCUUAACCCAACACUAAACUAAGAAAACGUUGCUUUCCCGUUGUAACAUGAAACAACAUUAAACAACAUUAAACAAUAUUAAAUAACAUUAAAUAACAUAAAAAUUAUACAACAUAAAAAAAACCAUUUAACAACAUAAAACUUAAAAUGCGUACUUCUUGCUUCUUGUGGCCUAAAGAUGUGCAACAAGAUCUUGAUGUAGGUACUUGUUUGUGGCACGAAAACGUAUCAUCCUAGCCGUUGGAUUUGAAUUUUUUUUGUUUUCGGCCAAAAAAUUUUAAAUUUAAAAGUUGAAGAUGGUGAGAAAUAUGAUCCUACACUGUUCAUUAAAAUAUUAAUUUCUUGAAUGACCAAAAGGCUAAAACAAGCCAUCCUUCGGUUGGAGAUGCCUAAGGAGAGACUAGAGAUAGAGAGUUUCCUAUAUAUGAUUUUCAUUAACAAGAUUGAAAUGAUUUCAGAGAGAAGAUCAAGUAUGGUUAUUUUUAUUUUGUAGAGUGUAGACAUUAUAACUAUACAUUCAUAAUAACAUGAGUAAUGUUAUAUUUAUCACAUUUGUACUCUUUCUCUGAUAAAGGUAGGGUUCAUCAACACAUGUGGGUUCUAUUUGCCCAUCAACACAUGCGGAUCUCAUUUUUAUUAGAAAAAUAGUACAAAUAUGGUACGGAAAAUAUGAUAAGAUCGCAAUUUUGUAAUAACAUAUAUACUCAACUAUUUAUAUACCGACCCAUCUCCUUUUAGUGUAGAUAAUAUCGUUUGUUAAAAAAAAUGUUGAACUUGUCAUAAUCAUUGAAUCCAUUUACCAUGAACAAACGGCAGUUUACUAAACUUGCCCUCAGAGUAUAUAUAAAAGGUGAAUCACAAUCUAUUGCAUUAAUAUAAGGAAACAAUUUAUAGGGUUUGACGGGUGACUUAAUAUGCUAUAUGGCACAAUGAAAAUUAAGUUCACACUUUAUCCCAAAUAAGGUGUUGCACCUUUAAUUUAUGGAUGCUGGUUUGACGUGUGACCGAAAUAAUCAAAUUGUAGCCAUUAAUCAUUUUACAAGUAAUAAUAUGUAGUUUUUACUGUUUACGAUUCACACAACAAUCUGCUAGGAAGUAGAAAAUGCAGUACUUGUCCCUCUCACAGAAGUCAUGAAUAAUUAUCAAAUUCAAAGAUAAAGAAAAACCACACAAUUUACAAGAGGAAAGAAAAUGAAGGGAUAAAGAAAGUAAGAAAGGAAUACCUCUAUGGGAGGACUCUUAUUUGCUUCAGAUGCCUACAAUAUUCAUCAUAUAAACACUGAUUAAGUAGUCAUCGAAAACCAAAACAAAUGUCGAACAUAGGGUGAAAAACAGAAAGAAUAACCGCAGCUCAUCAUACCAAUAGAGAUAGAACUGCCCGAUGCCCAAGUAUGACUGAAAAAUGGCAAUCCAAACAUGGCGCCUUCUAGCUCAUCAAACUGUCAAAACCUAGGUUCCACCAAAAAGAUACAAGUCACCUAGUUACUUGUAAAAUAAAAAUCUGUUUCAAAAUAGUGGAAAAUAUUAUUAACAUUGUUCAAAGUCCACAUUGUUGUACCUACCAAGAAACAAGAAGGAUUGUAUCUUAUCAUGAAAAAGAACAUAGGUACCUUUUCAAUUGUAAUUGUACAAAAAUGAGAGACCACUUCCGAACUUCUCUUGGAACUUCAAUCAAUUUCUGCCCACUUUUAAAUGCCUUGACAUACUUAAGCCUAUUUCUUUGAGCUUCAGUUUUGGCUUCUGAUGCCUUUAAAUUUCUUAAAGAUUCUUACCAAGUUUUACAAACUCACUUCUAUACAACCAUUUGUCAGUAUACAUACCAUUUUCUUUGAGCUUCAGUCUUUGCAACACCAAAACCCCCCAAAUAGACCCGGAAUUUUGCAAUGUGCAGGGAAUAUACAAAAAAAACCCUCCUAUCCAUCUAAAACGAAAUCAGAACCCAAACCACAAUCAAAAUCCGUAAAAUUAAUUUAGCCAACCCUAAAUCUAAUAAUUCUAACAAAUAUUAUAGUAUCAAUUGAGAGAGAAUUUGAGAAGAUACCUAGAGAUGAAAGGAAGAGCGUUUCCUCUGAUAGGGGUUCCGUGAAAGCAUCUGUUGACCAGAAAAGAAAAGGCAAAAAACCCCAAAUUACAUAUCAAGCAAUUAUAGAUAGAUCGAACCUUGAAAAUUGAAAUUUCAAACAAGAGAAAGGUUAUAAACUUACAACGAUCUGGGUGUUGGUUACUGGGUUUGGAUUUGGGUUUCUGAUAAGAGAGAGAAUCGUAUGAGGAACCGAUAGAGGAACUGCACCGGCAACAGAGAGCAACUGAUAUGGUGGAGAAUAGAGAUGGGCAAAAUAUCCCGGUUAUCCGCCCAUUUAAAGUUCACAGUUACGGUUAUGGUAAUUGAACGGUUAUGGGUACUACCCGUGGUUAUAACGGGUAUCUAUUGGUUAUGGGUAUUAUCCGCGGUUAUAACAGGUAUUCAUUUACCCAUUUAAUUUCAUAUAUGUAAAAUUUAUAAUAUUUUUAACAGUUAUAACGCGUUUUUGUAUUUGUUGCCAAACUUUUCGUAUACAAAAAAUUUGAAGCACAAGAAGCCAACAAGGAGAAAGAUCAAAGAGCUUACUUGAAGCUUAUGAUCUAUCCUGCGGUUAAUAGAAAGUACUGGUAUUAGUGUAGAAAAAUGUUUGUUUUUAGAAGCUUUAUUUUGUAAUCAUAUGAAUUAUAAUUAAAGACUUGCUUGGGUGUAGUAAAAAAAUAUCGUUUGUAAACUAUUAUUUCAAUUAUUAGAAUUGUAUGAUGACCUAAAUGAUUAAAAUAGAGAAAUGCAUGCUAAAAUGUAUUUAUAACAGUGUUUAAUUGUCAGAUUUUUUUUUUUUUUGUAAUUUUCAAGUUGUUAAAAAAAACAUGCAGAGAGGUGAAAAAAGGGAUUAAAAAAUGAUAAACGGGUUCAAAACGGGUAAACGGGUAAAUGAUUAUGGUUAAAUAGGUAAACGGUUAUGGGUAAAUGGGUACACGGUUAUGGGUAUGAGUAUAACCGUUUAUGCAAUUACCCAACGGGUAAACGGCUAUGUGGGUAUGAACAUAAAUGGUUAUGAGUAAAUAACCGCGGUUACCCGCCCGCUAUAACCAUUGCACAUCCCUAAUAGAGAACAUACGAGAAUAGCCGCUUGGAUGGUCAAUCCAAGAAGAGAAAAUCUUGCCACAAUCACGGUACUUGAAAAAAAAAACAAUUUUAAAGGAGGGAAACAAUCGCGCCUUUUUUUUAAUAGACUCUGUCGACGAUAUUCUUGACAAAUAGUCGGGUGAGCUUAUUUUUCACAACAUUUUAUUUAGGACUAGGUUCGGUUGGCAAAUCGUGUCAAAUUUCUUGUGCCAUUUGCCAGCCACAUAUACAUAAUUACCAAAAAUCAGUUACCGUUCGCCAACCAUCUUCUUGCGGUUGCCAAAAAUCGGUUCAACCAAAAUGAUUGGCUGGUUCGGUUGGUAAAUGGCACAACCGGUGGUUUCCACUUCUUCCUCGCUAUCUUCUAGUUGCAAGGGCUCAAUUUGAUUUUCAGAUUGGGAUGCUUGUUCGGUUGCAUUGUGUGGUUCAUUUUGGGUUAAUCCAUGUUGUGCACUAGCAAUUAAUUGGCUAGACUCCAUCAUCCUAAACAUAAGCAACACAUAUACAUUCAAAAUCAUAUAUAUGUACGUGUAUAUAUAGUAUCAGUAAUCAUCAUGUUAUCAAUUUUGUUAACAAUAUUUUCUAUAUUGAUUAUGGCAUGAAUCAUAUACAUAUACAUAUAUUUUUUAAACCCUAAAACUAAGGAGUUAUUUAUUUUCUAAGCCCUAAAAUUGAGGAGUCAAGCAUGUAAAAAAAUACUUAAAAUAUCUAAAUAGAAAAAGAAAAAAAAAAAAAAAAAUAUAUAUAUAUAUAUAUAUAUAUAUCGGUAGGUAUGGCAUACCGCCGACAUACAAAAUCAAUUACCAAAGCCAUGCCAUUAAUUGUCGGUUCGGUAAAAUGCCAACCGAUUAUGAAAAAAUGCCAAAACUAUACCAUACCAUUUUGAGCCAACCGGUAUGGUUCGGUCGGUAAAUCGGCUUAUGGCAAAAUUUCUCACCCCUAAUUUUAUUUGUCGCCUUAAACCUAUUGGUUUCUAGCCUACAAUUUGGAUAUUUUGUUGGGGAAAGAUUUUUGUACCAAUAAAAUUUUGCUUUGUCAGCUUAGGAUUUGUCGGCAAAAUGACAUUUUCUAGUCGUUAUAAUAUUAGGUAGAUCAAAUUUGUAAACUAUGUGAUGUGUCACCAAUAGGAAAAAAAUUCAGUGUGCUGAAAAUACAGUCUAGAACACCAAGUGUCAUAAUAUAUACUUGGUUGGAAAUUUUUUAUUUUCAAGUUUCCAACUAAUUGUAUUGUAACAGUUGGUGUUCCAAGCUAUUUUCUCGAUGCGUUGGAAAAUCUCUUCACCAAUUAAAAAUAAACAUAUUAAUUAACACUUAAGUAAUAAUCAAAGUAUCAACAACUACGUCAUAAAAUUUACGAAAUAUGAUCUUAAUUAAUGAUCUCCAUGGCAUUACCCUUUAUCUUAGCGUAUACGUACGCCUUCACAUGUUUAUUUGCUGAUAUGCAGCUUGAGUAAAAAUUUCUUUUUAAGAACAUAUAUGUGAAUAUAAACAUAUAUAUCUAGUGAUCCAUGUUGCGUUAUUUAAAAAUAAACAAAUUAAUUAAUUAAUAAAUGAACUGUGUGCAUGUCUGUGUAGAGUAAUCCAUAUGCAUGCUUGAAUCCUGAUCACCACGAAACCAUAAUAUAAGCUACUCAAGGCCCGGAAGCUAGGAUUGAAGAGAAAAACACCCAGUCAGAUUAAGCCAAUAUAUCAAAGUUAAUACUUCGAAAUGUAAGCUUUAAGAUAGAAAAAUCACUUACUACCUUGAGCAGUCGAGCUUCUUCAAUGGCAUGAAGCUUUUAGCAUGAGAUUGACUGCAUCACAACUAAAAUUUUCUCUUGGAAACUACAUAAGGAAUAGCAUGUAUACCUAUAACGUUGAGAAAGUACGCCAAUUUUUUCCUUCUGCACAUUCAUGUUUAAAAGUAAUCCUCAAAUGAACUUGCCCACAAUGAAAUGCAAUUUGAGGUAGUCGAGUGUGUUCCAUUUCCAUUCCAUGGGAAUUACUACUAAACUUUGAGAUGGUAAAGGAUUCAUGAAAUUUUUUACUUUUGAGAUAGCCUCUUUAACAUUUCUCGACUAUAACAAUGAGGGAAUACUUCACCUUGUAUCAAACAAGGGAGAGCGAAAAUCAACUACUAAUAGCAUCACAGAGCCAGCAGAAGAUUGAGGAGGCCAUGAAGAGGAGAGAGAAAAUACACUCUUUUUUUUUGUAAGGACAGAGAUAAUACAUUCAGUAAGGGGUACUGAUGUUUAUAUGCAAUGCUGAUUAGGUUUAAAUAGUCCUAUUUAUUCUGUACAGUGCCAAUAUUACCACCCGUUAGUACACUUUCAAGACACUGUACUCCAGUGUGUGCGCUAUGCAGUACGUAGUACUCCUCAUUUUUUGGGGAAAUUCAUUAUUGGUCUUCAUAUCUUCUUUAUUUUCCUUUUCCUCAUUGUGCCACGUGUUUAAAUCACUAAUUGUAGGUAAUCUUUCAAUUUAAUUAAAUCUUAUGUAAAAAAAGAUAUUUAAAUAUCAUUUAGUAUUACAAGAUAGUGAUAUUCCUCUUUAGUAUAAAAUUUUUAUAAUUAAAAGCGUUCAGUUUUUUAAUCUUCAUUUGAAUACUAUCUAUAAAGAAAAAUUAUUCGAAUAAGAGAUCGUUUAUGCAUUCAAAUGUACAAAAUGCAUCGACAGUGUGAGAACGAAUUAAUAUAUUUUUGAUGAAGUACAAUUAUUGAAUACAUUUGAAUGAUCAAAUGAUAUAUGAUUCAAAAUACAUAUUAAGAUAAUAAAUAUAAGUGAAUUGUUAUUAGCACUCCAAGAAUCUUAUUAUACACUCUAAAUUUUCUAUAUUUUGAAUGAAAAAUAAAUUUAUGAAGAGUGUAGAAUGAGAUUUUUUAAUGCUAAUAACACUUCUCUAAAUAUAAUUAUGAAAUUAAUAAAGUAAAGAUACAUGACCUCGUGAAUGAUGUAUGUAUUAUUCAAAAAAUUAUUAAAAACAAAUUGAAAAAGGACGCUGUUGUUGCCACCACUUAUGCAAUGAUCGUCGCUGCCAUCACCAACCCCCAACACCCCAUUACAGCUCAUAAAAGCACAUCAUAAGCAAUUUAUGAAAUAAAUUUACUGGAAUACUAAUUUCCCCCUUAGUUUAGGUCACCAAUGUUUAAAUUUAGGGGUGUGAUAUGCACAUACCUUUUUUUGCUUCUCUCACACUUUUUUUGUUGUUGUCGAAUCAGAUGAAUUGAAGAAGAUCAAUUGACAGAAAUUAACAAGGGGUGUAUGAAAAGUAAAAAUGGAUGUGUAGAUAACACAUCCCUAAAUUUAUCACAACUUUCAUUCCAAAUUUAAUUUUUAUGCGUAGUUUUGUUUGUUCAAAUUUACUUUGACAUUUCAAUUAGUAUUAAAAUCUAAUUUAAAUUUUAGCGUUCAAGCUAGAAAAAGUGUUCCAUUUAAUAUUUAAUCUCAGUUUUUCUCUUUAUUCUUUUAUUCCGAUUUGGUUGCAUCGUAUCUCCAUUUUUCUCGGUGUUGUAUGUUCAUAAGGCCUGGGAAACGUUGGCACGGAGUGAAGGGUACUCACUUUUUGGCCCAAAAUGCAUAAGGCAUGUAGAUAUGUUAAUCAAAUUUUGUAAACUAAAGGAUAUAGAAGUUGAUACUUAGAUUAUAAUUUAAGAUAAUACUAAAGAGACUAAAUUUGCAAACUAAAUGAUGUGUCACCAAUAAAAAUAAGCACGUUUAUCAACGCUUAAGUAAUAAAUCAAUCAUCAACUUUCAUGUCCUUUAGUUUCCAAAAUUUAAUAUACAAAUUUAGUCUCCCAAGCAUUACUCUAUUACUUAAGUAUUGAUUAACAGACUUAUUUCUUAUGGUGACAUAUUAUUUAAUUUACAAAUUUAGUCAACCCAACAUUACUCUUUUGAAAUUGUCUUGUCCACUGAUAUAAUUCUAUUUUUCUUGUGAUCAAAACUUCAAAUGUUAGCAAGUCGCACGUAAAGUCACUUCUGAGAGAAUGUGCUCACAUUGUAGUUGAAAGAUUAUGUGGCUAGCAACAUUACAAAUUUAAUUUGGUAUAAUUUAAAAUAUAGAUUGAGGAAAAAAUGAUCACAUUAACUAGAAACUGAAAAGGUUUCAGCACAGUUUGUUCAAGCAAGAAACUCAAUUUUGAUGCUACCGAUCUUAACAGCCUGAGCGCCGUACCUGGGCACUAAAGUCACCACCACACUCUCAUCAUCUUCAGCACCCAAAUCCUCCAACAGGUCCGUUAACCCCAACCUUAAACAACUCUUGCUCUUUUCCUUCUGCUUAUGUGGAACACUCACAAAACUCCCAGCAAACUCGCUCUUGUCGGGUCCACUCGGUGCCGCAUCCUCAUCGUCCACGUCAUUCACAUACACAUCAAACUUCACAGCCACAUCUUUGUCAAGCUCAAUCCCCUGAAUCACCAGUAUCUCCUCCUCAUCCUCUUUCUCCUUCUUGCUCCUCUUCUUCGGCUUCGGCCUUGACACCACCGUACUUAUCUUUGUCUCCAAAUUUAUUGGAAAAUCUUUACCCGCCACCACCUUCCCCGAUGACGUCGUCUCAGCGGCCUUCGCCACUCCAGCCGCCUUUGCCUUUCUCGCAAGCUUUGUCCGACGUGGCGUCGGUCUAGACUUGAGCCAUGGAAUCUCAACAUCUUCAUACGUAUACCCUAGCUUUUUAUUAUCAAGAGUGUCCCUCACCGUGACCCUAACAAGCUCAGCAUUCUCGUCAUAAAACAAAAACCCCGUAUCCAACCAAUCCUUAUCGUUAAUAUCUUUAUUUUUAGUCCCUAUACUUUUCCAAAUAUUCCACAUUCGAUCUAUAUUCGAAUGGUGCGAAAAAAAUAUUGGAUCCCUUGCAGCGGAGUAAAAAUUCCCCAUGUCUUCAAAAUUAGGUUGCGUGUUAUCUCCGGUCCAUGUAUGAACCGGACCAUGUGGGGUCGUUUCGAUUGAACCGGCCCCUGGAUCUGGUUCGGUGCCAGCCCUGUAGGGCGAACCAAAGAACAACAGCGGUUUCUUGGAGUUGGAAACCAUCUGCCUAUACAUGAUUUUGAGGUUGGCGUCGAUUUGAGCAUCCUUGGACAUUGUUUCAUCCGUGCCGUUAAAGUCAAGAUCGAUGAGAGUCGGCGGCUGAUGGCUGGCAGCGCGGAGCUCGUCGUAAAGCGGAGAGUCCGGGUUAGCGAACAAGGCAGGGAGUUGCAUGCCAGCUGGCGCGUCCCAGUUCCAAAACGGCAACGCGAACGUCGGAUCGUCUAUGAGUUUGGCCAAGAUUCUUUCGUGGAAGUAUAGGUAGUAACGAUGGAAGGGGAAGAAAAGCCAGGAUUGAUGGAUUUGGAGCUCGAGGUUGGGGAAGCCGACUUGAUCGUACGCGCCGUCGCAAUAGGCACAGUGGAUAUCGGCUUGCUGGGUGAAGCUACGCGGAUCGUCGUCCGGGAGGGCUUUCAUGAGCUCGAUGGCUUUUGAAUAUUUUUCGAUGUAGGCUUUAUCCACGGUGUGAGCUGCCGGCCUGACGCGGAGUUUGGUAGGGGAGGGGAAUUUGAAGUCUACGAUUUUUUGGGACGUUGGCGGGCAACAGUUGGUCGGGACUGCUCCACUUGGAAAGUCCGCACCUCCGCAUUUGGCUAGGUCAGGCGGCGACACUGGCUUUGCAACAGCGAAGGGGUCGCUGCCAAGACCAGCCACUCCACCGUACAGGCUUCCGAGACCUAUAAGUACAUGUCUUCUGUCUAGGUUUACUGGAGAAAGGUUUUCAUGGUCGUGAUCGUUGGAGCUAGUGGAAGGGUUUUUGUUUUGGUCACUACUAUUAUUCGUGGCUUUGCAUGAGACGGCUUGUAAAUUGGAAUGCCUAGGGUUUUCAAAUAAGGAAAUUCGGUGAUACUUUUGGGAGAAAGGGAAGAGAGAAGUUGUGGGGAUGAUACUUGUGGUGGAGGUGACGAGUGGAGCUGACAUAGAAGCCAUGGUUACUUGACUCUGAAUACUACGUUGUAUAGGCUUUGCUUUUAUAAUGUGUUCUAGGUUUUACUUUUCUUUGCACAGGUGGCAGGCCGUACACAUUGGCGGUCCUUAAGGGUUUGACGAGGAAUACUACGUAGUCAUUUAGUACAGGGCAACCAUGCACUAUAGCACGUGGCAUGUAAUAUUUACGUAGUCUCAGAAGGUGAAGCGGUUUUGGGCUUCUUGUGUACCAAUAAUAUUUACGUACUCAUUAUUCCACUGGAUGGAUUGCGUGCACGUGAUCUUUAUUCAAACAAAUCACUAUUGACCAUAUAUUGCAAUUGGUUAAUGUUAGGCAAAUUAAAUUUUUACAUCAAAUAAUGUGGUUGCUGAUUAUUGAAUUAUUAUUUAAGUUUGAUUAAUGUGCUUAUUUUUUAUCGGUAAUACAUCAUUUGAUUUGCAAAUUUGAUUUACCUAAUAUUACCAGUUAUAAUUUGUAUAAAUGGACUGGUACCUAACAUUACCAAUUGUAAUUUGUAUAAAUGGACUCGUACCUAACAUUACCGGUUGUCCCAAGAGCACACGCUACUGCUCAAGAAGCAAAGUUCUUAUUUGCCCAAAAAAAAUCAUGGUUUUUUAAUUGAUGCUCUCAUUUUAAUUUACUAGCCCCUUACUUGGCCCUUUUUAUUUAUCAUUUUAUACAUAUUAAUAUUUUGUUUGUAAAAUAUAUUAGUGUUAGUUUUAUCAAAAUUAAAAAUAAAUAAAAAACUUAGCUUUAGUAUUUAGUUAUUGAAAUUGUAAAAAAAGUGAUAAAGUAUUGGGUGCUUUGUUUGAAAAUUUUCAAAAUGAUAUUGUUUUUACCACUGAACCCCUGUUAUAUACAGUGAUGGCUAAUUUGUCAAGUUCUACGAAGUUGGGAUACCCAGCGUUUUAGCAUAUAACAUAGCUUAGUAUUUCAAGCAUAAUUAAUUAACGAAAAAUUAGUAUCCGGUCCCUAGUUUUUACUGUUCAUUGACUAAGACCUUAUUAGUUCUCAAAUUUUGAUUCAAGUCCCUAGCAUUAAUGUGAUAAUGAAUUUACAUGUUUAUUAUAUAAUUUUUUAAUAUAAAAAUUAGUAAUUAAUUUAGGGUUUAAUACUCACACCUCUAUUAAACUUCUAAUUAAUUUUCAAUUCAGACAUUUCCAAAAUAAUAAAAAAUUAAAUUAAAUUAAGUUUGUACCUAUUAGUUUUUUUUUAUAUAUAAAAAGAUUCUCAAUUUUUAAUCUUAAAUGUACAUCUUAAAUGUACCCAUUCUCAAAUAUAUCAAUUUGUUAUAUGUAAAAUGUACCCUUUUUUAAUAUAAAAUCCAUUCAAAAUUUUUAAUCCAUGUUUAAACUUAUAUGGGUACAUUCUUUUUCGUUGAUUUGAGAAUGUAUCCAUGUUUUGGUACAAUAAAUUUUUUGUUAAUUUUGGUUAAUGUACCCAUACAUAUAUGUACACACACACACACACACACACACACAAUAUAAUAGAGAGUAUAAUUUAUAUUUUAUUAUUUUUAAUCCCAUAAAUGAUGGGUUUUAUUUAAAAUCUCAUUAAUAUAAACAAUUAUAAAUUUCAAUUUUUAAUUUUUAAUUUAAAAAAUAUAGUAACUUACAUUAUUACAUUAAUGUCAGGGACCUCAAUAAAAAACUAAAAACUAACAAGGUUUCAAUCAAAGAAUAUUGAUAGCUAGGGACCACAUCCAAAGUGUCCCUUAAUUAAAGGGUAAAUUACAUAGUAACCCCUCAGGUUUGAUGUCUAUUACAACCCCAUACAACAUCUUUAAAACAUUUCACUUUCAUACCUCAAGUACUAUUUUAUUUCAAUAUAAUACAUCUGUUAGAUUUUCCAUCCAUUAAUCCGUUAAAUGCUGACAUGGAUACCACAUUUGUGCCACGUGGCUGCCAAAUGCGUGUCAUGUGGCAAAAAUAAUAAUUUUUAAAUUUAAAAAAAAAUGAAUCUUCAACCCAAAAAAAAAAAAAAAAAAAAAACCCCAAACCCAGAUCCCAUCAACCCCCCCCAAACGAUUAUCCCUUCCCCAUAUCCCCCAUCCCACCCCCCAACCCCCCCUCUGCGACCAACCUUACCAUAGCGCCCCCCAACCUCGCGACCCACCUCACUCAAGGCCCUAAUCCACACUACCUACAACCCAGAAACGAAAAAAAAAAACAAAAAACAAAAAACUCAUCUCCCUUUCCCUGCAACCCAAAUCCCAUCUUCCCUAAUGGGUAUGGAUUUAAGAAGUGGGGUGUGUAGAGGAGGGAAGAGGGUGGGUGCGGAGGAUGGGUAUGGUGGGUUGCAAGGAAGGGGGGUCGGGUAAGAUGAAGAUGGGUUUUUUUUUUCUCUCUCUCUUCUUCUUCUUCUGGGUUGCAAGUUGUAGGUUGGGGUUUUUUUUUGGGGGGGGGGGGGAGGGAGGGAGGGAAGACGACGUGGGGUUUGGUUUUUUUUUUUUAAUUUAUUUAGAAGAUUUAGGUUUUUUGAAAAAAAAAAAAAAAUUCCACGUGGCACAAAUGUGGCAGCCACGUCAGCAUUUAACAGAUUAAUAGAUGGAAAAUCUAACGGAUGUAUUAUAUUGAAAUAAAAUAGUACUUGAGGUUAGAAAGUGAAAUGUGUUGAUGCACAAAACCGAAGGUCUUUGAACAACGUAAAUCCGAUCGUGAAUAUGCAAGUAAUGUAAAUAACACAAGAUGUAUCGUGGUUCACUCCAAUGUUUGGGCUACGUCCACACUGAUUAUUGUAUUUCUCUGAGAGGUGAGGGGGAGAGCUUUGAGAAAGCUUAGAGCUUAGGGGAUGUGAGAAGGCUUAAGAAUUGGCCUCCCUUAUUUGUGAGGGUGAUGAGUCCUUUUAUAGAAUAAGGGAUCCUCACUUAUUACAUAUUUGCCCAUUCCUUUAUUACAUAAUUACAUUUAAGUCCCCUGAGUACUUGUACAAGGUCUAAAUACGGAGGCCCUAAGUAUGGUACAAACAGUAGUCCCCCAAGUCUUCAGUCAAGAGAGUCUUUUGGCUAGAGACUUGAAAUUCUGUCCAUGUGUGAGCCGAAAUAACUAGAUGUCGUCUAGAACUGAUAUUUGAUAUGCGGCAGUGCCCAUUUUGAAAUAAUGCUCAACUAGAAGUAGCACAUGCUGCGAGGCUGCUCUGCUUGUGUUGCCUUGGUUGGCUCGACUUGUGGCGUUGAAGGUGAGAGAGUCCCUUUUAUAGAAUAAGGGCUCGCUCCUCAUUACAAAGAUGAUGGGUUAGUUGGUGCUUGCGGUGAGGCGGAUGCUCAGCUGGCGGCGAUGCUCUCUAAUGAUAGUGAGGGAGUCCAUUUUAUAGAAUAAGGGAUCGCUCCUCAAUACAUAAAUAAUAGGUGCUCUCUAAUGAAAGUAAGGGAGUCCCUUUUAUAGAAUAAGGGCUCACUCUUCAAUACAUAAAUAAUGGGCUAAGUCCCCUAAGUAUUUUUUAUGAGGCCUAAUUGAGGCCCAAUAUAUGGUACAUAAUGUAGUCCCCCAAGUCUUCGGUCAAUAGAGUCUGUUGGCUGGAGACUUCAAAUUGAAUCCAUGUAUGGGCCGAAGUGGCGGUUGUUCGGAAGCGGUAUUUGUAUACCCUGCACUGAAGCUUUAUAGGUGAAGCUUUGCAAGUGAAGCUUUGAAGCUGGAGCUCAGUAAAUGAAGCUUUUGAAGCUAGAGCUUUUGUAAAUGAAACUUUUGAAGCUGGAGCUCUAUAAAGGAAGCUUUUGUAAAUGAAGCUUUUGAAGCUGAUUCACAUGAGUGAUGCUCAUGAAUGUUUAUGUUGAUUGAUAUGAGUGAUGCUUAUGGAUGUUGACAUGAGUGAUGCUCAUGGAUGUUGACGUGAUGCUCAUGAAUGUUAACAUGAGUGAUGCUCAUGAAUGUUUAUGUAUGAUUGAUAUGAGUAAUGUUCAUGAAUGUUUAUGUAUGAUUGACAUGAGUAAUGCUCAUGUAUAAUUUGAAGUACUGGGCAUACUUUUGAUUACCUGGUUGGCGAUAAUAGCGGCAGGGUGCCGAAUAAUUUUUUGUAGUACUGGGCGUACUUUUGGUCACCUGGUUGGUGAUAAUAGCAGCAGGGUGCCGAAUAAUUUUUUGUAAUACUGGUCGUCCUUUUGGUCACCUGGUUGGUGCUAUUUUGAGCUUAUGGGCCUUCGCCCUCUACACAACAUUCCAGCCUAUUUAUUUUGGGCUUUACCGUUUUUUUUAAUUACCCUAUGAUGGGGUUUAUACAGAUGUCUCCGAAAGAUAUGAAAAAUAAAUUACAUCAUUCAAAAAUAAAUCCGACCCUCUGCUCAAUGGGUCACGCCAAUAAUUCUUUUUUUUUAUGCAUGCCAUCACCACCGCAAUUAUGUCUGCUUCUUUUUAUCUUCUUUUGCUUUCUGCUUUUGCUUUUACUUUAUCUUUCUCUUUUGGCAUAUGGCAGACAACGCCAAAACGGAAUAAUGAAUUAUUAUGAGAACAUGAAUCUUAUCUUUUGCCUGGUUUUCCACUAGUGCUCGUGGUAUUCUCAGGAGAUUGGAUCUGGGGGUAGGCGACUACCCCAGCACCUUGCCCUGAUACGUAAUAGCCUGAUGUCCCACUGCCAUCUCCAUACUGGAAGGUGUACGAACAAUGGUUAUUCUGUGUGGAACAAAUAGAAUCCGAUUGAGAUUCAAGACUGCACCUUCGAUCUGAGCAAGAAAUGAAUUGUGACGUUGAUGAACUUCUAGGAGGAGAAGCAGAGGAUCUUUGACUAUGAUGAUCUUUGAAUUCCAGAUGAAACUGAAUAAAAUGCAGGUUGUGGAGCUUGAUGUGGGCCCAGAUCUGCUUGACAGCUUUGGGGCGGGAGGAUUCCUUGACACUGAGGAAGAUUCCCAGAGCUGGAGGGAUGAGAAUCGACUUCAUAAUCCCGAUGGUGGGUUUGUGCUUGGUCGAAAGAUCAUUUCUGGCAGGGGAAAACAUGUACCAUACCUAUUGCAAAUCUUGCAAAUUCUCUGCUUCUCCAUGGAAGAUGAAGAGCAUCGAAUCUCUGUUUUCUCUCUCUCUCUCUAAAACGUUUUCGUUAUAGAGUGCCCCAAUAGAAGUGGACGGGCAGUGAGCAUGCCAUUUAGUGCCUCCUCCAAGACAGUAACUGAUACGGUGGUCUUUAUUGGCACUCCAAGUUUACUAAAAAGGGCAGCAAAAAUAGUAUUUACAGCACCCAAACUUGAAAGAUCUAGCUCCAACUAGUGGCUUUCUGUUUCAACAGCCUGAAAGCCGGCAGUGUCAUACCGACGCCGUUUGUCUGGAUCAAAUAAUAUAUUAUAAGAAAACAUGACCUUCUUGAAGAUAUCAGCUGUUUUAGAGUCAUUAGCAUUUUUGUCAGGAUGGUACUUGAGAGCCAUUUUCCGGUAAGCACUUUUGAUUUCCUGGUUGGUGGAAUUCCUAUUGAGGCCGAGGACCGCAUAAGGGUUUUGUCGGAGCUGCUUCUUAGCUUCUUGCUUCUCCGAUUUUGAUCGGCUGCCCUGCAUUUUUGAAAUUGACGGUCAAUUUCUUCACAAAACCCUAGAAAUUGCCUCUCGAUUACCUCCGAAACACAUAAUUCACGACUCUUGGUUGAAAUUUUUUUUUUUCAUUUCAAAGAAGUGGCGGAGGUAAAUCAGUUGUCACAUAGCACCGGAGCAUGAGGAAAACCUAGAAAACCAAGAGGCAGAGAGACUCCAUGCACAUCUAACCUGGAACCUUGCAGGAGAGAGCAGAGAGAAAGAGACAAGAAAGAUUGAGGGAGAAGCGAUCUUGGUGCAUCGUCUGUGAUUCCUUGGUGAUUUGCUCGAUCGGGACUCUGAAUUCGUGCAAGUCAUUGCUGUUAAGCAAGAAUCGCGAGGAGUCGGAGAGCUUGGAAAUCGAGAAGGAGAGAGGGCCUUUAGUCAGGGCUUGGAGGGUGUCGGACUCCGUCGGCCAAGAUUGGUGCACGGUCACGGCGUCUGGGCCCAUGGCGGUUGUGUAAAUGGGGGAGGUUCUAGGAGUCCAAGAAAGAAGAAGAAGCAGCGACCAUAGAUCUGGGAGUCCAUGGCGCUUGAAAGAUACGGCGAACAAGUCGGACUUGCUGCUGGGCAGCUGGCGGUGAUAAUGUUGGUGCAUGGGUUUUGGAGUGGGAGUGUUUGGAAUGGGUUUUUUGUUUAGUUUCUAUGUGUUUUUUCACAGAGAGAGAGAGAGAGAAGUGAUGGUGUUUAAGGGAUGAGUUUUGGAGCUUAGUGAAUGCUUUUUCUGGAAAAGCCCAGUGAGGUUUGUGGGUUUUUGCAGAUUUUGCAGAUUCGCGGUGGAGGUGAAAGAAUGAAAGAGAACCGACACAACUUUUCGUAUUGAUUCCCACAUACGGCGCCAAAUGUUGAUGCACAAAACCGGAGGUCUUGGAACAACGCAAAUCCGACCGUGAAUCUGCAAGUAAUGUAAAUAACACAAGAUGUAUCGUGGUUCACCCCAAUGUUUAGGCUAUGUCCACACUGAUUAUUGUAUUUCUCUGAGAGGUGAGGGAGAGCUUUGAGAGAGCUUAGAGCUUAGGGGAUGUGAGAAGGCUUAGGAAUUGGCCUCCCUUAUUUGUGAGGGUGAGAAGUCCUUUUAUAGAAUAAGGGUUCCUCACUUAUUACAUAUUUGCCCAUUCCUUUAUUACAUAAUUACAUUUAAGUCCCCCGAGUAUUUGUACGAGGUCUAAAUACGGAGGCCCUAAGUAUGGUACAAACAAAAUGUUUUAAAGAUGUUGUAUGGGGUUGUAAUAGACCUCAAACUUGAGGGGUUACUAUGUAAUUUACCCUUAAUUAAAAUAAGGGCAAAUGAAGAGGAUGGUUGAACUUGUUAAGUUUCUUAAGUGUGUCUAAUUUAAGUGUGUUGUUAAUAAACAUUUAUUAUGGAGGCAAAGAGAGGGAAGGUGCGGCAUAGAAAGAGAAGAGAGAGAUAUGUAAUUGUGAGUUGUGUUUUAUUCCAUCCCAUUGUGCAUUUAUUUAUAUUAGUUGGGAAAGUUAAUUCUUUAACCUUUUAGGAUUACAACUCUAAUAGGAAAAUAUAUAAUCUAAAAGAUAUGGUAGAAUCCCAUAAGAAUAUCCUAGAUAUGUUAGGAUUUACACAAUCAUAUUCCUAUUCCAAUAGGACUGCAAAACAUUUGUAUUUUUUUAUAAUUUUUUUGAUAAUUUGUUGGCAUUUUCAAUUUUUGUUAACAUUGAAAAUAUAACGGUUCAGAUGAAAAACCUUUGGAAAUCCAACAUUGAAAAUAUAACAGUUUGACGUUGGGCUGUGGUGAAGGAGGCUGGGCUGUCACGUGGGUGGGGCCCUCCCUCUCCCACUUGGUGAUUCAAAGGGCGCAGGCCCGUGCAACAAUUGAGGCAGCCCAUAGAGAUCCUGCGUUUCACCCAUUUGCCAUUUUUUCCACCGCUGGAGCACCAAAAUUCGGUCCAAAGGCAGGGGUUCCAAUUGCAUGGGCAAUUUGGUUUCCGCUGGAGGUGCUCUUUGUCGACUUUGUUUAUUCUUUCUUUUUAGCUUUGCAGUAAUAUUGAAGUAAUCACUCCAAUUGUAUCCGAACUUUUGUUGUCCAUCAAUUUGUAUCAAAACUAUUGGUUAAUUUACAUAUUCAGACUAACCUUCUCAUUAUUUUUAGUAUUUUUAUCAUAAAUAAUAUCUAAAAUAAUCACAUUUUAUUCAACAACCACUCAAUUAAAAAUUAAUUAAUGUUGUUUCUAAACCAUUACAUCGAGCUUUUGUAAAUACACAUCAAUAUUGCAGCGAUCCGAGGCAUUGUUUUCUACGCCUUGGAUUUGGCGAAUUGGAAAAGAGAAGAGUUACGAGUAAAAGUCCCUCACAUUAAGAGGGCUCCUCCUCGGGGAGAUGAAGAUGAUGAUCUUUUGUUUUUGUUUCUUAAUGAUUAAUCCACGCAGCAACAUAUAAUUAGAUUGUUGGGAUCUACUCAAGUUCCAUAUCACGCACUAAUAUAAAGUUUGACAAACGAAACGAAAUAUGUGCUCUCGAAAGCAAAAUGAGGGCACUGCUCCAAGAACAGGAAGGGCUCCUUGUCGAGGUUGCCAUCCGCCAUGAGGGAAAACCGGAAGAAGUUAGACAACAAUGAUGACAUCGAUUUGCAACACCCAUAUUGGGACAUCAAACUGUGAAAUAAAUACUCAAAACUCCUGGAAAGUCCUCGGGACAACAAACUUUUAUCUCCUUCAAAUAUUUCAUUUUACCAAGUUUUAUGUUUGAAGGGAGGGAAAAAAAGAGAUGAGAGAAUCCUACUCCUUAUUCUUGAAUAUAUUCAGGAAUAACUAUUGAAUAAAGAGAGAAUGGAAGGGGAUCGAAAGAGGAGGGAAGAUAAUUCUAGUCCCAAACAUAAAAAGGACCACAACUUUUAAAUUAUCAGCACGAUCAUCAUCUGAUUGAAGAGACCAUUCAUUGUGAAACAUAUCGUCAAUCAAUAUGUCUAUAUCUAUUUAUAUACCACAUUUUUGGAGUAGGAUUCUCCCCCCUCCUAUUACCAUCCCCUUCCAUCCCCUUCCAUCCCCUCCUUUCAUACUUUUUUUUUUCUUAUUCUCUAUAUAAAAAAUUCAAAACAAGAUGUAGAUGUGUCGUAAUCGCAAUAGUUUAAAUAAAAGGAGAUGGAAGGAGAGAUAAAUUACGAGGGGAGAGAAUCUUACUCCCACAUUUUUCUUCUUCAUAAACAAAAGAGAGGUUCUAGAUUACUUGACUCUAUGCCUCAUUUUUUUCAUCAAGUAUUUGUGCUAAACGGGUUCAGUUUCAAGUAUUUUAGUUUUUUGUCAAAAUUGAGAAAACUGAAAAUCAAACAUUAAUAUGCAAAAUUAAAAAAUCAACACAUAAUUAUUUAGAAAUCGCAAUAGAAAAGAAAAAAUGGAGGUUUGUGAUGAAAAAUCUUUUAUACUAAGUAAUUUAGUAUCCUUAUGCAUGAAGAUAAUCAAUUCGUUCGUUAUGGUCAGACUCUUUUUGAAUUUUUGAACACAUUCUCCAUAGGGCCUUCUUAUUUGUUCCUUCUCCGAGUUGGGGUUAUGGAAGAAGUAAAAGAAGGAACCAAGAAGAAAGUAUUGGCAACAACCGAUUUCGUUACGGGACAACUCUUGAUAUUCAUAUCGAUCUAUUAUGUACCUUUGCAUCUAGCAUUAGACAAUAACUGUCAUAGCUUUACCAUAUUUUUUUGUUUCAUUUCUUCUGAAACAAUAACACACACUUUUUUAUUAUGUGUCUAAUACUAGGAAUUCAAUACAUAAUCUUAGCAUUCAAUAGUUAUUCCUGAAUAAUUUCAUUUUUCAAUUGAUCAACCAUUUCAUUUUUCCAAGUUCAAUCAAUGUUAGUCACAUUAGUCAACAUUUAUAUAUUUUGAUGCAACAACAAUAUGUUAUUUGUAACAAGUGAUUUUGCUAGUUGGUUAAUUGGUCACAAGUUAAUGUUCGGUUCAGUUCAGCUUUUCUCUCGAUUUUUUGCGAUUCGGUUUUUUCGAUUCUCUUUAGAUUCGGUUCGAUUUUGUUUUUUUAUUUAUACUUAAUUUUUUUUAAUCUGAAAACACCAAGAACAACACAAGCAUACUCAAUCAAACAACUAUCCUUCUCCACAAAUCACAGUAAUAAUUACAUUCAUUUAGCUAAAAUGCAAAUAACUAACAAACUCACAAAAAUCGAAUAAAAACUACAAAUUGCUUACUCUUUUUCUUUGGGUUUCACUCGAAAAGUGUCGGUAAAAUUUAGGGUUUGCAAGAACGCAACCGAAAUCCAAAACGGAGGCUCUGUGGCUUGUGGGCUGCUAUUGAGUUCCAGUACGGAAAACCUUGCUUACUCUCUAUCACGGUACAAAGUAUCAGUACCUUUAGCACUGUAUUUGGUAGAACCAAAUUAAAAGCUAACAUCAAUAACAACUACCAGAGACAUAAGCUCUUAUCAAUGCUUUGGAAACAGUCAUGUAUCUCCAAGUGUAAUGAUAUAAUUAGUAAGAAAUUUAAAAGAAAAAUGGUGAUUUCAUAUAAAAUCAAUAAAAAGUUACAAUAUUGACAAUAUAUCAACAAUUUUUAUGGGGUAAAUUACAUAGGACCCCCUCAGGUUUGAGGUCUAUUACAACCCCAUACAACAUCUUUAAAAUAUUUCACUUUCAUACCUCACCUACUAUUUUAUUUCAAUAUAGUACCUCCAUUACAUUUUCCAUCAAUUGAUCCAUUAAGAGCUGAAUUGGUUGCCACAUUUGACACGCCCCGAUCCCGAUAUCCUCGGGAUAUCAGGAUGGUCACGUGCUGGCCGACACCCGAGGGUGACGAAAGCCAUUUAUUGAGUGCAAUUGCUGAAAAUAAAGGAUAGAUAAAACUUAUAAAUGUAAAAGAAUAAGGAAUAUGCAUUUAAGGAACGUGUUCAGAGCAUACAACUAACUAGAACACUAAAAGAAUGAUAUAAAAUGGAAUGAAUAAAAGAAUGAGUCUUACACCAAGAGGACUCGAAGAUGCCGAUGCGGAAGUACCUUGAUUGUCGGGAUUGUACGCCUCGAUCCUAAAUCCUGAAGGGGGCGCAAAACAAACAUGAGUGGACCAAGUUGAUAUAUAUAUAAUAAAACAGUUAUCAAUAUACUAACCCCCAGGUUUAUGAAAACAAAUAUAUAAUGAUGAACAUAGGUUUUCCGAAACCUAGCAUGAUGUGCAGUAUCUCAAAUCAUAACUCAUAUAUAAUAAUCACUAGUGAAUUGUCCGAUAACCUGCAGGCCCCAUGCCGGCUCCCCGUCUCUGAGCAGACAGUCAGAGGAAAAUACACUUCAGGCCCCAUGCCGGCUCCCCGUCCCUGUGCUAAAUAGCCAGAGGAAACACACUCCAGGCCCUAUGCCAACACCAAACCGUCGCCCGGGACGGACCGGAAUCUAUUCCUACGUCCCGUAGCGGAAAUGACCACUAGGUAAGUACAAAACCAUUGAACAUACAUAUAUUGAAAAACAACUUCAUAGUAUAAAGUCAUCCAUCAUCUAUACUAUAAAGAGGUGUUCGAAACAUGUUCUAAAUAUCAUAUCGUCAUCCAUCAGAUAUUCUAUAAGAACACGGGUUAUAGGAAAAAUAGUAAUAAUUCAAGGUAGCCUCAGUAAGCAUGUUAUCUCAAAACGUUUCAUAAAACGUAAUCAUUAAAUCAUGCAUUUCAUGUAUGCAUUUCUACUAUUAAAACAUGCUUUUGAAGGGGUCCACUCACAGUACUUAGCCGCCGAAGAGCCACGCAAACUAACGUCACCAAUAUUGCCCCUAAGCACAUAAAUGGUCCAAUUAAUAAAACUAUAUAAUAGCAAUUGGAUUUGGGAAAACGGACGUUGGAAACGGAUUCAGAACGUCGAAUUACCCUAAGAAGGGUCCCGGACGAAAACCCGAAAAGUCAACUCUAAAGUCAAUGUUGACCGGAGGUCAACGGUCAAAUUAGGUCUAACGGGUUUUAGGCUUGAAAUCCGGAUUAGGGUUUAGGUUAAAUAGGAUUAGGAUUUAUUGGGUUUUGGAAUUCUAAGGUUUUUGGGUUAAAAGGGUUUAGGGUGAAAAUGGGUGGUUUGGGCUUAAUCCCAAACUCACACACAACACACACACACACUACACAAACCCUAAAACACACACACACACACGGGCUGCACUAGGGCAGCCCUCACAACACUUCACAAAGGCCCUAAGGCCUUAUUAAAGGACAGGGCUUUAAGCCCUUUAAAGGAUACUGGCCCAAGGCCCGUCAAAAUAAGGCCCGAGGCCUUUGGGUUUUAAAAAGAACAAGAACAAAUUUAAAAGAAAAGGGGCUGGGGUCUACUGGGCUAAGAUAUAACGGGCUUAAGGCCCGUGGGGUUUUCUAAAGGGCCUGAGAGGCCUGGGUUUGUCGAAGGAGAAGGCCGGAAUUUCGGCCGGAAAACCACCCAACUUUAAAUGGCCAUAACUUUGUCAAUACUCAACGAAAUCAAGCAAGACAAAAAUGAAAGUUGUAGCCCUUGAAGCGACGAAGAGAAUGGUUCCUCACACGACGUCUAACUCGCCGUGGUUUGGCCGGAAAAUGCCUCGAAAUCCGUCGGACUCGCCGGAAACUGGGUAAGAUUCAAAUGAGUAUAACUUCUUCAAUACUCAACGAAAUUAAGUGAAACAAAAAGGAAAGUUGUAUUACUCGACGAGACGAAGAGAUUGAUACCUUACACGCCGGCCAACUCGCUGUGGUUUGGCCGGAAAUGGCCUCGAAAGGGGCGGUGCUCGCCGGAGCUUACUCCGUGCCGUCGAACUCGCAGGGUAGGGUCCGGGGUUCGUUGCAAGCCUCUCUUCGAUGGUGACUCGGUCCUAGUGAGUCCAGGGGAAGAGAGAGAUGCGAAAGGUUGAGGGAGAGAGAGACGGGAGAGCUGAGAAAGAGAGAGCUACGGGAGGGAGAAACGAAGAAGAAGAAGAGAGAGAUCAGAAAACAUAAAAAAAAUAAACAAGGUGGGCCCCACGGGCUCACCAAUUAAGGCUUUAAAACAAUUUUAAAAUAUAAAAGAGGGUUGGGGUGUUUCAACAUUUGUACCACGUGGCAAAAAAAAAACCUAAAUCUUCUAUACAAAAAAACUAAAAAAACCAAAAAAAGCAAAAUCGAACACUCCACCCCGCAAAAAUCCUAGCAUCUUCCUUUUAUUCCCCACAACCCCAAAUUCCCCCCCAAAACCCCUAAAACCCAAACCCUAAUUCCUCCCCCACAUGAAGAAAAUCCCAGUCCAAUUCAAUCCCAAUUACCUCAAAUCCCACCAUAGAAACCCUAAAUUUUGGUUCCUCAAUCCCUAGAUUUCCCACGCCUCUGUUGCCUACACCUUAUCAAUCUUUAGCUUUCUCCCUCAUCCCCUCCAUGAACGACACUUUCUCUCAUCCGCUGUUCCCCAGCAACGGCACCGAUACCUACGAGGCCUGGUACGGCAACAUCCAGUACCUUCUCAACAUCUCCGCCAUCGGCUCAUUCUUAUGUGUCUUCUUUUUCACCUUGGUCAAGCUUUGAAGCGAUCGCCGCCGCAUGCCCGGCUCGUCCUCCCUCGUUGCUAAGCUCUUCGCAGUGUGGUAUGCUACCUGUCGAGAGAUUAUGCUCCCAUGUGGCGCUGAGGCCAUAAUACUCACGCACCCAUCUACACACCCACACCACCACUACCGUGGACUCUCUCUCACUCUCCCUCGUCUUUGUAGAGCUAGGUGAAGCCUAGAAACCGAGAACUAGCUCCAGCAAACCCCGUGAGUUUCGAGCCAGAUCCCUGCCGACUCCGACCAUCCCAUGACCAAUCUAAGGUACAAAACAUUUCCCCUUGACUCUAUGCUCUUUUUCGUAUGUAGAUCGUAGGGAAAAGCCCACAGAAUGAGAGAGAAUAGUGACCUGAGAGAGUCCACGGUGAUGGUGGUGUGUAGAUGAGUGCGUGCGUGGGUGUACUGUCGGGGAUAGAGUCUGAGAGAGAUAGAGAGUGAAAGAGUCUGAGAGAAGAGUGACUUGCGAGAGUGAGAGAUUCGAGAGAGACUCGGGAAAAGAUUUAUGGGUUUGGGUUUUUCUGGUUUUUUAUUUUUAUAAUAAUAGGGUUAAUAUUAUAAUAUUUUUAAUGUAUAAAAAUUUCUUUUUUGCCACGUGGCAGCCACAUCAGCACAAAUGUGGUAGUUGUAGAUGCAAAUUUCUUCCUCUUGAUCUUGGACAAUUUUGCACCUACAAAACAAUUAACACCUUAGGUUAAGGCCAAAAGCCUCACACACCCACAAUGAAUGGGGGGCUUUGGCCGAAGAACCUCUGUUGCCAAAGUUAGAAUUUAGAGAGAAAGAGUCUUUACAGAAUUUUGGGAUUUUUGCCAAAGUGUUGGAAUGGCUUUCUGGUGAGAACGGGAUCACUUUUAUAAGGAUAGGAAGUGGUCGGCCUAGCUAGGGUUUUUGGGUUUAAUUUAGGUUUAAUUCUUCAAUUUAUUUGGCUAAUUAAACCCUAAAGAAUAAAUUGGUGGUUACAAAAUUGAUUAUUUGUAUAAAUGGGGUAAUAAAAUGGAGAAAAGUGAAAAAGGUUAGGAAAAGGGAGGUAGCUAGCUUCUUAGUAGUUUUAGGUGUGAGUGGGUGUUUUAAUUGAUAAUUAAGGGAUUGAUUAGGUAAUUAAUCCCUUAAUUAAACAAUUUUUAGGGAAUAUGAAAGGAAAUUAUUAUUUAGCUAAUUGAUUAGCUAAAUAAUGGAAUACAAAAUAUAUAGAAUAAAUUAGGCUUUAGGUAUUACCUUAUAGAAAUGAUUUGAUGAAAUAGGCUUUAAAUUGUUAACUAUUUUGGGCACUUUUGACUUGGUUGAGGAUGAUUGUCUGCCGCUCGCACGUAGGAAUCUCGAUAUGCCUUAAGGGUAUUUUUGUCCUCUUUUACCCAAAAAUCCACGUGUCGCCUUGUGAUUAUUUUUGGCUCCACAAAUGCCCCCACACCUGUUGGGCUGCUCGCAGAAAAUGGCAGCAGGUGUAGAGAUCAUCUUGCUUUAGGAAACGUAGGACUACUUCCUCUUUAGAUGUAGAUUCUCUCUUUAAUAGGAAAUUAGGUUCUUCUAGGAAAGGGAAAUAAAUUUCUGUUAAAGCCUAUUUAAGUCUACCUUAAGUGGGUUAUUAAAUCAACUUUGGAGAGCGAUUUCUUAUACCCUACAAGAGAGAGGGAGCUUAGAGAAUAUUUGUUCCCCCUCUUCUAGCAAUCUUCUACAUCUUUCCCGUGCAAAGGAUCGUCUUUCGUUGAUUUCUUCGUCUUCUCCGUGCCGCACCGAUGUAAGAAAAAUUUAAUUUUUUGCUUAUCUUCUUCUUGGAUAGUACUAUUACAGGGCAACCGUUAAGGUAGUGCGGCACGUCUACUGGCAGGGGCUAGGAGUUGGCUCGGCAUCGGUCGAUGAGGCAUUAUGGCAGGGGCCACUGCUUAGGCUGUUUGGCUUGGCUAGAGCCAAUGGCAGCUUGUGCGGCUGGGGUCGCGGAUUGUGGCGUUGGGGCGCAAUGCUAGGCGAGCCACAUGGUUAAUGUCCUUUAGGCUCUUAGACCUUACUCGGGCCAGGCUAGCGACUGAAAGAAAUGAGGAGGUCGUGGGCCUCAUGGGUUGUUGGAAUGUUGGGCAUGCAGGCCUCCUGUCUGCUAGAAUGCUAGGUUGAGCUCCUCUGCUGAGUACCGUGAAUGGCGUUGGCUGCUUAGUUCUUUUUACAGAGAGAAAGGUGGGCUGCUCCCGAAAGAGGAAGUAAAGAGGAUCAAGGUGGAUGCAUUGGCUCGUCUAAUCGCUGUCGUGGAACCUCCUAUGAAUGAAGAUGGAAAUAAGAGAUCUUCCCUGCCUACUCAAGAGAUGCCGAUCGAGAAAAAUUGAAGACUUUCUCCACUGCUGCUCAUGAUGAUUUGUCUGCUGUCGAUAGGCCUGUGAUUGGCAUGACUUCUUCCAAUGGGAAGAAAAAUGAGGCUGCUAGAUCUGAUCAUGUGGUGCCUUCCAUGUUGAGAAUUGCUAGUACAAUUGUUGAUAAGAUUGCUUAGCGCAAAGGUUUUAUCAUGCCCCCAGUACCGAAGUCUGUACCAGGACUUUCGUUUGGAGCAAAGUCUGGUUCACCUUUGGAGAUACUUGCUAUUAUGAAAAGUGGUAAGGUGGACUCUGCUGCUAAAGUGGCGUCAAGGCCCACUCCCUUUGUUGCUGAGACUGAUUCGCCUGCUAGGAAGGAAGAUACUACUUGUAUGGGCAGCUGUGAGAAAUCCACUAAACUUGCUUCUGGGGAGGCUGCUGAGAUCAUUGUGCUUUUGAAACUAUAUCUGCUUGAAGACAUGGACGCUUGUGCCAAGUUUGUUGAUGGCGGUAGAAAGGUUGUUUACCUAAGUUCCUUUGCGAAACAUACGACCCAAUAUAAAAUGACUGCUCUGCUUACUAGGAUGCAUAAAUAGCAAGGUUGUCAAGGAGGUGGCGAAGAUUAUGGCAGCUAAAGCUUAUUCCUCAGUCGAGGAGAUCAAAAGGUUGAAUUAUGAGCUUGUUGCUUUGAAAGAAAUGGAAGAACUGCAACACGUUCGUGUUAGUCUGUUUGAGAAGAAUGAGCAGCUAAACGGUAAGAAUGAUGGGCUUGAGGUUUCUCUAUUUUUCCGGAAGACUUGCUUACUUUUACUUUUGAGGCUUCCAUUGGUGAAGUAGUUGGAGACGUUAGUGCCCAGGCUUAGGCAACCGGGGGUGAAGCACCGGAUGAUGCCGCUGCUAAGAACGUUACGGCUGCUGAAGGUGUGGAGACCAAGUAGUCGUGGGAUGUCCAAGCUGCUGUAGUGUAGUAUUUUAGGUAGCUUUUAUGAUUUUCUUUGUUUUUCCUUGUAGCUCUUGUUUUGCUUGAACUUCUUCGGCCUUUGCUAGUUGUAUAAACAUGUUUUCCUUCGCUUUUCUUCAUCUUCGCUUCUUUUGUUCAUGCCCUAACCUUUAGACUUGAUAGACCAAUGGCAGGCAUGCUACUUUUUUAUAAGCAGACAAGCUCGCGUAGCCUAUGCAGCCGUAAAUGUUGGUGUAGAACUUUGCAAAGUUGUUAGCCAUUAGGUUGGUAACCAGAUACCUUACUUACAGAAGUAGACAAGUCCGCAUAACCACUAGGCUAUUAACCUUGACUUUCUCCAAUUCUGUAGGUUGCGUAGCAAGUAUCACAACACUUUAGGAAUUGGUAUAGGUUGCUCCGCACUUGGCAGAGGUGAAGCCUAUCGACUACGUAGCAUGUCGGCAGUGGAUAAAACUUCCAUAUAUGCGCGCUAGCUUGUUUAACCUUUCACAAGAAUGUGCGGUUGUAUAAGUCUAGCACGGUUUUACUGCUUGAAGGGCAAGCCGUAGGCAGUCUUCCGGAAUCCGUAGGCUACCUUAAUGUACUCGGUAGCAGCUUUAGGGUUCCAGGGCAGCCGUCUAUAGAGCGUACUGCGUAAUGUGCCCCAUCCGUCUCUAGCUCCCGGUUCCCCACAGAUUAGACCAAGAGACCCAAAAUCCUUCAGUUAGUUAAGCCUUGAAAAAGACCAUUGUGGCUACUUCUAGGAAUCCCGGCUCAAGCCAUCGUACAUCUAGUUAUACUAGGGUAGCCAGGCUCAUCAGCGUCUGGAUAUUCGGAGUGUAAAGUUUAUCCUCCCGUCUUAGAGAGCUGACCCAUAUGAGUGUCGGGGAAUUGGUUUACCCUCUCACACUAGAGAGUAAUUAAUUUACCCUCUCGCACUGGAGAGCAAUUAGUUUACCCUCUCGCACUGGAGAGCAUGGUUGGUCCAUCGGGGGGCGCAAUUCCUGCGAUGAGUCCCUAAGAAGGGCGCAGUCUUCUUUUGAAGUGCAGGAAUGAUUAGUUGUUAUAAGCAUGUGAUCGAGUCAAGUUGUGAUUACUUCUAAAUUCCUCAUUGAAAAACGAGUGAAACGAACGAGAACUUAGCCGUAAGGUAGGAACUGCAUAACAACUGGAUAGUCCUCAACUUGUGUGGUGGUACCCAUCGAGCUUCUUGAGUCUUCGGGCUUUGAUGUAGUGGGAGGUUACACAUGGCACCUUUUCAGAUUGUAGGCGCUCUACUGCUUUUCGAACUUUUUUUUUGUUGUGUAAUUGCUCUUGCUGCCUACUCGGCUAAUCUUAUACAGACUUUCUCGGAUGAGAUUCAUCUUUUUGGAGCUUCUCUGCUGGCAGUGAUGAAGGCUUUUCUUAGGACUAGAUCUCUGGGCUGGAACUGCCAGAUUUUGGCCUUUUUGUUGUGGCUGGAAAAGAACCACUGCUGGUAAGUUGUAAUGCAGAUGAUAGUCUGCUCGCACUUCUCCUCUGCCAAAUUUAAGCUUGUGGCCAUCUCCUUUCGGUUGCUCGUCUUUUGGUGUUGCGAUGUGCCCAUAGACAUCCAGGGAGUUUGUCUGGCCAUUUUCUUUUCUUAUUGGUAGGGGAUUUCUUGUGGCAGUCGAGGAUCAUCUUAGUGGAUGUUUUGGCCAGCCUAUUGCCUUGAGGAUAUCUUGGCGUAGACAUGUGCUGCUUGAUGCCAUAUUUUUAGAAGAAUUUCGCCAAAUCUUUGCCCACGAAUUACGGGCCGUUGUUGGUGACGAUGGAUUAAGGUAUGCCAAAUCGGCAAAUGAUGCUCUUUCAUAUGAAGCGCUCUAUGUCCGUUUGAAUUGUGAUCGUCAUGGGCUCUGCUUCUACCUAUUUGGUGAAAUAGUUGGUUGCCACGAUCAUCAUGCAUUUGCCCUUAGUAGUCUGGCUGGUGAUUAGCUGGGAAUCAGAAUGAAUUGAAAGCUUUUUCACCACCAAGUCUUUUGUCACUCGAAGGCCUGCUAGUGGGGCUUUGUACUCUGCUUCGUUGUUAGGUGCUUUGACGCUUAGAGUGAUCGCUUACUCGAGCAUUGAACCGUCUGGGGUGGCAAGAACCACGGUUACUUAUAAGCCUUUGUAGUUGGAUGCGCCGUCGACAUGCAAAUGCCAGAAAUUUCCAUUGAGGGAGUAGGUAUGGCUAAAGUGUGCUCGGCUACCUUCGAAGCGUCGUUGGGCCGCUUUGUUACAUUGUCAAGGCUAGGUUUGAAGGCGCGGUAGAGAGUCGUGGAGCUGGGGCCAUGUUACAUGUAGCAGGAGAUGCUCAACUUCCGGUAUUAGGCCACUCUAGAGCUGAAUAAUGGAGCAAAGGUCGGCUAGGGUCGUAUGACGCGCAGCAGAAGGUAGUGCUCGACUGCUAGUACAUGUUGCUCUUACGUAGAAUCUUCUGAGGCGACGAGGACAAAACUUGCUUUUAAGUGUUCCUUCUAGUGUUCGUCUGCCCUUGGCGUGUCUUUUGGGCUGAGUUGUUGCGUUCGUCAGAAAACUUUGCAUCUGCCAGGGUUUACGUCUUUAUCAUCACGGGUUUGGAUUAGGCGGAAUAGUGCGUCAUGAUGAUGACUGCGUACAUUUGAAGGUAAAACUUAAGCUUUUGGGUUACAACAACUAUCACCAAAGUUAGCUUUUGAAUUUUUAAUAGCAUCGAGGAGAGCUUUUGAACUAUAAAAUACAUGUAGUUGGGCCCCCAACUCUUCUCGCAUGACGGUACAGCUUAUUUCUACUUUAGAUACCGUCAAACAUGCGAAUAAGUCCUCUGCUGCUUCUAGGGAGGUGAUGUUGGGUACUUCUUCAAGCCCUUGAAUGUGCAUUGGCGAGCCUCAUCCCAAAGUGCAUGCUUCUCUGCCAAAGAAAAAGAGUCUACCAGAGUUAGAUAUUCUUUCAUGAUCAAUUUUCUAAAUAGCGGUGGUCUGCUGGAAGGCCUUUUUGGAAGGCUGCUCUAGCUAUUGAGUCGCUGCAUCCGACUAUCAUUGCCUUCUCUGUUUUGAAUCUCUUCACAUAGUCACGAAGUGACUCCUUUGGGUUCUUUUUUACGUCAAACAAAUGGUCGGACUUCUUUUUGAUCGAGCAAUAAGAUGAAUAUUCUUUGGUGAAAACCAAAGAAAGUUCGUAGAAAUUCUAGAUAGAUUGUGGCGGCAGGGUGUAGAACCAAUCUUGUGCCUCGCCUUCAUAGUGGUGGCGAAUAUCUUGCACAUGAGAUCAUCGUUGUUUCGAUAAAGGAUCAUUGUGCUUCGGUAGCGCUUUAAGUGUCUCUUCGGGUCUUCAUCCCCUUUGAAAGAUAUGAAAUGUUGCAUACUGAACUCGCAUGGAGGCUCUGCCAGCUCGAUCUCAUCCGUGAAGGGUGACCUGCUUAUGUUGGUCAUGUUCCGUCGUAGUGCCUCGUCGGUGACCUUGUUGCGUUAGAAAUCAUGCAAUCGCUUGAUUAAAAGUCUCUCUACUUCUUCCUGAAUUUUCAUUUGUUAGGGUAGCAGAGCUCUCGGCUGCCCCUAGCCAUAACUUACUGGUCUAGGAUGCUCUUCCAUGUGUUUGGCUCGUAUACCGUGGAUGCAGUGUAUGUGGUGCGGUCCUAGUAGGUGAGCGAGUUCUUCGCAGGCUGCUAGUUGAACUUGAGCUGGAUUGAGUGACUACUUCUCUCCGUCCGUCGUGCUGCCUACUCCAAUGUGAGGUGAAAGAUGCUCCUUGCAGGCUUAGCCACGAAUGAACACUUUACCUGGAAGGUUGCUCAUGUUGACUAUCAGAGUAUGACCCUAACCGUGAAUGUAUAUUCACCCGUGGGCUUAGUCGAGAGUGCACGCUCCUCCGCGCGCUAAGACGAGAGUAUACGUUAUCUCGGGAGCCCAAUUGGGAGUGUACACUGCCCGAACGCUCGGCUCGUGGCUGGUCGAGUGGCUGCUUGCCGAAACGCUGCGGGAAAGGUUCGUCUGCCCUUGUCCUACUUCGGGAUACCUUGUUUGGGGCACGUUGGAUUCUGGUGCAUUGCAAAAGUUGAUUCACCAAGGUUGUCUGUUGUGCAAGGGUGCUCGUAAACGCUACGACUUGUCGAGACAAGUGUUGUUCGUCAUUUGGAUUGGAAUAGCUUGGAAGGAAUGUGCCUUCUUGGGCAGUGGAAGGGUGGUAGACUCCGGGCUCGAGAUUUGAGUUGGGAAAUGUCAAAUCUACGAAAAAAUGUGGUGAGAAUGCCCCCGGCUCGAUGGUAGGUCCGGAUGGUUGAGAUAGUCUUGGGCCGACUUGGGCUGCUUGGAAAGCCACGGGAGCAGGCUGGGCCACGAGAGUGAGCUGCUCGGCAGGAGUAGGCUGGGCUACGAGAGUGGGCUGCUCGGCAGGAGCAAACUGCUUGGAGUGUGAUGCACAUGGGUGCGAGGCUUGGGCUCGGCUUGGUAACACAUUGAGUUCGGGUUUGGCUUGGAGUGACAUGACUUGGGCCGUGGCCUUGGUGUCGUGAGCCUUGGAUGGCACGGCUCGGGCAGUGGUAGCUGUGCCAUGGACCUCGCCGCGGGUAGUGGUGACCGUGAUGGCCACCGCGGUGGUUGCCAUGGUGGAGCCCCGUAGUGAUGGUGCCGCUCCUAUGAUCACAUUUAGCCUCGUGGAUCGUCGUGGUCCCAUUUCUUGAAUAUUAGAAUUUUCACUUAUGGAAUUUUCUAAAUUUCUAGCCAUUAUAUUUUUCUUAUACGUUUUAUCAAAGAACCUUUGCAAAUAAAAAAUUCUAAUAAUAAGAACGUAUGAAAAAAUAUUCAAAUGGACUAGAAAAUAGAGAAAAACCUUUUUAUGCGAGAGUCUUCUACGAGUAUAGAUCUCAACUCUCAAUGAAAGCACCAAUUUGUGGAUGCAAAUUUCUUCCUCCUUGAUCCUAGACAAUUUUGCACCUACAAAACAAUUAACACCUUAGGUUAAGGCCAAGAGCCUCACACGCCCACGAUGAAUGGGGGGGCUUUGGCCGAAGAACCUCUGAUGCCAAAGUUAGAAUUUAGAGAGAUAGAGUGUUCAGAGAAUUUUGAGAUUUUUGCCAAAGUGUUGGAAUGGAUUUUUGGUGAGAAUGGGAUCACUUUUAUAGGGAUAGGAAGUGGCCGGCCUAGCUAGGGUUUUUGGGUUUAAUUUAGGUUUAAUUAGUCAAUUUAUUUGGCUAAUUAAACCCUAAAGAAUAAAUUGGUGGUUACAAAAUUGAUUAUUUGUAUAAAUGGGGUAAUAAAAUGGAGAAAGGUGAAAAAGGUUAGGAAAAGGGAGGUGGCCGGCUUCUUAGUGGUUUUAGGUGUGAGUGGGUGUUUUAAUUGAUAAUUAAGGGAUUCAUUAGGUAAUUAAUCAAUUUUUAGGGAAUAUGAAAGGAAAAUAUUAUUUAGCUAAUUGAUUAGCUAAAUAAUGGAAUACAAAAUAUAUAGAACAAAUUAGGUAUUAGGAAUUACCUUAUAGAAAGGAUUUGAUGAAAUAAGCUUUAAAUUGUUACCUAUUUUGGGCACUUUUGACUUGGUUGAGGAUGAUUGUCUGCCGCUCACGCGUAGGAAUCUCGAUAUGCCUCAAGGGUAUUUUUGUUCUCUUUUACCCAAAAAUCCACGUGUCGCCUUGUGAUUAUUUUGGCUCCACAACAACCACGUCAGCAUUUAACAGACCAAUGGAUGGAAAAUCUAACGGAGGUAUUAUUUUGAAAUAAAAUAACAAGUGAGGUAUGAAAGUGAAAUGUUUUAAAGAUGUUGUAUGGGGUUGUAAUAGACCUCAAACUUGAGGGUCCUAUGUAAUUUACCUAUUUUUAUGUUAAUUAUGAAUAGGUCAAUCAUGUAGAACCAAAUUAAAAGCUAACAUCAAUAACAACUACCAGAGACAAAAGCUCUAAUCAAUGCUUCGGAAACAUAGUCUUGUAUCUCUAGGUGUAAUGAUAUAAUUUGUUGGAAACUUAAAAGAAAAUUGGUGAUUUUGUAUAUAAUCGAUAAAAAGUUAUAAUAGUGACAAUAUAUCAGUAAUAUUUAUGUUAAUUAGGAAUAGGUCAAUCAUGUAUUUAAUACUUACAUGCAUUUAAAAUAAACACCUUAUCAAUGUUUUUUUAACUGUGCUCAGUUUUUCUCCUUCGCUUUGGUUUUGUUCUAUUGGAUUUUUCAACUAUCAUUAAUUGUGAACAUAACUGAUCAUUGAGACACAAACAUCCAAGGGAGAGUACCGUGGAACAAAAUGUGGAUAUCUUUAUACAUUGUAUGGUAGUAAACCAUCAUAAACACCAUAAUAAUGUAGAAACGCUCUUGGGGUACCUUUGGAUGAUAACUCAUGUAUUUGUUGCCCUACGUAAAGAUGGCUAAUGAUAAUGGAAGUCUAAUUUUCUCAUCCCAAUCUCUCCUGUCUCUCUUGUUCUCUUUUCUCUAUAGUUUAUUUCCAACAAGUUGUGUUAUUUUUUUUUUUUAGUAUUGUUAAGCAACCAAUAGAUUUUAAUUAGCAGUCUUUGUUUUUUUCUUUUAUAUUUUUAAUCAAUUUCAGUUGCUUAUCCGUUCUAGCAAAUUGAGCUCUUUUACAGCAAUUUUUUUCUUUAAAUGAAAUUAUUAUUAUUAAAAGAGUGAGAAAAUUCGAAAUUAUUACAACAAUUUAAAAAAAAGAAGUUUCGAAUCAUAAACACAGAGGGAGUUUACAACAUUUUAAUUAAGAAAUUAGGCUUCAGCUCAACUCAUCUUUGCAACGUCGGUUCCACUUCACAUCAACAUGCAAUGUUUCAGAAGGUCACGCGGUUUUGGGGUUGUUGUGUACCAAUAAUAUUAUAUAUAUAUAAAUUAGGAUUGAAGGAUACACGCAUUUUGUAGAGCUUAUUUUGUUAUGUAUUUUAAUGAUUUAAAUGCUUACGUUUUUCUUCACUACAAAUGAGUGAAUUAAUGAUUUUAGAAUUUGUCUAAUUUUUUACAUUGAUUAUUUAUGAAUAUUGAAUUGAAAUAUAGACGAUUCAAAAAUCGUUGAUAUACAUUACAAAAUGAACUCCACAAAAUAAGCGUCAAAAUAUGUAUAUAAAAUGGACAGCGUGAAAGGCUUGGAAAUUGGAAUAGGUUUGAAAAUUGUGCUUUUUGUAGCAAAUUGUAGCAAAGUUUGCUUGGACUUUCACAACCGUAUAAAUUAUGCCGCAGCACUCUCUAUUUUCUCUCUCGCUCUAUAUCGUGGUCCCUCUCUCUCGCCGUCCUCGAUUGCUCGAACUCACUAUCCUUUAUUGCUCGAACUCACCGUCCUCAAUUGCUCGAACCCACUGUCCUUUAUUGCUCGAACUCACUGUCUCCAACUUCCUCUGUUUGGUUCCCGAUGAAGAUGGUAAAACAGUAGGGGCAAGAAAUUAUGACAAUGUUAGAUUUGCAUAUUAAUCUGGUAGGGCUACAAUUCUCCAAUCCACACCCCUUCCAUCUAUGCUAGUGUUUGUACCCAAUAUUAGAUAUCCGGUCUGUGCAAUCGAGAUCGUUGAAUGAGAAAAAUUCUAAGCCGUGGGAUCAAAUAUAAUGAUGUGGAUUAAAUAAGAAAAAUUUAAAUGUUUAUCUUGGUUGAAUUACCAUGAUAAUAUUGUGGAAUUAUCUUCUGCAUAACGGGAUAGCGAGAAAAGUCCAAGGGUGUAGGGAAGUUGUGUGGCUGACUACCGCUUUUUUUUAUGGUGUCAUUAGUAGAGUAAUAUCACACUUAACAUUUAUUUGUACCAUCUCUCUAAUAAAGAUAAAGACCAUCAAUGCAUAAAUAAUGAUACAAAUAUAUAAUAAGAGUAUCAUAUUUGUAACUAGAAUAGGAGAAGAAAGACUUCAAGAUGGGGUCAGCCAAAUAAUUAGCGUCAGGAUAAAAAUAUGAGUAAUGAUAUUUGUAAACAUCGAAAUUUCGGUAAAUAAAUGUUGACCGAUAAAUCAAAGUUUCAACGCUCAUGUAUUACAUAAAUUUUACACGUAGCGUAUGUCUAAACAAAAAAUCGAAAUAAGUUGGAAAAGUCAUCAAACAGGACACAUGUCAACACCUGGCAGAAACGACUUAUUUCAUCUGGAAUAUUAUAUUCAAAAUUAGGCAUUGGAAAAUUCUAUAAAUAGAAGCCAAUUUCAUUCAUUUGAAGGAACCAAAAUCAUUAGGCAAAAUUCUUGAAGCUCUGAAGCUCUGAAACUCCGAAACUCUCAAGCAUCCAGGUUCCCGAAGAAUCAAGAAAGCUCUCUUCGUUCUUCGUUCUUCGUUCAUCGUUCAUCCUAAGAUCAAGCUCCAACGGCCCUUUAGAUCAACAAUCAUCCACUAAUUCAAGAUCAAGCCCCGACGGCCCUUGAAGAAAGUGUUCUUCAUUCUUCGUUCAUCGUUCUUCCAAGAUCAAGCCCCAACGGCCCUUUGGAUUAACAAUCAUCCACCAAUUCAAGAUCAAGCCCCAACGGCCCUUGAAGAAAGUGUUCUUCGUUCUUCGUUCAUCGUUCUUCCAAGAUCAAGCCCCAACGGCCCUUUGGAUUAACAAUCAUCCACCAAUUCAAGAUCAAGCCCCAACGGCCCUUGAAGAAAGUGUUCUUCGUUCUUCGUUCAUCGUUCUUCCAAGAUCAAGCCCCGACGGCCCUUGGAUCAACAAUCCACCAAUUCAAGAUCAAGCCCCAAAGACCCUUGAAGAACUUCUACCAAUUCAAGAUCAAGCCCUGACGGCCCUUGAAGAAAGUGUUCAUUGUUCAUCAUCCGUUCAUCCCGAAGAAUCAAGAAAGCCUUAUUCGUUCUUCGUUCAUCGUUCUUCCAAGAUCAAGCCCCGACGGCCCUUGGGUCAACAUCAUCAACAAAUCCACACAUCCAACCGUUCUUCAAGAUCAAGCCCAAAAGCCCUUGAAGAUCCGUUCAUCACCGUUAUUCAAGAUCAAGCCUUAACGGCCCUUGAAGAAACACUCAUCCUCAAGAUCAAGCCCCAACGGCUCCUUGAAGAUCCGCUCAAAUCCACCUUCAAAGAUCAAGCCCACGGCCCCUUGAAGAAACAUCCAACAGUUCAUCCAAGAUCAAGCCUCGACGGCCCUUGGAUCAACGAAACAUCUACAAAUCAACACCUUACGGAGAUCGAAUCAGAUGAUCAAAUUAGAGAGAGAUUGUAACCCUAAAUCAUCAAAAUACAAAUAUUAUUUUGUGCACGUUGUUCUUAUCUCUUUCGUUUCAGGAAAUUUUCGUGUUCACAAUAUUCUUACCAUCUAAAUAUACUAUAAUUUUAUACCAUCUUAUGUGGCAAUUGAGAUGGACUUCCACAUAAGUUUUAAAAAAAUCUCAUGUCAGCUAAGGUGGAUAUUUACGAUUUUACGAUUUUACUCAAUGAUUUUUAUUAAUAAAAUAAUUAAAAAAUAAUAAUGAAACCUACUUGCUCCCGUUUUCAAGCCUCAUCGCUGGGCCUCCUCCCUCUUCGCUCUCCAAUUUCACCUUCCUUCACCAACGAUCGAUGGUGCUCGACCCCCUUCAUCAUUGCCAACUGGCCGAAUAUCUUGAUGGUGCUCCCAGUGAUUGUUUUGCUCUGCCACCAAAUCAAGUUUGCAAUUUUAAUGGUUUAUGCCUUCUGGCCAAGUGUUGGAUUUGAUAGGUUUUUAAUUCCAGCAACAUUGAACAAAAAUAUGAAAAGGAUUGGAUACGAUAUUUUCCUCUGUUCUACUGCUGAGGAUUUUCCGAAUAGAAGAAGAUUUGGAAGACAACCUCUUUUCUUUUUUCUUCAUGGACUUUUGGUUAGCACCAAAAUCUUUUCCUAAUCCUCUAUAGGAAUGAAAAUUUCAUUCCAUGUUAUAUCCCGAUGUUGUCCAAGGUUUUGGCUUGAAUUUUCAUUGGAAUUAUCAUAUGUUGGAUCAGAUCAGGUGGAGAGAUGAAACGUAUCUAACAAGGAAGUUGAACGGGUAGGGUUUGAGCAAAAAUAAACAGAAAUUCCACCUAGGUUGACACCUAAGCUUCCACAUCAUGUGGUAUACUAAAUGUGGUAUAAUAAGAUGGUAAGAAUAGCAUUAUUGAAUGGGUAAUGUUAAGAGAAAUUUUUAGUUGUGACGGGAACACGGAUGGUACACCAUGCGUUUUUAUGUAAAUGGUGGAAAAUUUUAAUUUUUAAAUUAUUAACCUUUUAGCACACAUAUCCCACCAUUUAUAUGAAAACACGUGAUGUAUCACCUCGUGUGAUAGUCACAUUGAAAAAUCUCUCGUAAUGUUAGGAAAACUAAAUUUAUAAACAAAAGUUACAAAUUAAAUGAUGGGUUACCAAUAAGAAUGAUUACGUUUAUCAAUGCUUAAAUAAUAAAUCAUUCAUCAACUUCCAGUCCUUUAGUUUUUAAAAUUUUGUCUAACAUUACCCUUUCAAAACUCAUGAAAAUAAUUUUCAAUUUUUUUAACUGAAAAGUGAAAGUUACUAAACAAGAUUUCAGUUUUUAGCUUUCAAAAAAAUAAAAACAAAAGCUAAAAAUAAAAUGGUUAUCAAACAUCCCUAGAAGUCAUUCUUAGUGAUAGUAAGGUCAUCUCCAACCGAAAGAUCCAGGGGGCUAGAGGGCCGAAAAUAGUCUGAAAACCAUUUCCAAUCAAAGGCCAUGCCAAAGGGGUCGUGGACCCCAUUAGACAAAAAAGGGCCAAAGGGCCAACUGGCUGGCCCCAGUUCCAACAAUAACUAGAUGACGUCAGUUAACCGUUAUUUUUGAAUUUUUUUUUUAACAAAUUUUAACUUUCUAAGCCAUUAAACAACAUUAAAUUAAGUAAAAAAGAAAAUUCCUAUAACUUCCUAAGUCAUUAAACAAUAUUAAAUUAAGUAACAUGAAACAACAUUAAACAAUAUUAAACAAAAUUAAACAAUAUUAAACAACAUUAAAUAACAUUUAACAACAUAAAAAUUAUACAACAUAAAAAAAAACAUUUAAGAACAUAAAAUUUAAAUGCCUACUUCAUGCUUCUUUUGGCCCAAAGAUGUGCAACAAGAUCCUAAUGUAGGUACUUGUUUGUGGCACGAGAGCGUAUCAUCCUAACCGUUAGAUUUGAUUUUUUUUUGUUUUCGGCCAAAUUUUUUUAAAUUUAAAAAUAAAUUAUGUUUGACCUUUUGGCCCUCGAUUGGAGAUAGUUUUUUUUGUGACAUGACUAUGUUUAGCCCUAUGACCCUUUGGCCCUCAGUUAGAGAUGGUAAGAAAUAUGACCCAACAAUGUUCAUUAAAAUAUUAAUUUCUUGAAGAGCCAGAGGGCUAAAACGAGCCAUCCUUCGGUUGGAGAUGGCCUAAGAAGAGACUAGAGAUAGAGAGAUUCCUAUACUUAGCUGUGAGAGUUUCCUAUAUAUGAUUUUCAUUAACAAGAUUGAACUGAUUACAUAGAGAAGAAGAUCAAGUAUGGUUAUUUUUAUUUGGGAGACUUUGGAUGUGGUCCUUAGUUAUGAAUAUUAUUUGAUUGAAAUCUUGUUGGUUUUUAAUUUUUUAUCAAGAUCCCUGAAAUUAAUGUGAUAAUUUAUUUCUAUGUAAGUUACUAUAUUUUUUUAAUUAGAAAUUAGAAAUUUUAGUUGUUUAUAUAAAUGAGAUUUUAAAUUAAAAAAACCAUAAUUUGUGGGAUUAAAAAUAUUAAAAUAUAAAUAUACUAUUGUGUGUGUGUGUGUGUGUGUGUGUGUAUAAAUAUGGGUACAUUCAUCAAAAUUAACCAAAAAAUUUAUUGUAUCAAAACAUGGGUACAUUCUUCAAAAUCACAAAAAAAGAAAGAUAUUAGGCUUAAUAACAUUAGUAAAUUUCUUCGAUUAAACUUGACAUGGAUACAUUUUAAAAUCAAAGAAAAAAAAUGUACCCAUAUAAGUUUAAAAAUGGAUUAGAAAAAAAAAUUGAAUAGAUUUUAUACAAAAAAAGGGUACGUUUUACAUAUAACAAAUUGGUAUAUUUAAGAAUGAGUACAUUUUAAGAUUAAAAAGUUUUACAUGAAUGGGUUCAUAUAAUUAGCAUGGGUACAUUUAGCAAAAUAAAAAGUACAAAUACAAAAAAAUAUAUGUGUACAAAUACAAAUAAACUUUAAAAAAUAUGGGCACAAAAAGAAAUUAAUAUAUGGGUACAAAUUAAAACCGAAAAGAAAAUUGGUACAAGUUAAAAAAGAAUUACAAAUUAAAAAUGGGUACAAACUAAAACUAAAAAUAUAUGAUAAAAAAUUUAGUCAUAAAUAUAAAUAUACUAAUUGUAACAUUUUUAACAUUAAAUGAAUAUAUUUAGACAUAAAAAAUAUAUUUUAUUAUUGAAAUAAUUAAUGAUGUUAUUAAUACCCAAGGACCUUGAUAAAAAAUUGAAAAGAAAUAGAAUUUUAAUCAAUGGAGUAGCAAAAGAAAAGAUGAGAACCUAAUUUCUCCUUUGUAUUGUGUAGACAUUAUAACUAUACAUUCAUAAUAACAUGAGUAAUGUUAUAUUUAUCACAUUUGUACUCUUUCUCCAAUAAAGAUAGGGUCCAUCAACACAUGUGGGUUCUAUUUGCCCAUCAACACAUGCGAAUCUCAUUUUUAUUAGAAAAAUAGUACAAAUAUGAUAUGGAAAUUAUGAUAAGAUCGCAAUUUUGUAAUAACAUAUAUACUCAACUAUUUAUAUACCAACUCAUCUCCCUUUAGUGUAGUUAAUAUUGUUUGUUCAACCAAAAAAAAAAAAACUGAACUUGUCAUAAUCAUUGAAUCCAUUUACCAUGAACAAACGGCAGUUUACUAAACUUGCCCUCAGAGUAUAUAUAAAAGGUGAAUCACAAUCUAUUGCAUUAAUAUAAGGAAACAAUUUAUAGGGUUUGACGGGUGACUUAAUAUGCUAUAUGGCACAAUGAAAAUUAAGUUCACACUUUAUCCCAAAUAAGGUGUUGCACCUUUAAUUUAUGGAUGCUGGUUUGACGUGUGACCGAAAUAAUCAAAUUGUAGCCAUUAAUCAUUUUACAAGUAAUAAUAUGUGGUUUUAUUGUUUACGAUUCACACAACAAUCUGCUAGGAAGUAGAAAAUGCAGUACUUGUCCCUCUCACAGAAGUCAUGAAUAAUUAUCAAAUUCAAAGAUAAAGAAAAACCACACAAUUUACAAGAGGAAAGAAAAUGAAGGGAUAAAGAAAGUAAGAAAGGAAUACCUCUAUGGGAGGACUCUUAUUUGCUUCAGAUGCCUACAAUAUUCAUCAUAUAAACACUGAUUAAGUAGUCAUCGAAAACCAAAACAAAUGUCGAACAUAGGGUGAAAAACAGAAAGAAUAACCGCAGCUCAUCAUACCAAUAGAGAUAGAACUGCCCGAUGCCCAAGUAUGACUGAAAAAUGGCAAUCCAAACAUGGCGCCUUCUAGCUCAUCAAACUGUCAAAACCUAGGUUCCACCAAAAAGAUACAAGUCACCUAGUUACUUGUAAAAUAAAAAUCUGUUUCAAAAUAGUGGAAAAUAUUAUUAACAUUGUUCAAAGUCCACAUUGUUGUACCUACCAAGAAACAAGAAGGAUUGUAUCUUAUCAUGAAAAAGAACAUAGGUACCUUUUCAAUUGUAAUUGUACAAAAAUGAGAGACCACUUCCGAACUUCUCUUGGAACUUCAAUCAAUUUCUGCCCACUUUUAAAUGCCUUGACAUACUUAAGCCUAUUUCUUUGAGCUUCAGUUUUGGCUUCUGAUGCCUUUAAAUUUCUUAAAGAUUCUUACCAAGUUUUACAAACUCACUUCUAUACAACCAUUUGUCAGUAUACAUACCAUUUUCUUUGAGCUUCAGUCUUUGCAACACCAAAACCCCCCAAAUAGACCCGGAAUUUUGCAAUGUGCAGGGAAUAUACAAAAAAAACCCUCCUAUCCAUCUAAAACGAAAUCAGAACGCAAACCACAAUCAAAAUCCGUAAAAUUAAUUUAGCCAACCCCUAAAUCUAAUAAUUCUAACAAAUAUUAUAGUAUCAAUUGAGAGAGAAUUUGAGAAGAUACCUAGAGAUGAAAGGAAGAGCGUUUCCUCUGAUAGGGGUUCCGUGAAAGCAUCUGUUGACCAGAAAAGAAAAGGCAAAAAACCCCAAAUUACAUAUCAAGCAAUUAUAGAUAGAUCGAACCUUGAAAAUUGAAAUUUCAAACAAGAGAAAGGUUAUAAACUUACAACGAUCUGGGUGUUGGUAACUGGGUUUGGAUUUGGGUUUCUGAUAAGAGAGAGAAUCGUAUGAGGAACCGAUAGAGGAACUGCACCGGCAACAGAGAGCAAUUGAUAUGGUGGAGAACAGACGAGAAUAGCUGCUUGGAUGGUCAAUCCAAGAAGAGAAAAUCUUGCCACAAUCGCGGUACUUGAAAAAAAAAAAAACAAGUUUAAAGGAGGGAAACAAUCGCGCCUUUUUCUAAUAGACUCUGUCGACGAUAUUCUUGACAAAUAGAUGCUUCGUCGGGUGAGCUUAUUUUUCACAACAUUUUAUUUAGGAUUGGGUUCGGUUGGUAAACCGUGUCAAAUUUCUUGUGCCACUUGCCAGCCACAUAUACAUAAUUACCGAAAAUCAGUUACCGUUAGCCAACCGUCUUCUUGCGGUUGCCAAAAAUCGGUUCAGCCAAAAUGAUUGGCUGGUUCGGUUGGUAAAUGGCACAACCGGUGGUUUCCACUUCUUCCUCGCUAUCUUCCAGUUCCAAGGGCUCAAUUUGAUUUUCAGAUUGGGAUGCUUGUUCGGUUGCAUUGUGUGGUUCAUUUUGGGUUAAUCCAUGUUGUGCACUAGUAGUUGAUUGGCUAGACUCCAUUAUCCUAAACAUAAGCAACAAAUAUACAUUCAAAAUAAUAUAUAUGUACGUGUAUAUAUAGUAUCAGUAAUCAUCAUGCUAUCAAUUUUGUUAACAAUAUUUUCUAUAUAUUGAUUUUGGCAUGAAUCAUAUACACAUACAUAUAUUUUUAAAACCCUAAAACUAAGGAGUCAUUUAUUUUCUAAACUCUAAAAUUGAGGAGUCAAGCAUGUAAAAAAAUACUUAAAAUAUCUAAAUAGAAAAAGAAAAAGAAAAAAAAAUAAAUAUAUAUAUAUAUCGGUAGGUAUGGCAUACCGCCGGCAUACAAAAUCAAUUACCAAAGCCAUGCCAUUAAUUGUCGGUUCGGUAAAAUGCCAACCGAUUAUGAAAAAAUGUCAAAACUAUACCAUACCAUUUUGAGCCAACCAGUAUGGUUUGGUCAGUAAAUCGGUUUAUGGCAAAAUUUCUCACCCCUAAUUUUAUUUGUCACCUUAAACCUAUUGGUUUCUAGCCUACAAUUCGGAUAUUUUGUUGGGGAAAGAUUUUUGUACCAAUAAAAUUUUGCUUUGUCGGCAAAAUGACAUUUUCUAGUAGUUAUAAUAUUAGGUAGAUCAAAUUUGUAAACUAUGUGAUGUGUCACUAAUAGGAAAAAAUUUCAGUGUGCUGAAAAUACGGUCUAGAACACCAAGUGUCAUAAUAUAUACUUGGUUGGAAAUCUUUUAUUUUCAAGUUUCCAACUAGUUGUAUUGUAACAGUUGGUGUUCCAAGCUAUUUUCUCCAUGCGCUGGAAAAUCUCUUCACUAAUUAAAAAUAAACAUAUUAAUUAACACUUAAGUAAUAAUCAAAGCAUCAACAACUACGUCAUAGAAUUUACGAAAUAUGAUCUUAAUUAAUGAUCUCCAUUACCCUUUAUCUUAGCGUAUACGUACGCCUUCACAUGUUUAUUUGCUGAUAUGCAGCUUGAGUAAAAAUUUCUUUUUAAGAACAUAUAUGUGAAUAUAAACAUAUAUAUCUAGUGAUCCAUGUUGCGUUAUUUAAAAAUAAACAAAUUAAUUAAUUAAUGAACUGUGUACCUGUCUGUGUAGAGUAAUCCAUAUGCAUGCUUGAAUCCUGAUCACCACGAAACCAUAAUAUAAGCUACUCAAGGCCCGGAAGCUAGGAUUGAAGAGAAAAACACCCAGUCAGAUUAAGCCAAUACAUCAAAGUUAAUACUUCCAAAUGUAAGCUUUAAGAUAGAAAAAUCACUUACUUCCUUGAGCAGUCGAGCUUCUUCAAUGGCAUGAAGCUUUUAGCAUGAGAUUGACUGCAUCACAACUAAAAUUUUCUCUUGGAAACUACAUAAGGAAUAGCAUGUAUACCUAUAACGUUGAGAAAGUACGCCAAUUUUUUCCUUCUGCACAUUCAUGUUUAAAAGUAAUCCUCAAAUGAACUUGCCCACAAUGAAAUGCAAUUUGAGGUAGUCGAGUGUGUUCCAUUUCCAUCCCAUCGGAAUUACUACUAAACUUUGAGAUGGUAGAGGAUUCAUGAAAUUUUUUACUUUUGAAAUAGUCUCCUUAGCAUUUCUCGACUAUAACAAUGAGGAAAUACUUCACCUUGUAUCAAACAAGGGAGACCGAAAAUCAACUACUAAUAGCAUCACAGAGCCAGCAGAAGAUUGAGGAGGCCAUGAAAAGGAAAGAGAAAAUACACUCUUUUUUUGUAAGGACAGAGAUAAUACAUUCAAUAAAGGGUACUGAUGUUUAUAUGCAAAGCUGAUUAGGUUUAAAUAGUCGUAUUUAUUCUGUACAGUGCCAAUAUUACCACCCGUUAGUACACUUUCAAGACACUGUAAUCCAGUGUAUGCACUAUGCAGUACGUAGUACUCCUCAUUUUUUUGGGGAAAUUCAUUAUUGGUCUUCAUAUCUUCUUUAUUUUCCUUGUCCUCAUUGUGCCACGUGUUUAAAUCACUAAUUAUAGGUAAUCUUUCAAUUUAAUUAAAUCUUAUGUAAAAAAAGAUAAUUAAAUAUCAUUUAGUAUUACAAUAUAGUGAUAUUCCUCUUUAGUAUAAAAUUUUUAUAAUUAAAAGCGUUCAGCUUUUUAAUCUUCAUUGGAAUAUUAUCUAUAAAGAAAAAUUAUUCGAAUCAGAGAUCAUUUAUGCAUUCAAAUGUAUAAAAUACAUCGACAGUGUGAGAACCAACUAAUAUAUUUUUGAUGAAGUACAAUUAUUGAAUACAUUUGAACGAUCAAAUGAUAUAUGAUUCAAAAUACAUAUUAAGAUAAUAAAUAUAAAAGAAUUGUUAUUUGCACUUCAAGAAUCUCAUUCUACACUCUAAAUUUUCUAUAUAUUAAAAGAAAAAUAAAUUUGUGAAAAGUGUAGAAUGAGGUUUUUUUAAAUGCUAAUAACACUUCUCUAAAUACAAUUAUGAAAUUAAUUAAGUAAAGAUACAUGACCUCGUGAAUGAUGAAUGUAUUAUUCAAAAAAAUAUUAAAAACAAAUUGAAAAAGGACGCUGUUGUUGCCACCACUUAUGCAAUGAUCGUCGCUGCCAUCACCAACCCCCAACACCCCAUUACAGCUCAUAAAAGCACAUCAUAAGCAAUUUAUGAAAUAAAUUUACUGGAAUACUAAUUUCCCCCUUAGUUUAGGUCACCAAUGUUUAAAUUUAGGGAUCGUGAUAUCCACACACAUUUUUUACUUCUUUCACACUUUUUUUUUCGGUUGUCGGAUCAGAUGAAUUGAAGAAAAUCAAUGAACAGAAAUUAACAAGGGGUGUGUGAGAAGUAAAAAUGAAUGUGUGGAUAACACACCCCUAAAUUUAUCACAACUUUCAUUCCAAAUUUAAUUUUUAUCCGUAGUUUUGUUUGUUCAAAUUUACUUUGACAUUUCCAUUAGUAUUAAAAUCUAAUUUAAAUUUUAGUGUUCAAGCUAGAAAAAGUGUUCCAUUUAAUAUUUAAUCUCAGUUUUUCUCUUUAUUCUUUUAUUGGGAUUUGGUUGCAUCGUAUCUCCAUUUUUCUCGGUGUUGUAUGUUCAUAAGGCCUGUGAAACGUUGGCACGGAGUGAAGGGUACUCACUUUUUGGCCCAAAAUGCAUAAGGCAUGUAGAUAUGUUAAUCAAAUUUUGUAAACUAAAGGAUAUAGAAGUUGAUAAUUAGAUUAUAAUUUAAGAUAAUACUAAGGAGACUAAAUUUGCAAACUAAAUGAUGUGUCACCAAUAAAAAUAAGCACGUUUAUCAACAAUUAAGUAAUAAAUCAAUCAUCAACUUUCAUGUCCUUUAGUUUCCAAGAUUUAAUAUACAAAUUUAGUCUCCCAAGCAUUACUCUAUUACUUAAGUAUUGAUUAACAGACUUAUUUCUUAUGGUGACACAUUAUUUAGUUUACAAUUUUAGUCUACCCAACAUUACUCUUUUGAAAUUGUCUUGUCCACUGAUAUAAUUCUAUUUUUCUUGUGAUCAAAACUUCAAAUGUUAGCAAGUCGCACGUAAAGUCGCUUAUGAGAGAAUGUGCUCACAUUGUAGUUGAAAGAUUAUGUGGCUAGCAACAUUACAAAUUUAAUUUGGUAUAAUUCUAAAAUAUAGAUUGAGGAAAAAAUGAUCACAUUAACUAGAAACUGAAAAGGUUUCAGCACAGUUUGUUCAAGCAAGAAAUUCAAUUUUGAUGCUACCGAUCUUAACAGCCUGAGCGCCGUACCUGGGCACCAAAGUCACCACCACACUCUCAUCAUCUUCAGCACCCAAAUCCUCCAACAGGUCCGUUAACCCCAACCUUAAACAACUCUUGCUCUUUUCCUUCUGCUUAUGUGGCACACUCACAAAACUCCCAGCAAACUCGCUCUUGUCGGGUCCACUCGGUGCCGCAUCCUCAUCGUCCACGUCAUUCACAUACACACAUCAAACUUCACAGCCACAUCUUUGUCAAGCUCAAUCCCCUGAAUCACCAAUAUCUCCUCCUCAUCCUCUUUCUCCUUCUUGCUCCUCUUCUUCGGCUUCGGCCUUGACACCACCGUACUUAUCUUCGUCUCCAAAUUUAUUGGAAAAUCUUUACCCGCCACCACCUUCCCUGAUGACGUCGUCUCAGUGGCCUUCGCCACUCCAGCCGCCUUUGCCUUUCUCGCAAGCUUUGUCCGACGUGGCGUCGGUCUAGACUUGAGCCAUGGAAUCUCAACAUCUUCAUACGUAUACCCUAGCUUUUUAUUAUCAAGAGUGUCCCUCACCGUGACCCUAACAAGCUCAGCAUUCUCGUCAUAAAACAAAAACCCCGUAUCCAACCAAUCCUUAUCGUUAAUAUCGUUAUUUUUAGUCCCUAUACUUUUCCAAAUAUUCCACAUUCGAUCUAUAUUCGAAUGGUGCGAAAAAAAUAUUGGAUCCCUUGCAGCGGAGUAAAAAUUCCCCAUGUCUUCAAAAUUAGGCUGCGUGUUAUCUCCGGUCCAUAAAUGAACCGGACCAUGUGGGGUCGUUUCGAUUGAACCGCCCCCUGGAUCUGGUUCAGUGUCAGCCCUGUAGGGCGAACCAAAGAACAACAGCGGUUUCUUGGAGUUGGAAACCAUCUGCCUAUACAUGAUUUUGAGGUUGGCGUCGAUUUGAGCAUCCUUGGACAUUGUUUCAUCCGUGCCGUUGAAGUCAAGAUCGAUGAGAGUCGGCGGCUGAUGGCUGGCAGCGCGGAGCUCGUCGUAAAGCGGAGAGUCCGGGUUAGCGAACAAGGCAGGGAGUUGCAUGCCAGCUGGCGCGUCCCAGUUCCAAAACGGCAACGCGAACGUCGGAUCGUCUAUGAGUUUGGCCAAGAUUCUUUCGUAGAAGUAUACGUAGUAACGAUGGAAGGGGAAGAAAAGCCAGCAUUGAUGGAUUUGGAGCUCGAGGUUGGGGAAGCCGACUUGGUCGUACGCGCCGUCGCAAUAGGCACAGUGGAGAUCGGCUUGCUGGGUGAAGCUACGCGGAUCGUCGUCCGGGAGGGCUUUCAUGAGCUCGAUGGCUUUUGAAUAUUUUUCGAUGUAGGCUUUAUCCACGGUGUGAGCUGCCGGCCUGACGCGGAGUUUGGUAGGGGAGGGGAAUUUGAAGUCUACGAUUUUUUGGGACGUUGGCGGGCAACAGUUGAUCGGGACUGCUCCACUUGGAAAGUCCGCAGCUCCGCAUUUGGCUAGGUCAGGCGGCAACACUGGCUUUGCAACAGCGAAGGGGUCGCUGCCAAGACCAGCCACUCCGGCUUUGCAACAGCGAAGGGGUCGCUGCCAAGACCAGCCACUCCACCGUAGAGGCUUCCGAGACCUAUAAGAAGAUAGAAUUCAGUUCUUGGCAGUAGAGGACUCUAUUGCAGGGAAAAACUGAUUUGAAUUAGGAAGGCUUAAGUAGUUUUCCAUAAGGAUUUUAAUAGGGAAUCCAUAUUCUAAUAUGAGAAGGAUAUGUGUGUACAUAUAUAUAUAUAUAUAUGGCAAUCUCUUCUCUCACAGGUGUGUGCUCUUUUGGAACUAAGCCCUAUUCUUAGUUUGAGUGAUAAAUACCCUGACAGAGAGAAGAAGAAUUGAUGUGCUUUUCAGGUUGAUCGAGAUCCACCAUGACUGCAUCAAACGGGAGUUCUACAGGUUAGUAUAAUUAGGUUUUAUUUGGAUUGAUGUUUUGUGUCUACUUGGUUGUAGUUUAAGUAACUGAAUCUUGCAGCUAGAUUUUGGUUUACAUGUGGUAUCAGAGCCAUAGAUUCAUGUUCUUAAAUUCAAUCGAUAAAAUUGAUUGAAUCCAAAAUAAAAUUCCGAUCUUCAGACUUCGAAACAGGUUCUGGUAGUUAAAAUUAGGAAAAGAAGAAACGGUGCGUUUUGAUUAAAAUAUGAUGAUUAAUACUUGACCGUUAAGAGCUAAUAAACUAUCUUCUCUUCCGAAUUGGGAAUACAAAUCGACAUCUAUCGAUUUCGAUUUCGGGGUUUGAAAAACUGGGUUAUAUGACAUCUAUCGAUUUCGAUUUCGAGGUUUGAAAAACUGGGUUAUAUGAAUUGUUAUUGAGUAUCCACAAUUUAUAUUAAUUGCUUCCGCUGCUGGGUGUUGAUGCUCAUAGAACAAACGGGUAUGUCUCCUGAACAUUGAAUUGAAAUUUGUUUUUUAAUCAAUCUUAUCUUGAAUUUCAUUAUGUUCUACAGCAUGAUUCGAAUAGUGAGCAUAAAAAUAUGCUUAUUUAUGCUGAUUAGUCCUAUGUUUAUGCGUUUUUCUCUAACCAUCUAUGGAAGGGAGUUCUUCGAUAAGAACCUCUGCAGAUUUCACUUGUUUUAUGCAGAAAGUUUUAUGAAGAACUGUUCAUUUGAUAAAGAUCUGCUAAAACUGUGUUCUUAAAUGGAAAAAUCUUUUAUUCUAUAUGUGCUUAUCAAUUCUUCAUUGUUAAGAUUAUAUAUAUGGAUAAAAGGUUUUGAUGAUAUGAUGUACAAAGGAUUGUGAGAUGAAAUCUGGAACUCUAAACGUUCUUCUGUGAUUCAUUGUGAUUUCAUUGUGCUACAGUGUCUGCAAUAUCAAUGAAGACUCUGAAUUUGGCUAACAUCCCAAUUCUUACUGGUGGGGGAAAUUACAAGAAGUGGAGAAGGGAAAUCAGUUUGCUGUUGACUCUAAACGAGUUUGAUAUAGCAAUCGAGAAUCCCAAACCCGUGGUCAAUGAUCAGAGCAGCACAAGGGCUGAAAAGGCAGAUUUUGAGAGAUGGACAAGGGCUAAUAAGGUAGCAUUGUCCAUCCUUGAGAGUGGCAUGACUGAUACAAUCAGAUGAGGAAUUAAGAAGCACGAUUUGGCUGCUGAUUACCUAAAAGCUAUUGAAAAGAAAUUUCAAGAAUCUGAAAAAGCUGAAGUGAGUCAGUAUAUGUCUUUAUUAACUACUUACAAGAUGGAGGGUACAAGCUCUAUAAGGGAUCACAUAAUGAAGAUGACAUAUGCUGCAGAAAGACUCAAUGCAAUGGAUAUAAACAUAGGUGAAAAGCAGUUAGUAUUCAUGAUUCUUCAAGCACUUCCCAGUAAAUAUAGUCAGUUGAAGAUCUCCUACAAUACUCAAGACAAAAACUGGGAUAUUGAUCAGUUGAUUGCACAGUGUGUGCAAGAAGAAACUCGUCAAAAACAAGAAAGAGGCAAAGAAGUUGAGGACAUCAACUUUGUGCAAACUAUAAAUGACAAAAAGCAGUUCAACAACAGAAGCUUUUCUGGUUCUGGUAAGAGUUCUAAGCCUUUUAAAACUUCUAAUAAGUUCAGUAAUUCUGCUAAAGUAGUUGACUCCCCUAGAAAAUCUAUCAAGUUUAAAGCUAAACCUAAAGAUGUGUCUAAAUUAAAAAUGUUUUUGGUGCAAAACUAAGGGCCAUUUAAAAGUUAACUGUGAAAUUUUCAAAGAUUAUGUAAAGAGCAAAGAAAAGGAACAAGUACUUGUCUGUAUUGAAUCAAAUUUGUGAAGUAUACCUGUUGAUUCUUGGUGGUUUUGAUAUACCGGAUGCUCAGUGCAUAUAACUAAUUCUUUAAAUGGUUUUCAAAAACAAAAGGAAUUUGGAAAUGCUACAUAUAAUGUUUUUGUUGGGGAAGGAACUAAAGUUGCAGUAGAGUCAAUUGGGAUAGUCAAAUUAGUCUUAUGUUCUGGUUAUGUUUUAGAGUUGAAAGAUGUGUGCUAUAUGUGCCUAAGAUGAGAAGAAACUUAAUUUCUGCCCUCUAAAAUUGUAAAAGAUGGUUUUUCUUUUCUUGGUGAUGAUGAGUGCCUCAAAAAUUUUCAAGAAAAACUGUCCUUGUCCUAACACUAUUUUAGGGACUGCUUUUUUGUCUGAUAAUUUAUGGAAUCUAAAUUGCACUGUUAAGGCACUCAAUCACACGAUUUUCAGCAUUAGUACUAAGAGAAUGAUAGGUCAGGAUACUUCAUACAUUUUAUGGCACAAAAGACUAGGACACAUCUCUAAAGAAAGGAUAAUUAAGCUGUAAAAAACUGACUUGAUUCCAAAAUUAGAUCUUUCUACUGCAACUGAAUGUGUUGACUGCCUAAAGGGUAAAAUGACCAAUUUUAGAAAAACAGAUGCCAAAAUGAGCCAGGGGUUACUUGAAAUCAUACACACUGAUAUCUGUGGUCCUUUUCCAGUUAAGACAAUAUGUGGAAACAAGUAUUUCAUUAAUUUCAUAGAUGAUUUUUCAAGGCUGGGAUAUACCUUUCUGAUUAAUGAAAAAGCUGAUGCCCUUAAGUGUUUUAUAAUUUACAAAACUGAGGUUGAAAAACAGUUAGGCAAGGUUAUUAAAAUUGUUAGAUCGGAUAGGGGAGGUGAAUACUUUGGCAGGUACACUGAAUCCGGGCAGCAAAAGGGACCAUUUGCUCUCUAUCUCGAGAAGAAUGGUAUUGUGGCGCAGUACACCACACCUGGAACGCCUCAACAGAAUGGUGUUUUUGAAAGAAGAAACAGGACUCUUAUUGGUAUGGUUAGAAGCAUGAUGUCCAGAUCAAAAUUGCCAGGAUUCUUGUGGGGAGAAGCUUUGAAAACAGCUAAUCAUAUAUUGAAUCGAGUUCCAAGCAAGGCAGUAUCUACCACACCCUAUGAGUUAUGGCAUGGGAGAGUUCCUAGUUUUACUUAUUUCCAUGUUUGGGGUUGUAAAGCAGAAGCUAAGUUAUAUAAUCCUAAUGAAAGAAAGCUGGAUUCAAGGACUCAGUCAUGUUAUUUUAUUGGCUAUCCUGAGAAAUCAAAAGGAUACAGGUUCUAUAUCCCUCAAGGUCACACUCGGAUCCAAGAGACACACAAUGCAGUUUUCCUAGAAGAUGAAGAUGUCUCUCAUUUGUCAAGGGAAAAUUUCAUAUUUGAAGAGAUGCAUUCAGAUGGUGGGGACCAUGUGACAAUGGAUUAUAAUAUCGGUCUCAUUGUUUCCCAAUCAAUCAUCAAUUGCCAUUGAAGAUAUGAGUGAAGAUUUAGGAGUUCCUGAUGACAACUCUGUAGGAGUUGAUUCCACAACAUAAGCUGCAACAAUUCCUUUUGCAGAAGCAUGUGAACCAGUUGCUGUUCCACCUCCAGUUGAAAUCAGAAGGUCACAAAGAGCUCGGAAAACCACUGCAAGCAAUGACUAUGUGUACUUAUAAGAGACUGAGUUCGAUAUUGGUGACAUUUGAUGAUCCUCUUACAUAUACUCAGGCAACUGAAAGUCCUCAAGCAGUUCUUUGGAACAAUGCAAUGAAGGAUGAGUUAGAUUCAAUGUCCAAAAACCAGGUUUGGACAUUGGUGGAAUCCAACUCUGAAAUUAGGCCAAUAGGCUGCAAGUGGGUAUAUAAAACCAAAAGGGAUGCUGCUGGAAGAAUUGAAAGAUAUAAAGCAAGGUUGGUUGCUAAGGGGUUUACUCAAACGGAGGGGAUCGACUAUAAUGAUACUUUCUCUCCAGUUUCCUCCAAAGACUCCAUGCGAGUUAUCAUGUCUUUAGCUGCCUACUUCGAUCUUGAAUUACAUCAAAUGGAUGUAAAAACCGCUUUUCUUAACGGAGACUUACAAGAGGCUAUAUACAUGAAACAACCUGUUGGAUUUGUUGAAAAGGGGAAAGAGAAUUUAGUAUGCAAGCUCAAUAAGUCCAUAUACGGCUUGAAACAAGCAUCAAGGCAAUGGUACCUAAAGUUUGAUCAAAUUGUCUCUGCAUAAGGUUUUGUAGAAAACAAACUGGAUGAUUGUAUAUACAUUAAGUUCUCAGGUUCCGAGUUCAUCUUCUUAGUACUUUAUGUUGAUGCCAUUCUCCUAGCUAGUUCAUGUCCCCAAUUGCUUCAUAGCAUUAAGAGAAUGCUAAGUGAUAACUUUGAGAUGAAAGAUCUUGGAGAAGCACAUUAUGUACUAGGAAUAGAGAUUGUUCGAGAUAGGAAAAUGAGGCUCCUUGGUUUAUCUCAAAAGGGGUACAUUGACAGAGUGUUGGAGAAAUUUCAUAUGGCAAAUUGCAAUUGUGGUCAGGUUCCAGUCAAUAAAGGUGACAAGUUUUCGAAGAUUCAAUGUCCAAGAUCUGAUUUGGAGGUGAAGAAAAUGCAAGCUAAGCCUUAUGCCUCGUUGAUUGGAAGUCUUAUGUAUGCAACUAUCUGUACAAGGCCUGAUAUUGCCUUCAUAGUUGGUAUGCUAAGACGAUUUCAAGCAAAUCCUGAGAAGCACAUUGGGGGUGGCAGCCAAGAAGGUUCUUCGAUACUUGCAGAGAACCAAAACUCACAUGUUAGUAUAAUGGCCGAACUGAUUCUUUGGAGCUCAGGGGGUAUAUACUCGGAUUUAGCUGGAGAUGUGGAUGACAGGAAGUCCACAGGGGUUAUAUCUUCAUACUCAAUGGAGGGGCAGUUUCGUGGAAAAAUGCAAAGCAAACUAUUAUAGCCACAUCAACUAUGGAAGCUGAGUUUGUAGCCUGUUUUGAAGGCAUGAAACAGGCAGCAUGGUUGAAGAAUUUUUUGACAGAUUUAAAGAUUGUGAAUUCGGUUCAGAAACCAGUAACAAUGUUCUGUGAUAAACAACUCGGCUGUGUUUUUUGCUAAGAAUAAUAAAAGGACUUCAGCAUCUAGAUUUGGAUGGACGAAGUUUCUUAAGGUCAGAGAACAAGUCAAGAAAGGAGUUAUUGAAGUACAGCACAUUAGCACUACUAUGAUGAUUGCUGAUCCCUUGACUAAGGCACUGCCAAUUGGAGAAUUCAAGAAACAUGUUUCUUCAAUAGGAGUACUAGAAGGUUUUGAUCAGUGGGAGUAAUCACGUGUGUGUUAAAGGCUUGGGAUUGCAGAAGCAGAAGUAUAUAUGUGUUUCAAGAACUGUAUGUGCAAUUCUGACAAGCUGAACUAAGGAUGCUUUAUGUUUUAACUUGCUUUAGUUAGUUUGUUAAGGUUGUUUGUGUUUUAAUAAGUGUCCUUGUCUGCUACUCAAUACUUUGGCUUUCAGGUGUUGAGGUACGGAUACUGGACUGAGUUAGAAUUUAGUUUCAUUAGUAACUUUGAAAGAACAGUUUGUCUGUUUUUUAAGUUUGUGGUUAAUGAUGUUAUAUAGUCAAUUACUAUGUUGCUUUUCUGUGAAGAUUAAUGUGUGUUGUGAUCUUUUGAAAAGUGGGAGCAUAAUGUUUGACGGUUUAUGUUAGUCAUGAGUCAUAUUUACAAAUUGAAUAUAUGUGAGCCUUGAAUUAAUACUACAAUUUGGUUGUGGUCUGAGAUUCUUGGUUUCUAUAUUUUGAGAUGUAAUGGGACAGUGGUCAUGAUGGUUAAAUCUUAGAUGAGGUUAUGUGAUCACUUCUUAUGAUUGGUGACGGCAAGGUUUGAUCUUUGUCUCAUGUUCAAGUGGGAGAAUGUAAGAAUGUGAACAUGAGAUAAGAUGAUCGGAUAUUAGUUGUUUGAGUCCAAUCCGAAUAAGAAAGCCUCUAAGAAGAUGGAAUUCAGUUCUUGGCAGUAGAGGACUCUAUUGCAGGGAAAAACUGAUUUGAAUUAGGAAGGCUUAAGUAGUUUUCCAUAAGGAUUUUAAUAGGGAAUCCAUAUUCUAAUAUGAGAAGGAUAUGUGUGUACAUAUAUAUAUAUAUAUGGCAAUCUCUUCUCUCACAGGUGUGUGCUCUUUUGGAACUAAGCCCUAUUCUUAGUUUGAGUGAUAAAUACCCUGACAGAGAGAAGAAGAAUUGUUGUGCUUUUCAGGUUGAUCGAGAUCCACCAUGACUGCAUCAAACGGGAGUUCUACAGGUUAGUAUAAUUAGGUUUAUUUGGAUUGAUGUUUUGUGUCUACUUGGUUGUAGUUUAAGUAACUGAAUCUUGCAGCUAGAUUUUGGUUUACAUAUUUUUCGAUGUAGGCUUUAUCCACGGUGUGAGCUGCCGGCCUGACGCGGAGUUUGGUAGGGGAGGGGAAUUUGAAGUCUACGAUUUUUUGGGACGUUGGCGGGCAACAGUUGGUCGGGACUGCUCCACUUGGAAAGUCCGCAGCUCCGCAUUUGGCUAGGUCAGGCGGCAACACUGGCUUUGCAACAGCGAAGGGGUCGCUGCCAAGACCAACCACUCCGGCUUUGCAACAGCGAAGGGGUCGCUGCCAAGACCAGCCACUCCACCGUAGAGGCUUCCGAGACCUAUAAGUACAUUUCUUCUGUCUAGGUUUACUAGAGAAGGGUUUUCAUGGUCGUGAUCGUUGGAGCUAGUGGAAGGGUUUUUGUUUUGGUCACUACUAUUAUUUGUGGCUUUGCACGAGACAGCUUGUAAAUUGGAAUGCCUAGGGUUUCCAAAUGAGGAUAUUCGGUGAUACUUUUGGGAGAAAGGGGAGAGAGAAGUUGUGGGGAUGAUACUUGUGGCGGAGGUGACGAGUGGAGCUGACAUAGAAGCCAUGGUACUUGACUCUGAAUAAUACGUUGUAUUGGCUUUGCUUUUAUAAUGUGUUCUAGGUUUUACGUUUCUUUGCACGGGUGGCAGGCCGUACACACGUGGUCGGUCCUUAAGGGUUUGACGAGGAAUACUACGCAGUCAUUUAGUACAUGACAACCAUACACUAUAGCACGUGGCAUGUAUUUAGAGAUCGAGAGAGAAUUGGGUAAGGUUCACGAGGGAUUGUAGUUUCAGAAGGUGAAUUGGUUUUGGUCUUCUUGUGUACCAAUAAUUUUUACUUAGUCAUUUAGUGCAGGACAACCAUGCACUAUAGCACGUGGCAUGUAUUCAGAGAUCGAGAGAGAAUUGGUUGGGUAAGGUUCACGAGGGAUUGUAGUUUCAGAAGUUCAAGCGGUUUUGGGCUUGUUGUGUACGGCUGUGGGUCUGCUGUCACGGACUCUCUGUCUCAUUUGUGUCUUAUUUUUUAUUUUUUGACACGUUUUAACGUCAAAUCAUUAUAGCAAUGUUAUGCAAUUGGGAGCUAAAUGACCGAUGCUCUUAUUUUUUAGUUUGCUUUUUUUCCAGAUCUGAUCAAAUCAUGAUAGCAAUGUUAUGCAAUUUUCAAGAGGGAGAGAUGCACCUGGGAGAGAAACGGUACGGUGACUUCUAAAUCACCGUCCAACAGAACAAUUCUCAGUAGAGACUACUAGAGAGAGAUGCACCUCACCAAUGAAAAAUUUAACUGCAAAAAUUCUGGGUAUCGGGAGUUGUGGGGUGGGUCUUGGCAGUUUUCUUAUUUCUUUGAAUUUUUUAUAAUUUAUUUUAUAAAAGUAACAGUGUUUUGUGGGGGUUAAAUUGUAAAACACGUGUCAUCAAACUAAAUAAAGAGACACCAAAGAGACAUGGAAUUCGGGACAACAGACCCACAGCCGUUGUGUACGGAGGCAGACUCUCUGCUCUCCUACUUUCUGUGUCCUCCUGUUUUGUGUAGUCACGAUUAAAUCACGUCAAUAUUUUAUAUUAUUAUUUUAUAGAUAUAAUAAGACAAAAAAGAAUAGUAAUUUAAAAUAUUAACGUGACUUAACUGUGACCACACGAAUAGGAAGGCAUGAGAAGUGGGAAGGCAAAGAAUAUGCCUCCGUUGUGUACCAAUAAUAUUAUAUAUAUAUAUAUAUAUAUAUAUAUAAUUAGGAUUGAAGGAUGUAGAGCUUAUUUUGUUAUGUAUUCUAACAAUUUAAGUGCUUAUCUUUUAGGUUUUCUCUUAAACAGCAUGCCUAUAAAAAAUCACCAAAAUUCAAACCAUAUGACCAUUAGAUCCAUAGUCAUUUUAGUGUUAAAUGAACUUCACAAAAUAAGUCUCAAAAUAUGUAUAAAAAAUGGACAGCGUGAAUGGUUUGGAAAUUGGAAUAGGUUUGGAAAUUGUGCUUUUUGUAGCAAAUUGCAGCAAAGUUUGCUUGGACUUUCACAACCGUAUAAAUUAAACUGUUCGCUUUGUUGGGAAAAACAAGUUUGCCGCUGGUCUUGGGUUCCAAGAUCGGCCAAUUUGACGGCACACUUUUUGGCGUUGAGAAGCAGUACGGAGAUGUGCAGAUUAACUUGGAUUGAUACUCCUCCAUCUUCGUUGGUUCGUGUAUUGAACAAAGAUGGCCUUCCUUGCCCUCCUUAAUAUUUUUUGUUCUUCCUGCAGUGGAGGCGGUGACGCCUUGCUCUUGGUGCAGCGUCUAGUGUUCUGUACCCUCCUCUUCUGCAUAUGUUUGUAUUUCCCCUCGUUGCCCCUUCUAAGUGGGCUUCCUAUUGUUUUGGCUUCGGCCCUGGUUAUGAAAUAUUUCCAAUCUUACCCAAAAAAAAAAAAAAAAAGAAGAAGAAGAAGAAGUCAAGCACGGUGGGAGACUGGUCAUAGUUUCUAGAUUGAUGCUCUAAUUCUAAUGUUAUACAACGCGUACGCUAAAAUAUUUUUAUCAAAAUAUUAGUUUUAGUGUUAUCAAAACAAUAAUGUUAUUCUUACCAUGUUUUUGUAUCACAAUUAUAUACCACCUUAGAUGGCAUAUGAUGUAGAUAGCCACAUCAUUUAAAUUAAUAAGCAUUUAAUUUCAAAUGUUAAUCAAUAAUUAAUAAAAUGAUUGUUAAUUAAAUGAUGAUUAUGGUAUACAAGGAGUCUCCUUCUUCCUUCCCCUUUCCAUUCUGCUUUUUCUUCCUACCACUUUCUGUUUUUUUUUUCAUGCCAGUUUUUGUAUUGAUUUCUAUUGAUUUCCAUGAUUAUGGUCAAUCUUUAUAGAAUUUACUCGUAUACCACAACCACCAUUGAUUUCUAUCUCUAGACUCAUGCCCCGUAGCCCUAAUCCUCAUUCCCCUUCAAGUAUUUCUGUCUCCAAUCUUCUUUGGUACUCCAUGGUUGUUCAUCUCGUGAUUUUUUUUUAUUAUUUCAUUAAGUAACGCCUAUUAGCUUUCAUGCGAAUUAGGAGUCAAAAUCAAAUUUGUCUAUCGGAUUAGGGUUCAUGCCCAAUUAAGUUACUAACGCAAGAGAGAUUUUGAAGUCUACAAUUUUCCUUAUUUAAGUGUUUUAAUUAAUAAGAAAAUUGAAAUUAAACGAUUUAGCUUGUCCAACUCAUCUGCCACCUAAGAUGGUAAAUAAAUGUGGUAAGAAUAGCAUUACUCUUAUCGAAAUUACAAAAAAAAAAAAAAAAAAAAAAAAAAGCUGAUUCAAUAUUUAGUUAUUAAAAAAAAUAUAAAAAAAGUGAUCAAGUAACUAUCCAAUACCCAUGUAUUGGGUGCUUUGUUUGAAAAUUUUCAAAAUGAUAUUGGGCUCGUUUGGAUAUGUUUUUAAAAUGACUGAAAGCGUUUUUAGAGAAAAUAUUUUUUUGAUUCCAAAAGCACUUAAAGUGUUUUCUGCAAAAAGCACUUAAAGUGCUUUCUGCAAAAAGCACCAGUUAUGUGCUUCUUCCUAGAAGCACUUUAAGUGUUUUUCAAGCAUUUACUUGCUUUUUUACUAAGGAUUGGUUCCAAAAACAUUUUCACAAAAAGUGUUUUCAGUCAUUUUAAAAGUACAUUCAAACGAGCUCAUUGUUUUUCCUAUUUUAAUCAAGUGCGUCGUCCCCUGUUGAGAAUGAAUCUCAUAUUAUGGGGAGAGGGGUCUUGCAUGGAUGAGAGGAGGGACCUUGCAUGAGCUUAUAAGUAAGUUGGGUUACUCUCUAUAUUGCCAAGAGAAAUUUUAUUUGGACCUACUUUUCCUCUCUCUAAACCCAACUUUAAUAUUUUGUUACCUAAACUCUCUAGUUUACCCUCAUAAAUUAUAAACAUAAAUAAACUGGAAAAAGAAAAACUCAUCAAACCUAUUUCCCAACUGUUCUGGCGUCUCUUCCCUGUAUUUGUUGGGUCUAUCUCCCUCCCGACUGUUUUUUUUCCCUGAUAUUCUCUGUGUGUUCCCCCACCUCUCCCACACCCACCGAUUCUUUGUGGUGGCUAUUCCACCCAACGUCCAGUGAAUCUUUCCAUUUUUCUUCUAUUGCGCGUGAUAGGGCCUUGCUGUUAAUAGGCAAAACUAAGCGGCAUCGUCGACUCUGUAAGCGACUUGUUGCAGAAGUCCAAAAUGGAGUCAAAAGGAUUUUGUAUUGGGUCGGGUUGUUGAAGGCGAUGGCUGAUUUAGCAAUCUCGCCUAACUACUUCUAUAUGCAGGAGAAGGAAGAGGGAGGAAGGUCUAAAGUGGUGGUUGAGUGGUGGCGAUGUAUGUGGGUUCUAUCUCGGUUGAAUGGGUGUAGAAAGAUAUUUAAUUUUCAGUUUCUUAUUUUAUUUUGUAUAAGGGAUAAUAUCGGAAUUACAUAAAAAGUUUUUUUUAUAGCUGGGUGUAGAAAUAGUAUUGUUGGGUCUAAAUAAAAUUACCCUAUUGCCAAACAUAGUAUUGUUGGGUCUAAAUAAAAUUACCCUAUUGCCAAUUAGCUUUGUUUGAAAAUUUUCAAAAUGAUAUUGUUUUUACCAUUGAACCCUUGUUAUAUACAGUGAUGGCUAAUUUGUCAAGUUCUACGAAGUUGGGAUACCCAGCGUUUUAGCAUAUAACAUAACUUAGUAUUACAAGCAUAAUUAAUUAAAAUAAAGGAAAAUGAAGAGGAUAGCUUAGUAUUACAAGCAUAAUUAAUUAAAAUAAAGGCAAAAGUAACAGCCUGUCCCUAAAAAUGACGAUUUUAUAAUCUUAACACGUGAGUUUAUGAAGAUGCCCUUCGAGGCAAAGUGUUGACUUGUGUUGACUACCGCAUCGUGUCAUGUGAGACUCAUCUUCUUGGCGUAUUCUCGUUUUACUUGUCACUACGGACGCAUGGGCGCAAACGGGACAUGAUUUGGAGCUAUAACGAAUGAGUUAUUAACAUUUAAAGUUAAGGACAUUUUAGUAAAUUAAUUAAUUUCAGAUUAUGUUGAGGGGAAAAUCUGGAGUGCCGGUGGGUGGCCCAGAUUAAAGGAAAUGAAGAAUGGAUGGUGGAGGUGUAAAGGAAAGAAGAUAAAAGAAAAAUGAGAGGAAGUGUGUGACUAAUAGGGAGAUGAGAGAGUUAGGAUGGCCCAAUCAGAAACAAACGAAAGGAGGAAAAAGGAGAGAAGAGGGGAGCGGGGGAUCCCUUCGACCCGGUUCCAUUUUCCGACCCGACCCGAUCCUUUUCAUCUUCUUUGAUGGUUUUUCGUCGGUUUUUUCCGACGAACCACGUUAUCUAACCCCUUGGAAAAUGUUCCACAACCUUCCCUCAACUAUUACAAUCCAAAAUUGUAGAAAUUUAGCCAUGAAAGUAUGAAAACCACACCGGUGGGUGCGGGAAACCCUUGUCGUCGAUUCUCCCAUUAUUGCAACGAUUUUCACCAAUUACCACCACCUACAACAUCCUCUUGAGGUCUGGAAUAAAGCCCAAACAAGUUUUGCACUACUACAAUAUUAGCUUUAGAUGGCAGAUGAUGGUGGCGGAUUUAGAAAAAUAUUGUCGGAUAAAUUAUAUCUGACACAUUAUUUAAUUAGUGGUGAAUAUAAGAAAAAUCAUGUCGGUUAUAACCGACAUAAAUUCGUGGCAGAUACUAGCAGAUAUUAAAAAACUCAUGUCGGUUAUAACCGACAUAAAUUCCUAGCGAAUAAUUACUGACAGAUAUUAUAAAACUUCUGUCGGUUAUAACCGACAAUAUUUUUGAAUUGGGGGAAUUUAAAAUUUUGGGAGGGAAUUUAAAAUUUUGGGAGGGAAUUUAAAAUUUUGGAGGAAAUUUUGGGGGGAUUUUUACCCAUAUUAAUUCAUGGCGGAUAAUUACUGACGAAUAUUAUAAAGCUCAUGUCGGUUAUAACCAACAAUAAUGAAAAUGUUUAUGUCGAUUUUUAUUAAAAAAAUGUUUCUGUCAGUUUUAACCGACAUUAAUGAAAAUAUUCCACAGUAAAACCCCUACUUCUUCUCCUUGUGCUGGUGCCUUCUCCCUUCCCCCUUCUUUCCCCCUUUUCUCUUCUCCUCAUUUCCUUUUCCUUUGUAUUUUUGAUUUUGACAAGGUCUCUCCUUUAUUUGAUUCUUUGUUGUUCAUCUCUCACAAAUGUAGAGAGAGUAAAGGAGAUGCUUAGAGCGCUUUCUUUGUUCCUUUUUUUUUUCUUUUCAUUUUUUCCCUUUUCAAACUCCGACUAUGUCUUACAUGGCCGGUCCCAAGCCCGGAUAAAGGAGGAGGGGGAGGGCGUCAGGUAGUCGACAGCCGGCACUCCAUGAUCACGUCGAAUCCUUAUGAAAAUGAAUCCAGAACAAAAUCGCGCUAAAGCUAGGGCGCCACCCGUAAGUGGCGCGCUGUGUGGCCCGAGCACAGUGAUAAGUGAGCAAGGGUCGCUGUAUCUCCAUCGGCACUCGGAUGCAGUGUUAAAUGAGCAAGGGGGCCAUAGAAACUUCUUUUCGAACGACUCCACUCAAAGUUGUUUGGGAGCAUAUGCUCCUAUCAACUUUACCCGGGACACACAAAAGAAGUACUUUGAUCCUAUUAGACGGGGGAGGGUGAAGAAGCUAGGACAGAAGGGUAGAGUUCAAGAGAGCAAAAUGCGUUUAGGAACGUGGAAUAUAGGAACCUUAACGGGAAAAUCUAUGGAAGUAGUGGAAGUUAUGGUGAGGAGAAGGAUAAAUAUUAUGUGCCUACAAGAAACUAAGUGGGUUGGUAGUAAGGCAAAGGAUCUAGAAAACUCAGGGUUUAAACUUUGGUAUUCGGGCACAAAUAGAACGAGAAACGGUGUUGGCAUCAUCGUGGACAAGACCUUGGUACAAGAUGUUGUAGAUGUCAAGAGUGUAGGAGAUAGAAUCAUGGCAAUCAAGAUUGUAAUAGGACAAGAACUUAUCAAUGUGAUUAAUGCGUACGCACCUCAAGUAGGGUUGGAUACGAGUUCGAAGGAGAAAUUUUGGGAAGAUCUUGGAGACUUGGUGCAAGGAAUUGCUCAGACGGAGAAGUUAUUUAUAGGAGGAGAUUUAAAUGGACACGUGGGCAGGGAGACAGGCAACUAUGGAGGUUUUCAUGGUGGCCAUGGUUUUGGGGAGAGAAACGAGGAUGGGGAAGCUAUCUUGGAUUUUACAAUGGCAUAUGAUCUCUUCUUAGCCAACACCUUCUUUAAGAAGAGAGAAGAACAUGUGAUCACCUACAAGAGUGGGUCGUCAAAAACACAAAUAGAUUUUCUUCUAAUGAGGAAAGGGGAUCGUAUAACUUGUAAGGAUUGCAAAGUUAUACCAGGAGAGAGCGUGGCUAAUCAACAUCGCUUGUUGGUGAUGGAUGUACAUAUCAAAAGAGUAAGACAAAAGAACAAGACUUGGAAGUGCCCAAGGACUAGAUGGUGGAAUCUAAAAGAAGAAAAACAAGUCAUUUUCAAAGAGAAGGUAAUCACCCAAUGUGUGUGGGAUAGAGAGGGGGAAGCUAGCCAAAUGUGGGAUUUCAUGGCUAGUUGUAUCCGAAAAGUAGCAAAAGAGGUAUUAGGAGAGUCUAAGGGCUUUGCCCCACACUAAAAGGAAUCUUGGUGGUGGAAUGAGGAGGUACAAACAAAGGUGAAGGCUAAGAAGGAAUGUUGUAAAGCCUUAUACAAGGAGAGGACCGAUGAAAAUGGUGAAAGGUAUAGAAAAAAAGCGAAGCAAGAGGCGAAGAAAGCUGUCAGAGAAGCUAAGUUAGCGGCUUACGACGAUAUGUAUAAACGACUAGAUACCAAAGAAGGAGAGUUGGAUAUCUAUAAACUAUCUAGAGCAAAGGAAAAGAAGACAAGGGACCUAAACCAAGUGAGGUGCAUCAAGGAUGAGGAUGGAAAGGUUCUUGCUACAGAGAACGCGGUUAAAGACAGAUGGAGAGGUUAUUUUCAUAAUCUUUUCAAUGAAGGACAUGAAAUGAGUGCUUCUUUAGGGGAGUUGAGUAACUCAGAAGAGUGUAGAAACUACUCUUUUUAUCGUCGAAUCCGGAAGGAAGAAGUGGUUGUAGCUUUGAAGAAGAUGAAGCAUAAAAAAGCAAUAGGCCCAGACAAUAUACCAAUCGAAGUGUGGAAACUUUUGGGAGAGACAGGUAUAACAUGGCUCACUGACCUUUUCAAUAGGAUUUUGAAAACGAAAAAGAUGCCAAAUGAGUGGCGAACGAGCACUUUGGUGCCUAUCUACAAGAAUAAGGGCGACGUACAAAAUUGCAUGAACUAUAGGGGUAUUAAGCUAAUGAGUCAUACAAUGAAGCUCUGGGAGAGAGUCAUUGAGCAUAGAUUGAGGCAAGAGACACGGGUUUCGGACAACCAAUUCGGGUUCAUGCCAGGGCGCUCAACCAUGGAGGCAAUCUAUCUCUUACGAAGAUUGAUGGAAAGAUAUAGAGAUGGGAAAAAUGAUUUACACAUGGUCUUUAUAGAUUUGGAAAAAGCGUAUGAUAGGGUCCCAAGAGACAUUCUUUGGAGGAUUUUAAAGAAGAAAGGAGUACGAGUAGCAUAUAUCCAAGCUAUAAAGGACAUGUAUGAAGAAGCAAAGACUGCCGUAAGAACUCAUGAAGGACAAACCGAAAGCUUUCCCAUAACUGUAGGAUUACAUCAAGGCUCAUCCUUAAGUCCUUACCUUUUUGCGUUGGUAAUGGAUGAGUUAACAGGACAUAUUCAAGAUGAUAUUCCUUGGUGUAUGCUUUUCGCAGACGAUAUAGUGUUGAUAGAUGAAACUCAGGAAGGGGUAAAUGCAAAGCUUAACCUUUGGAGAGAAGUGUUGGAAUCUAAAGGUCUUCGCCUAAGCCGAUCAAAGACAGAAUAUAUGGAGUGCAAGUUCAGUGCAAAUGGAGGCCAAAACGAGUUAGGGGUGAGGAUCGGAGAUCAAGAAAUACCAAAGAGUGACCGUUUUCGUUACCUAGGAUCUAUCUUGCAAAAGAACGGAGAAUUAGAUGGAGAUCUCAACCAUAGAAUACAAGCUGGAUGGAUGAAGUGGAAGAGUGCAUCUGACGUGUUGUGUGACCGUCGUAUGCCACUGAAGCUCAAAGGAAAAUUUUAUAGGACGGCAAUAAGGUCGGCGAUGAUUCAACUUGGCGGGUUCGAGCAAAUAGGCGUUGGGCCAUAUUAGACACAGAACCUGCACACUGAACACUGAGAGCUAGCGAAUCCUUAACAGCUAACUCAUCAGACCGUUUGGAAAGUAGUCUGUUAUCUUUGGGAGUGAGAAGGUUCCUGGCCACCACCGCAGCGGUCAUAUCAUUCUUCAUCACGGAAUCCCCAACGGUAAGAGGACCAGUAGGGGAGACAAAGGAUGGGCGCCAUAUGUUGUCUGGAGAAGGCGGGGCUGCCUCUUCAACAAGGUUCAAGUCAAAAAACGACGGUCGGAGGGCCAGACAUUUUCAAAGGUGUUGAAGAGAGAAGAGGUCGGACACAAAUCAAGAUCUUAGAAGUGCAAGAAUGAAGCUUCUACUGGUGGAGAUUCAAGUGUGCUUUGGAACUUAAUGCCAGCCCCUAUAAAAAUCUGCACUCGACGGAGCUUCAGAAAUCGAAGAGGCGUUUGCUUUCUCAAAAGCUGGGCUGCUUAGAGAUCACGAGGGUUGAUCUCAGGAAUCGAAGAGGCGUUUGCUUUCUCAAAAGUUGGGCUGCUCAAAGACCACGAAGGCCGAUCUCAGAAAUCGAAGAGGCGCUCACUUUCUCAAAAACUGGGCUCCCCAGAGACCACGAGGGCCGAUCUCAAAAAUCGAAGAGGCACCUACUUUUCCAGCCUUGUCAGCACCUGUCACACGCACACUCAGCUUUGCGGAAAUUAUGGGCAUUCUGUCGAAGACUUCUGGGGAAGUAGAAAACACAUGAAUCUUACUGUUCAAUCACCCACUUCCCACACGCAAUAAUAGCUCAUGGGUACCACAGAUAACUUUGCCAAAGUUCUCUGCCAAAGUUGAGCACGUGAAGCUUGCAGCUCCCACUACAUCGCUCUGACCAAGAAGGGUAAAAAGAAUAGCAAAGAAACAGCACUAACAAAGUUUAGACCCAUAAAUUUUGAAGGUCUAGCUACCAUAUUAUUACCCACAAGGGUAAAGGAACAGUACCACUGCUGGAUAAUUGGAAAGUCCCUAUGUGUCAACCUCUGUGCUUCGUGGCAAGGUAGACUAGCAAACAUGCCCAACCUUUACUCACAUUCGAGAAAACACUCCCAAUAAGAUUGCUUGCUCCAAAAUCGAAGAGGCACCGUCCUCCGAAUCUCGAGAGCCAGACUCCCAACAUGACUACUUUCUUAAAAAUCGAAGAGAGGGUAAAGGAACAGUACCAUUGCUGGAUAAUUGGAAAGUCCAUGUGUGUCAACCUCUGUGCUUCGUGGCAAGGUAGACUAGCAAACAUGCCCAACCUUUACUCACAUUCGAGAAAACACUCCCAACAAGAUUGCUUGCUCCAAAAUCGAAGAGGCACCGCCCUCCGAAUCUCGAGAGCCAGACUCCCAACAUGAUUACUUUCUCAAAAAUCGAAAGAGACACUGCUCCCCGAAUCUUCGAGAGCCAGACCCCCAGCAUGAUUGCUUUCUCAAAAAUCGAUGAGGCAUCGUUCUCCGAAUCAAUCGAAGAGGCGCUCGCUUUCUCAAAAGCUGGGCUGCUCAGAGACCACGAGGGCCGAUCUCAGAAAUCGAAGAGGCACUUACUUUUCUAGCCUUGUCAGCACCUGUCACACGCACACUCAGCUUUGCAGAAAUUAUGGGCAUUCUGUCGAAGACUUCUGGUGAAGUAGAAAGCACAUUAAUCCUACUGUUCAAUCACCCACUUCCCACACGCAACAAUAGCUCAUGGGUACCACAGAUAACUUUGCCAAAGUUCUCUGCCAAAGUUGAGCACGUGAAGCUUGCAGCUCCCACUACAUCGCUCUGACCAAGAAAGGUAAAAGAAUAGCAAAGAAACAGCACUAACAAAGUUUAGACACAUAAAUUUUGAAGGUCUAGCUACCAUAUUAUUACCCACAAGGGUAAAGGAACAGUACCACUGCUGGAUAAUUGGAAAGUCCCUGUGUGUCAACCUAUGUGCUUCGUGGCAAGGUAGACUAGCAAACAUGCCCAACCUUUACUCACAUUCGAGAAAACACUCCCAACAAGAUUGCUUGCUCCAAAAUCGAAGAGGCACUGUCCUCCGAAUCUCGAGAGCCAGACUCCCAACAUGACUACUUUCUCAAAAGCGAAGAGAGGGUAAAGGAACAGUACCAUUGCUGGAUAAUUGGAAAGUCCCUGUGUGUCAACCUUUGUGCUUCAUGGCAAGGUAGACUAGCAAACAUGCCCAACCUUUACUCACAUUCGAGACAACACUCCCAACAGGAUUGCUUGCUCCAAAAUCAAGAGGCACCGCCCUCCGAAUCUCGAGAGCCAAACUCCCAACAUGAUUACUUCCUCAAAAAUCGAAGAGACACUGCUCUCCGAAUCUCGAGAGCCAGACCCCCAGCAUGAUUGCUUUCUCAAAAAUCGAAAAGGCAUCGUUCUCCGAAUCUCGAGAGCCAGAUACCACAGACCACUUUUUCAAAGUGCUCUGACAGAGUUAAAACAUGUGAAACUGGCAGCUCCCACUACCGUGCUAUGACCAAGCAGGGUAAAGGAAUAGCAUUACUACUUGUUGUUAGGGAGACUCCUAUAUAUGUCGACCUCCAUCCCCAACGGACAGGCAGACCUGCAAAAAUGCUCAACCCUUCAUCAUAUCUGAGUGGGCACUCCCAACGAAGCCUUUCGAAAUAUUCAGCUUUCUUUCCCCCCGAUAAUACCUCUGCAAACAAGCUAUACUAGAGCAAGAAUAUCUCAUAUCAUCAGGGUUAAAAGCAAGAGUAUCCCAUAUCAUGCUUUUUCCCUGUCUUUUCCUUUGGCCUUGUUUUUACCUGCAAGACAAGGAGAAAGAGAGCAAUCAGUCAGCACUUGGAAUCAAGCUUCCAACCAGGAAAUGACUGCCUGGAACCCCUUACUUGGCAUUGCUCUCGAGUACUCAUCUUCAACAUCUUAUGUUUCCAGGGAAGAUUCUGCAUCUGCUUGAGGAACAGAUAGGGCAAGUGCGAAGGAUACAAGGAAGCAUGCGGAGACAAGCGUAACAGCACACGUGCCGAUACAUCCAUUACUCUGUCAAAAGCAAAAGUAUCCCAUAUCAGCAGGGUGGAACGUACUCUAGAUUUGAUGGACUUGUUUUGACCCUCAAAUUCUUCAGUCGGCCUUAUAUUCUGGAGGAAACCAGAAAACCCUCCAGCUCAGUUCAAGAAUAAGCCUGUGGAAAGUUACUUCUUCAAAAGCAAAAGUAUCUCAUAUCAUCUCUUCUCAUUUUUCUUCUCUCUUUAUCCUUCAUGCUGCUGCAAGAUGGGGAGAAGGUGAACAAUCAGUCGGAGCUCUGAUUGCUUACCUUGUCUGUCACCUCUUUCAGCAGACCCCCUAGCUCGGCGACUUGGGGGACUCCUACUAAAUGGUUUGUAUCGCGCUUGACCAAGCCUGAAACUACAAGUAAGCUUCAAGUGAAAUUGAUACAUUACCUUGUGCAUCUCCACCAGUUAAAGAUACCACCCCUGGAUGGAGGAAGAGUACUUCCAGAGAAGAUGCCACAUCUACCUAUGAGACAGAUAAGGCAAGUCAAGACGACACCACACUCCGAUACUUAGAAGUUUCGUGAUUAUGAGAUCAUUCUCCCACAAUAUUUCCUAAUGUCAUUUGUACUAAAUCAUUCACUUGUACUCACUAAAGGAGAGCUUGAACCUAUGUACUUGUGUAAACCCUUCACAAUUAAUGAGAACUCUUCUAUUCCGUGGACGUAGCCAAUCUGGGUGAACCACGUACAUCUUGUGUUUGCUUUCCUAUCUCUAUCCAUUUAUAUACUUAUCCACACUAAUGACCGGAGCAAUCUAGCGAAGAUCACAAAAAGCGACCGUUUUCGCUACCUAGGAUCUAUCUUGCAAGAGAACGGAGAAUUAGAUGGAGAUCUCAACCAUAGAAUACGAGCUGGAUGGAUGAAGUGUAAGAGUGCAUCCGGCGUGUUGUGUGACUAUCGUAGGCCACUGAAGCUCAAAGGAAAAUUUUAUAGGACGGCAAUAAGGCCAGCGAUGUUGUAUGGCACAGAAUGUUGGGCGGUGAAGCAUCAACACGUACACAAAAUGGGUGUAGCGGAGAUGAGGAUGCUUCGUGGGAUGUGUGGGCACACGAGAAAGGAUAAGAUUGGGAAUGAGGAUAUCCGAGGUAAAGUAGGAGUAGCCGAAAUUGUAGGAAAGAUGAGAGAAAAUCGGCUCCGGUGAUUUGGACAUGUGCAAAGAAGGCCGACUGACGCUCCGAUUCGAAGAUGUGACUACGGGACAGAGGUUCAGGGCCGAAGGGGUAGAGGAAGACCUAGGAAAACUUUGGAAGAGACUCUAAGAAAAGACUUAGAGUACUUGGAUCUAACGGAGGACAUGACACAAAACCGAGCGCAAUGGCGUUCUAGGAUUCAUAUAGCCGACCCCACUUAGUGGGAAAAGGCUUUGUUGUUGUUGUUGUUGUUGUAUUUUUUCCCUUUUCAAAAUCGAAAUGUUCUAAAUUAUUUCACUAAUCCUUGCUAGUUUGAACUGCAGGAGUCUGUCUCUGGAUUUGAAAGAUUAUCUGGACUUACAGUUUUGAAGAAUUGGGAUUCUAGUGUUACACAUAUUAUUGCAUCGACAGAUGAAAAUGAAGCAUGCAGAAGAACCCUUAAAAUUUUGAUGGGUAUCUUGGAGGGGAAGUGGAUUCUGAGUGUGGAGUGAGUUUUACUGUUUUCGUUUUAAUUGUUCUUCCUCAAGUGCUUGGACUUUACAAUUGUAAUGAGUACAGAAGCCGAAAUGAGAUAUUGAUAUACAUGUUCACAUUGCUGAUAAUUCGUUAUCCGUCUGUUUGUGUAGGAAUUAAUGCUUGCACAUAAGUAAUGAAACUAGUUAAUGAGGAGCCUUAUGAAAUCAACGUUGACAUUUAUGGAAUCAGGGAUGGUCCUCGACUUGGUAGACUAAGGCUGCAGAACAAGGUUAGCUUUUCCUCGAGUUUAACUAUCAUCACGAAAACUUUAGAUUUUCAUGGAUUCACCAUAGGCAUUGUUAAUCUUGUUCAGUCCAUAAAUAGGUUACACACUUAUCUUAACAAAGGUGAGACCUUCUCAAUUCCUCAUCGAGAUGAAUCAAGAGCAUAAUUGUAGCAGUGAUCAAGAGCAAUUUUUUUAUGUUUCUUCCAAAUUGUUGAGAUGAAUCAUCUGUGUUUUGUUCUAAUAAUCUUACAAAUUUGUUGAGCAAUUUUUGUAAAGUCAGAAUCUUUGGUUUCGGUUGUGAGGUAUCUGAUUUGGGUAUAUGUGUUUUGCAGGGCACGGUGGUUGUGGCGGAGGAAGAUUAGGAUUGACGACAGAGCUCUGGCCAUGAACUAUCAGCUCUGUCUUUCUCUCUCUAACUAUGAAUUGAAUACAAAAGUCUGUGUUGAUAUGGAAAAUGUAGCUCAAAAUUAUUACACAAAUGGCAAAAAAAAAAAGUUCGAGUGUGGAGUUUCACUUACUGAUACAGGGCUUUUGAAACAGGGUUGUCUAGACUGUAGAAGAAAUCCAUGGCUUUUGGAAGAGGGGAUGUUCCAAAUCUAUCUUUUCUCCCUCUCUAAUGUUCUUCGAGGGGUUCUUGUGAUGCAAAAAGUGGUUUAUAUAUAUUUUUUAUUAUUAAUAAAUUUUCUGUCGGUUUUAUCAGACAAUAAUUCUUUUAUUUAUUCUUAUUAAUAAUUUCUCUGUCGGUUAUAUCUGACACAAUUUCUGUCGAUUUUAGAGUAUUUUCUAUCGAAAAUUUCAUUUCCUGACGCAUCAAUUAUGUCGCUUAUUAUAUCCGCCACUGCACUCAUUUCAUGUCGGAUUUUGCUUAAUUUCCAACAGUAUUAUACAUUUCUUGUCGGUUUUUAAACCGACACUAAUGGGUACUUUUGUAGUAAUGUUGGGGCGUCGGAGUUCGUUUAAGGUCGAAUUGAGCACACCCAAAUUCAAGGGUUCCGUACGGUUCAUGGUAAUUUGAGGUAUUUCUCAGCCAAAUUGUCCUUAGUCACAGAUAUGAAAGUUGCUCCACUCGUUGAGAUCUUCAUUUAUGUCAAAUUUGAGAAUUUUUAGAAAUAAUUGGAUUUUCCAGCGAAUCGGGGCGGCGGACCACCACCGGACAGCGCAUGGCUAGUGGGCCCCCAAUGUCAUUUUACGUUAAAUUGGUAUCUUGAUUUUAGGUUUGAUGUCUAUAUGUUAUGACUUGAUAUGUGAACCUAGUUUAAUUAAGGUGCGUUAAUUGGUAAAAAUAUGAAACGACGAUCCGACCGUGGGAUCGUCACCAAUCUUUAUUAUGUUAUAGUACAUUAUAUUUGAGAAUCAUAGGGACUGACGGAUAGGAAAUCCGAUAUACGGAUCUUCCUGAAAUGGAAUUGUAAGUUCGAAGAAUAAACGUUAACCGCCACUUUGUUUUGACUAUUGGUGAAGAUCCAACCGUUGGAUCAUAAUGAAAUUUUAGGAUGAUGUUUUAGAAGCAUAAUGUGGAUCUUUGGAAGUUAUUGAUUGGAAAUCCGAGGAGCGAAUCUUCCGGAUUGAAUUACGUAAGGUUGUGGACCCUACCGUCGAUCGUUGACUGACGAUCGACUUUUGGUCAAUGGGGCUUAAAUCACUCUAAAAUGUUUUUAGGGAUGUGUUUUACGUAAAUUACAUUAUCUAUGGAUAAGAAUUCUGAGAUGUGGUUUGAUAAUUGUCCUGGGCGCCGAUCGUUAGGAACGCUUCGAUGGUUGUGCUAGGAAAUUGUAGCAUAGACUCCAGGUGAGUGAAUCUUUUCCUUCUUAUAUAUAUAUAUAUAUAUAUAUGAUUGACAAUUCCACAAACGUUUAUAAAUUGAUUAUUGCAUAUAACUACUGUAAAUACUUUGAAGUACUUAUGCGAACUACGAAUGGCUUGAUCCCUAUUUAGGGUACGUAUGCAGUCUAACAAGACAUUAAAUGCAGUCAUACAAUAAUUGAGAUUAAACAAUUGAGACAAAGCCUUGUAUGGGGAACUGGGCAAGGUGAACGAAUUUGGUAAAAAUGUGAGAUUUAACCUUCUGAAUUGGUGAUUAAAUGUUGGUCAUAAAUCAAUGUGUAAAGAAUCAAGAAUUUGAAGUAAGGAAACGUAAGUAAUGAUAAUUAAUUAAACUAGUGUCUAGUUGGGCUUGUCACCUAUAAUUAUCCCCAAAAAUGAAUAAUUCGGGAGUAGGGCGUUAUAGCUUCUGCAUUUUUAUGCCACAUUAUAUAUAUAUAUAUAUGUGUGUGUGUGUGUGUGUGUGUGUGUGUGUGUAUAAUUGGAAAUGCUAUAACGUGGUUGAGUAUCAGAUUUCAUCAUGGUUUAUCUAUAUGUAUAUUACCUGCACACAAUUAUUAUGAACACUUUGAAGUGCAAAGGUGAACGCAAGACACCCAGGAAAGUUCAGGUGAGUUUAUGGUAUUAGUUGAAAUGAUGGGGUUAUGGUAACUACAUGUAUGUUUAGGUUGCAAUGAUAGGCAACUCCGACACUGUCGUACAAGUUGCCCAUGAAUUGUAUAUGUUACAAUAGAUAGAGUUAGAGGUCAUAAACCUGCACCCCGGUGUUAGUGCUCCCACCCGUGGCUAGGGCACAGUCUUUCACGAGAUGUUCACCUCUCGCAUCUUACGCUCACCUUGGAUCCAAGGUAGGUGCACAGUCAUGUCAUAAAGACCACUAUAGGUGGUUCCGACUAGUAGAUGACCCGUGAUUAUUCGCACAGUCUUCACGUGAUUGUAGCACUUGAGCGUAUUUAUUUACACCCAGUCCUGUCGUACAGACCACUUUAGGUGGUUCCGACUCGUAUGCAGGUAUACUUAUUGAGCUAUGGAUAAGUCGUACAGGUCACUAAAGGUGACUCCAACUUAUGAGCUAGCAUAUGUGAUGAAAUAUGUGAUGAGCUAGCAUAUGUAAUGAGAUAAGUGAUGAGCUAGCAUAUGUGAUGAGAUAUGUGAUGAGUUAGCAUACGUUAUGAGAUAUGUGAUGAGUGAUAUAAUCAUAAUUGCAUACAUUUUCAUGCCCUUUUAGUUUAGAUUUUUGUUAUCCUUUUGAGUGAAUUUAGUUUGUUUCACUUAGUUUUAUGUUUUUCUUAGAUUUGAAGUGUGAAGAUGAAGAAAGAAGAAAAAAGAGCAUUUUUAGCGAUUGAAAUGAGUUUGGCAUGCUGGAAGCAGAGGCUAUUUGUGCGGAUCAGCCAACUUUACGGAUUAAACUGUACUUCCUUAGAAUGCCAGCUGUUGAGUCUUAUACCAUUGGAAAGAUAUGAAAGUUAGCUUUCAGAGGAAUUUUACGAUUCGUGAUUCCGAGUUUCCUAGAAGACGUUAUAGUGGUUUUUCUACCAGAUGUCUGCCAGCAAGGUUUUACGCGGGAUUUGCAAAGAGAUUCCAGAUUUACAAAGUUUAAUUAAAGGAAACAAGCAGAGAAAAAAGAAGAGGAAGCUUUUAGAAAAGUUCAGGACUAUUCUAAACGGUGCAUAGUUAAUAUAUUUAAUAGUUUAGUGUGCCACAUCAUCAAUAAACUAAUCUAAGUCAGAAGAGAAAUUCAAGAGUCCCAUUCAAGUAAGUAUUCCAGCAGUUUUAUUCAGGAAUAAAGGAGGGCAGACCGUCGGACUUUAGGAGCGGACAGAGAGAGUUUUUGGGUUUUCGAAGGUGCAGAGAAGAGGUCGCAGCAAGGAGUGAAACAGAGUCGCCGAUCAUCUGGGCAAUCCAUCACCAUCGUGUGGAAGUAUUUUAUGUUUUUCAGAUUUUUAAUUAUGUUUUCAGAUUUUAUGAGUAACUAAACUCUUUUUCUAAGGUUAGGAUGAUGCCCUAGCAUGGAUGUUUAUGGUUUGUAAUGUUAUUCAUUGGAUUUCCAGUUUCUUUUAGAUGAAUGCUUAAUCACUGUUUGAAUUGUUACUGUUUGUUUGAGUUCUUUGAUUGAUCACCUUAGGACUUUGCAUCUAGUAAGAUUGGAAGAUGAAUUUGAGACUGAACUAACAAUAUAAUUCAAUUAGCUUCUUGUGGUUAAGUGUGGUAAAUUACAUUAUUGCUUGAAAAAGAAUAAUGGUUUGUUUGGGUCCCUUGUUUUCUAGAGGGUAAAGAGUCCUACUUGUUAAAUUUAUGCCUUAACUAGGAUAGACUGCUUGUUAGGAUAUACGACCUCUGCCUAAACUAGGAGAGAAUCAUUCACAUAAGGAAAACUAUGGUCUAAUAUGCCUGACAAGGACUUAGAUACGGGAAUUAUCAUCUAAAGAAUUGAAAGAUCCAUUGAAUGCAUUGAAACCUAAACUAGAUUGCUUGUGGUUGAUUCCGAAUCCCUAGAUUUUCAUCACUUGCCUUAAAACACAACCGUUUCUUUUCUUUAAUUUCAGUUUUUACUUAAGGUUCUGUUUUUGUUCAUUUAUAAAAUCAUCACAACAAAUUUUUUACAUCUUUGAUUGACUUAUUAAUUAAGAUCGAGUCUAGUUCGUUGUUUGGGUUUGUGUGUCUUUAAUAUAAUUAGAUUUGGUUUAGUUUAUCAAAUUGGAGAUUGAAUUAGAAUCCUCGUGGGAACGAUACUUGGACUUGCAAAACGUUAUAUUACGACUAUCUUGUGCACUUGUAAGUUUACACCAAGUUUUUGGCGCCGUUGCCGGGGACUCUAAUUGAGUCCCCCAAUUUGAUAUCAUAUUCCAUAUCUAAUAAGUAGUUUAUUGUAGAUUAUUCAAUUUGAUUUUGUUUUGUUCUCUAGUUUCGAGUAAGAGUCAUAACUAUUAAGAUAAGUAAAAGUAAUUUUCGUCACUGUUUUAUUUCAGUUUUGUAUCACUGUUUCGACACAGUUUUGGACUAAACUAUUCGAUUUUUUACCAGGAAUAUUGUGUAUCGUUGGAAAGCCCCAGAAGUCUAGUUUUCAACCCAAAAAACAGAUCAAUGAUUGGAUUUUUGAGCUGCAAGAAAUGUACAAAAUACUGAGCAGUGGUCAAACAAGGAGCACAGUCUGGUCGUAUAUGCAAGGUAGACGUUCGUUGCAAUUUGAGUUGAUUCAUAUAGACCAAGAACUUGUGCGUACUUUAAGAGAACAGUGGAGGCAGCGAGUGUGUCAAGAACCAGCCAUGGAGGAAGUAGUUAAUAAUGGUGGAAAUAAUCCUCCACCAUUGCUACCACCACAACCAAGGCUCAUGCGUGAUUAUACAAAGCCAACGGAGUACAACGCACCGUCAUGCAUUGUUUUGGCUCCAAUUGCGCAGCGAUUUGAGAUUCGUCCACAAAUCUUUCAGUUGCUGCCUAUAUUUCUUGGGAAGGAGGAAGAAAAUCCAUACCAUCAUAUCAAGGCGUUUUUCAAGCUAUGUUCCACAUUCACAUUCACCAAUGUUACUGAAGAGCAAAUUCGACUUCGGUUAUUCCCAUUCUCUUUGAGGGAUAAAGCAAGCAGUUGGUUGGAUUCUCUUCCCGAAGCAUCUAUCGACACAUGGACAAAAUUAUCGAAGAAGUUUUUGUCCAAGUUCUUCCCCGCUCGAAGAACCAAUGCUCUGAUCAAUGAAAUCAUGAGCUUUCGACAACAAGAAGGUGAACAGUUUCAUGAAAGUUGGGAGCGCUAUAAGGACUUGUUUCUUCAAUGUCCUCAUCAUGGUUUCAACACUUGGCAAAAGGUUCAUUAUUUUUACAAAGGUUUGAACUCUCAAUGUAGGAGUUUGGUUGAUUCAACGGUUGGUGGAACCUUGAUAGACAAAACUCCAGAAGAUGCCAUACAUGCCUUUGAAACUAUAUGUGAAAAUUCUGAGCAUUGGGAUUUUCCUACAAAAGAUUUGAGAGUUCCAACUGCAUCGUCAACAAAAAAAGGAGGCAUUUAUGAAGUUAAUACAAGGACGGGCUUAGAGGCACAAGUGGCAGCCCUCACCAAGCUUCUCACACCACUUGUAAGCAAGAUAGCCACGCAGCCAUGUACUUUAUGUGCGAGCAUCGCCCAUGACAUGGAAAAUUGUCCAACAAAUGCUAAUCUAGAAGGCAUCCAAGAGGUCAAUGCAUUUAGUGGGAGGCCCCGGAAUGAUCCAUAUUCUAAUAAUUAUAACCCGGGAUGGAGAGAACAUCCAAAUUUUUCUUAGAGAGAUUCACAAAAUAGCAUGGGAUCAUUCACUUCAACAAAGCAAUAUCAGCAACCUUAUCAAGCUCCUCCAAUUCAACAAAAAGACUCGUCUAUCAAGGAUAUGUUAUCUCAACUCUUAAAGAAAACUGAUCGGUAUGAACAUGAAGUUGUGUCGCUUAGACAAAGUCAGACGGUGUUGGAAAAGGCUCGAUCUAAUUUUGAGACUCAGUUGGGACAGAUAGCUACUACUUUGAACAAGCUGGAGUGAGCACAAGGGCAAUUUCCAAGCCAAACUGAAACAAAUCCUAGGAAUCAAAAGCAUGUUCAAGCUGUCACCACUUUGAGGAGUGGAAAGACGAUUGGUAAUAAUGUGGAAAGUUCAAAAAUUAAUAAGGAAGAAGAUGAAGGGGUCAGCACAUAUCGGGCAGCAGCUUGACAAGACAAGCUAAAAAAGAGAAGUAUAUGGGAGAUAUUUUAGAGCAAUUUAGAAAGGUGCAGAUUAAUAUUCCUUUUCUCGAUGCCAUCAAACAAAUUCAAUCAUAUGCGAAGUUUUUGAAGGAACUUUGUACUAACAAGAGACGGUAUGAAGAACAUGAGGAGGUGAAGUUAUCAGACACGGUUAGUGCGGUUCUUCAAAGAAAAUUGCCACCAAAACUUCAAGAUCCUGGUAGCUUUACAGUCCCAUGUGUCAUUGGAGAAAGAAAAUUCGAAAAAGCUUUGCUUGACUUGGGAGCCAGUGUGAAUUUGAUGCCCUAUUCUGCUUAUAAACACCUCAAAUUAGGCGAACUAAAGCACAUAUCCAUUUCUCUACAAUGCACUGAUCGUUCUGUGAAAUAUCCAAGAGGGAUUGUUGAAAAUGUACUUGUGUGUGUUGAUCAAUUUAUUCUUCCUGCUGACUUCAUCAUUUUGGACAUGGAAGAAGCCGAAAUUCCUGGUCGUGACUUGCCUCUCAUUCUUGGCAGACCUUUCAUGGCUACUGCAGGUACGAAGAUUGAUGUUAAAUCGGGAUUAUUAACUAUGACUGUGCAAGGUAUUACUGUAGAAUUUCAGGUCUUCGAAGCAUUGAAGAAGCCCAUGGAUCUUUAUGACUGCUUUCGUGUUGAGGUAGUGGAUCCAAUUAUAAAAAAAAACAUUCAUUGAAUCAAGCAUCUCAGAUCCUCUGGAAGUUUGUAUCUCUCAACAUGGGAUGAGUUUUGAAAAGGCUACCAUCAUUGAAGCAGAACGAGAUCUCAAUGCCGUAACGUCCUACUCUCUUAGAUGCCAGCCCAAAUUUGAAGCGUUGCCACUCACAAGCCAAAAUUGUACCAUCCAUUAUACAACCUCCAAAGCUUGAAUUGAAGCCUCUUCCAGAGACUUUAAAGUAUGCAUAUUUGGUGAUUCAGAGACUCUUCCUGUGAUUAUAGCUGCUGAUCUUAACCAAACAGAAGAGGAAAAGUUGAUGCAAAUGUUGAGGGAGCAUAAAACAGCAUUGGGAUGGAGUAUUGCAGACAUAAAAGGAAUUAGUCCUCAAUUUGCAUGCAUCGGAUAUAUCUUGAGGACAAGUCAAAGCCUUCUAGAGAGGCACAGCGACGUCUAAAUCCACAUAUGCAAGAAGUGGUUCGGGCAGAAGUUCUUAAAUUACUGAAUGUCGGCAUUAUUUAUCCUAUAUCUAACAGCAAAUGGGUAAGUCCACUGCAGGUUGUACCACAGAGAUCUGGAAUUACAGUUGUCAAGAAUGAAAAUAAUGAGCUUAUACCCCAGAGGACUGUCACGGGUUGGAGAAUGUGUACAGAUUACAGAAAGAUCAAUAAUUCAACUCGAAAAUAUCAUUUUCCACUCCCUUUCCUUGAUCUCAUGCUUGAGAGACUUGCAGGCCAUAGUUAUUAUUGUUUUCUUGAUGGCUAUUCCAGAUAUAAUCAAAUUCCCAUAGCUCCGGAAGAUCAAGAAAAGACUACUUUCACAUGUCCAUUUGGAACUUUUGCCUAUCGACGAAUGCCUUUUGGGUUAUGUAAUGCUCCCGCAACAUUCCAAAGAUGCAUGAUGAGCAUUUUCUCAAACUUGGUGGAAAGGUGUAUCGAAGUGUUCGUGGAUGAUUUUUCCGUGUUUGGGUCAUCGUUUGAUCAAUGUCUUCAUCAUCUUUCAUUGGUGCUCUAACGGUGUCAAGAAACCAACUUGAUUUUAAAUUGGGAAAAAUGUCAGUUUAUGGUGAAAAGUGGUAUUGUUCUUGGUCAUGUAAUUUUAGCUGACGGAAUUGAAGUUGAUAAAGCUAAGGUGGAGCUGAUUUCGAAGCUUCCUCCUCCCACUUCUGUAAAAGAAGUUCGAUCCUUUCUCGAGCAUCCAAGUUUUUAUCGCCGAUUUAUUAAAGAUUUCUCGAAAAUCACCAAGCCACUUUGUGAUCUGCUUGCUAAAGAUUCUGUGUUUAAUUUAAAUGGUGAGUGCUUACAAGCUUUUGAGACCCUCAAGAAAGAAUUAACACAAGCCCCAAUCAUAAAAGCUCCAGAGUGGUCUCUUCCUUUUGAAAUCAUGUGUGACGCCUCUGAGUAUGCAAUAGGUGUUGUGUUAGGGCAGCGAGUUAACAAACUUCCUCAUGUUAUAUUUUAUGCUAGCCGAAUUCUCACUUAACAACUUUCAUAUCCCUUAGUUUCCAAAAUUUAAUAUACAAAUUUAGUCUCCCAAGCAUUGCUAUAUUACUUAAGUAUUGAUUAAUAGACUUAUUUCUUAUGGUGACACAUUAUUUAGUUUACAAAUUUAGUCUAUCUAACAUUACUCUUUUGACAUUGUCUUGUCCACUGAUAUAAUUCUAUUUUUCUUGUGAUCAAAACUUCAAAUGUUAGCAAGUCGCACGUAAAGUCGCUUCUGAGAGAAUGUGCUCACAUUGUAGUUGAAAGAUUAUGUGGCUAGCAACAUUACAAAUUUAAUUUGGUAUAAUUUUAAAAUAUAGAUUGAGGAAAAAAAGGAUCACAUUAACUAGAAACUGAAAAGGUUUCGGCGCAAUAUGUUCAAGCAAGAAACUCAAUUUUGAUGCUACCGAUCUUAACAGCCUGAGCGCCGUACCUGGGCACUAAAGUCACCACCACACUCUCAUCAUCUUCAGCACCCAAAUCCUCCAACAGGUCCGUUAACCCCAACCUUAAACAACUCUUGCUCUUUUCCUUCUGCUUAUGUGGCACACUCACAAAACUCCCAGCAAACUCGCUCUUGUCGGGUCCACUCGGUGCCGCAUCCUCAUCAUCCACGUCAUUCACAUACACAUCAAACUUCACAGCCACAUCUUUGUCAAGCUCAAUCCCCCGAAUCACCAAUAUCUCCUCCUCAUCCUCUUUCUCCUUCUUGCUCCUCUUCUUCGGCUUCGGCCUUGACACCACCGUAGUUAUCUUCGUCUCCAAAUUUAUUGGAAAAUCUUUACCCGCCACCACCUUCCCCGAUGACGUCGUCUCAGCGGCCUUCGCCACUCCAGCCGCCUUUGCCUUUCUCGCAAGCUUUGUCCGACGUGGCGUCGGUCUAGAGUUGAGCCAUGGAAUCUCAACAUCUUCAUACGUAUACCCUAGCUUUUUAUUAUCAAGAGUGUCCCUCACCGUGACCCUAACAAGCUCAGCAUUCUCGUCAUAAAACAAAAACCCCGUAUCCAACCAAUCCUUAUCGUUAAUAUCUUUAUUUUUAGUCCCUAUACUUUUCCAAAUAUUCCACAUUCGAUCCAGAUUCAAAUGGUGCGCAAAAAAUAUCGGAUCCCUUGCAGUGGAGUAAAAAUUCCCCAUGUCUUCAUAAUUAGGUUGCGUGUUAUCUCCGGUCCAUGUAUGAACCGGACCAUGUGGGGUCUGUUCGAUUGCACCGGCCCCUGGAUCUGGUUCAGUGCCAGCCCUGUAGGGCGAACCAAAGAACAACAGCGGUUUCUUGGAGUUGGAAACCAUCUGCCUAUACAUGAUUUUGAGGUUGGCUUCGAUUUGAGCAUCCUUGGACAUUGUUUCAUCCGUGCCGUUGAAGUCAAGAUCGAUGAGAGUUGGCGGCUGAUGGCUGGCAGCGCGGAGCUCGUCGUAAAGCGGAGAGUCAGGGUUAGCGUACAAGGCAGGGAGUUGCAUGCCAGCUGGCGCGUCCCAGUUCCAAAACGGCAACGCGAAGGUCGGAUCGUCUAUGAGUUUGGCCAAGAUUCUUUCGUGGAAAUAUAGGUAGUAACGAUGGAAGGGGAAGAAAAGCCAGGAUUGAUGGAUUUGGAGCUCGAGGUUGGGGAAGCCGACUUGGUCGUACGCACCGUUACAAUAGGCACAGUGGACAUCGGCUUGCUGGGUGAAGCUACGCGGAUCGUCGUCCGGGAGGGCUUUCAUGAGCUCGAUGGCUUUUGAGUAUUUUUCGAUGUAG
This 100024-nucleotide long non-coding RNA is filed under the name Malus domestica (apple). RNAcentral's name for it is "long non-coding RNA (MDOM_LNC009719)". Lineage: Eukaryota; Viridiplantae; Streptophyta; Magnoliopsida; Rosales; Rosaceae. The record is from RNAcentral.